UUUGAAAAUCAUCAUCCCAUGUUUGUUACUGAAAAUAGAAAACAAGCUUACAAUCACCCUGGAGGAUGGUAAGUUAUGCGGGACCUAGUUGUGAACUUGUGAUUUGCUUAUUCCACUGUUGCAGAGAUGCAGAAGACAUGCCAAAAGGAUCAAUUGACCUUGCACUAGUGACUCAUAUCUGAUCGGACAGAUGCAGCUGCUUAUAAUUGGAACCCUGCAGCAGUCCAGGAAGUUAUGAACUAGCAGUGGACUUACAGUUUUGUAUAGGAUACUCAUUUACCUCUACACGCACCUCUUUUUUUUGUUGUUGUAUCUCAGAAUCUCAUCAAAUGGAUUGCAUGUGGACCUAUAAGGUCUUUUUCGGUGUUAAAUAUUGCAUAAUUCACCAUAUGAUGAUUCGUGUGGUAGGUUUAUUUGUAAUAAACUCGAAGGAAUAAUUGUGAUGGUGUAUAGAACAAAGGACACAAGAUUUAAAUAUAUCCAUGCAGCCAAAUCGUUGUACUCUAUGUCAUGUUGGGGUGAUUGAUGCUUGUAUUGCAUAUAGAUGAGCUGAUGUCGUAAGGUGGUGUCAUGAGUUGUCUUUAUAUGUAUAUUUUAUUAGAUCUCUCAUCUUUCAGGAGGGUCCUCACCUCUCUUUAUGUAUGCAGGGGCUAGAGCUACAAGGCGAUUAUAUAUUAUAGAUCUAAUCUGGCUAUAAUUUACGUAUAAAUCCAUAACCAACUAGAACUUCAUUCUGUAUUUAUGAGGAAUACGUCUUUUUGCACCGCAUGUCUUUCAUAACGUGCGCUGAUGCAAGAGUCGAAUGUUUAGUUUUCAUGUGCUCAAGAAAUCGUAUGUGAUAUAUUUCUCAUGGCCUUUCUAUUUAACCUUGGUUACUAUAUACUGAGAUCACAAUGUUUUUUUCUUUAUUUUCUUUGUUCCGUUUGGUAUAAUAAUAAGGAUACAUGUUCAAUAGUUUCUCACGCCUUCUUGUUUGUUAUAUAUGUACACUAGGCUCGGCCAUUGCAUCGCUUGUAAUCCCAUCUUUGGAUGGAUCAACCUCCCUCUCUUGUUUCUUGACGUCGCUGCGCUUCUUGGGCAAUGGGAGGGAGACACUGACUGGAGGUCAUGCAUGGAUGGAGAUGCAGCCAGCAACGCAUGCACGGGAGAGGCUUGUCUUGAUGCGGCUGUUCUUAGCUGUGUGUAUGGGAGGGAUAAUAAUAAUAGACGGAAACGUAGGAAUUUUUCAUUCGAGCAAAAUUAGAGAUGUUGUAAGUAGGAAUUUUUGUGGACGAACAGCGAACGUAGGAAUGUGCUGCCUCCCCGGAGUCUAACGGUUGGGCUCAACUAAUAAGCAGAGGAGGCAACAACGCUCGCUGGGCCGCGGCCCAUUAACGUAGCACCAGACGGACGCAGCAGCCAGCGCUCGCACACGAAUAAACGACACGGGGGAUGCAGUGCGUUCAGCUUCAUCCGUUUUUAGUUAGUCCCACCUCGCCCAGCCAAAGCAGCACGGAGGCGCGCGCUCGCUACAUAAGGAGACGGAGGCCGACCGUAGAAAUCAUACCUUUCUCGGCCUUUUGGCUAAGAUCAAGUGUAGUAUCUGUUCUUAUCAGUUUAAUAUCUGAUAUGUGGACCAUGUGUUCACUUUGAUAUUAAAUUUAUUUUUUGUGGGGGAGGGCUCGCUACAGUGGCUUGCUACUGGGGCCCUCAAGCGUCGCUCGGCCGUUGCACUAUAGGCUGAGCCUGGCGCGCCCCAACCAAUGCAAUUUCAGCUUUAAGUAUGUCUUUAGACUAUACGAAAUGUAUGGUUCCAUAUCAAUAAAUUUGGUCGUAAGUAAUGAAGAAGCUAAUAUCGCCCAUAUUUAGUCAUCAAGCAGCAUGCCGGUCUAGCAGCAUGUCCCUGUGCUGCCCGGACCUGGUGGAGGCCGCUCUCGCCACGAGCAGGAGAGACCCGCCGGUUCAGGUACAGGCAAACGACAACACCAUGGACGCCUAUGACGGGUCGGGCAGAGAACCAUAACAUCUGAGAGCUUUCGUCUACUGUAUAAAUAAACCAUUAUCAGCUAAAACUCCAUUGAAUCGUCUUAGAUAGGUACUGCUGGAAAAGUGCCAUACCAAUAAAAAAUCAUUGAUAGUUAUAAUGUGUGAGGGUCGAACGUGUCACGGGCGAUAGAAGCAGCAAGCUAAGCUGUCACAAGCUUUUCAUCGAACACCUUGUAUGCAUGAACCAGCGUCGUCUCUGGGCAUGUUCGACAUGAGCGACGGCUCAGGGCCUCUAAAUUAUAUAGGCCUCUAAAUAUAUAGUAGUUAGUACAUACAUAUACAUAGUUAAGCACAACAUCAGCUUUAGUCCAUUAGCACUCACGGCAGCCAUGUAGCCCAAUAAAAAAAUGAUUUGUAGCCUGCUGCUCACGUCGUUUUGUUUCUCCGAUCUAGUUAGUCUGCACCGUCUAGUGUCCACGUCUUCUAAUCCUAUCGUCGCAGCACAGCUCUGAAGUCUGAAGCCUAAACCCUAUCGGCCACCGUCGCUGGCCACAUCGCCAUCGGCCGUCGCGAGCGUUCGCUCCGCGCGGCGAGCGUGAGCCGUGUCCGUGACGAGUCUGAGUUGGAGCCUGAGUCCUGACGCACGACAACAGCAGGAGAGACCCGUCGGUUCAGUACAAGCAAACAACGGCGCAGUCGUCCACCAUGGACGUCGGGUGCUUGCGCCGACCGAUCAGCUGCCUCGCCGCCUAGGACGGGUCGAUCGCCGUUGACACGAGCUUCACCACCUCCUUGUUCGACAGCACGUCCCAAAUCUGCGACAGGUAAAGAGAACCAUAACAUUUGAGAGCUUUCGUCUACUGUAUAAACAAACCAUUAUCAGCUAAAACUCCAUUGAACCGUCUUAGAUAGGUACUGCUAGAAAAGUGCCAUACCAAUCAAAAAUCAUUGAUGUUAUAAUGUGUGAGGGUCGGACGUGCCACGUGCGAUAGAAGUAGCAAGCUUAAGUUGUCACAAGCUUUUCACCGAACACCUUGUAUACAUGAACUAAACAGAAUCAAGUUUCAGAUCAGACAACCACAUGAUGUCCAGCAGACACUAUAUGCACAACAAUUAGCUCACUACACAAUCAAUCCCAUCAUCAGAUCACGAACAUAUCAAAUAACACAUAUAUGCCCCUCAUACCAACAUGACCAUACAUCAACAACUUAAGAUAUGGCUCCAAUAACAAGCAAGAUGAUGAACAAUCAGCACAUAUGACAAGUAAAAUAUCCAAGCAAGCGAAGAUAGAUAUUUACGUGGGAAACUCCUUGCGGAGAGAAAACUCACGGUCGACAAUGAACAAGAACUCUACUAUGGAGAUGAAGAGUACAAGAGGUGGGAGCCAACAGGUGUGGGAAGUCUCAGAUCCCCAAAUCACUCUCUCAAAUAUUUGGAUUUGGUGCCUCUCAAACUCCACUCUCCUUUCUCUAACCCUAGCUCUCUCUUCUCUAGUUUUCCCAAAUGAGCUAGUGCGUUCUGGACAAGCUUCCCACGGAAGACAGCAGCAUACAGGCUACACUUAUUGGGGCUAGUUUGGCCUUUUUGCAGAAGAACUCAUGCUAACCCCAAGUUUUGACACAGCCGACCCCGGUGGGAAAUUGGAGCUCAUGACCCCAAGGGUUGGCUAGAGUUGCCUACCACAUAAUGUAUGUAGGUAAAUAUAAAUUCAGUUAGAGUAGUAAAAUGCUUAUUUAAGGACAUUUUAAACAUGACUAGUGAGAGCACCUAGAGGUGGGGUGAAUAGGUGAUCCUGUAAAAUUCAAACACUAGUGGCCACAAAAUUUAGUUAUGAGUGUUAGUAUGGCUAAAUAACUUGAAGCGAGGUCUUGUGAACACAAAUAAUCACAGAGAGAUCAACACAAGACACGCGAUUUUUAUCCCGUGGUUCGACCAAGUAACACUUGCCUACUUCCACAUUGUGGCGUCCCAAUGGACGAGGGUUGCACUCAACCCCUUUCAAGUGAUCCGAUGAUCAACUUGAAUACAACGGUUUUUCCUUUAGAUGAAUUAUCCCGUUUGCGAGGAAUCUCCACAAGAUUGGAGUCUCUCGCCCUUACAACAAAGAUCACAAUGAAAGCACAGAGUAAGGUUGGGAUGAGCAACACACACAAGACACAAAUCGCAGCACACCCACGCACACAAGAGAAGACUUGAGCUCAAAUGACAAUACAUGGAGUCCUUGACUCGAAUAGAGCUCAAAUCUCUAACACAACGAAACAAAUGUGCAGGAACAAAGUCUAGAUGCCUUAGAAUGCUUAGUGAAUGCUUGUGUAGCUCCUCCAUGCGCCUAGGGGUCCCUUUUAUAGCCCCAAGGCAGCUAGGAGCCGUUGGAGGCCAACAAGGAAGGCUAAACUUGCCUUCUGUCGGGUGGUGUACCGGAUAGUCCGGUGCACCACCGGACAGUCACUGUAGCUGUCCGGUGCGCGAUCUCCUUCCUUUUCUGGCGCACCCGACCGUUGCAGCUUCGGACCUGUUGGCGCACCGGACAGUCCGGUGCCCCCUGCCGACCGUGGUGCGGGCCACGCGUCGCUCGCGGAUUGCGCGGCCGACCGUUGGCUCACCGGACAGUCUGGUGUACCACCGGACAGUCCGGUGAAUUAUAGUUGUACGCCGCCAAACUUUUUCCGAGAACGGCCUGUUCACCGGAGACCAGCCUGGCGCACCCGACACUGUCCGGUGUGCCAGACUGAGCUAAGUUUUGGCUACACCGAGCCAAGUCUUUUUCCUAUUCUUUUCUCCGUGUUUCUAGUACUUAUACAAAAUAUGUUAGUACUCAAAACAAUGUACUAAGUCUAGAAACGUACCUUGUUACAUGAUUUGCACUUCUUGCUUGUUUGGCACAUCAGAACUCAAUUAAAUGUGUUGGACACUUAAUCACCAAAACAUUAUAGAAAUGGCCCAAGGGCACAUUUCCCUUUCAAUCUCCCCCUUUUUGGUGAUUUAUGCCAACACAUCAAAAAGCAACCAAAAUAAGUUCAACAUCAAUGUAAAUGAGGGCUAAAUUGAUUUUGACUCUAAUUUGGCAUAUUUGGAUCAUUCUUUGCCACCACUUGGUUUGUUUUUGCAAAUCAAAUUCAUUUUCCUAUCUCUAAGUCAAACUCACUUGUUUGGGCAUAAAGAGAGAUAAUCCAAGAGUGAAAUUGAUCAAGUGCCAAAAACUCCCCCUUUUUCCAUAAUCAUAAAUUCUCCCCCACAAGAAACAAAAUUUUGCAAUAAGAGUAUUUUGGACAAAUCAAAAGUUCUAACUCUAUUGUUUUCAAAAUUCACAAGUGGUAGCUGAUCCAUUUGCUUUGGCCUUAAUUUCUCCCCCUUUGGCAUUAAGCACCAAAACGAGAUCAUUCUUGGCCCAAUAACCCCAUUGCCUCACCAAAAAUGUCAAUUAAGAGCAAAAAGGCAAUGAGAGCAUAAGUAUGAACUUAGAAGUGAGUACACUAAUACCGGAGUGCAGUGGAAGUCUUUGCAUCGUCCAAGUUCACCUUUGCCUUUCAAUGCACCUUUGAGACUACAUCAAGUAUACUCAAACAAACAGAUUAGUCUCAAAGGGUCGAGUUGUAGCACAUCUCCCCCUAAAUAUGUGCAUCAUUCACACAUGGACUUGUGAGGUCCGGGGAUCCAUUGCACAACUUGAGCACCAUAAAUAAGCAACAAAUCACAUAAAUACAUAAAGUAACAUGAUCAAGGGCAUAUAACACAUGUAUGCUAUAGAUCAAUCCAAGUUACGCGAAUCUAAGACAUUUAGCUCACUACACAACCUACAAAAGGUUUUCUCAUCCAACGGCUUGGUAAAGAUAUCAGCUAGCUAGUUCUCGGUGCUAACAUGGUACACUUCGAUAUCUCCCUUUUGCUGGUGGUCUCUCAGAAAGUGAUGCCAGAUGUCUAUGUGCUUAGUGCGGCUGUGUUCAACAGGAUUAUCCGCCAUGCGAAUUGCACUCUCAUUGUCACAUAGGAGUGGGACUUUGCUCAGAUUGUAGCCAAAGUCCCUGAGGGUUUGUCUCAUCCAAAGUAGUUGCGAGUAACACUGUCCUGCGACAACAUACUCGGCCUCAGCGGUGGAUAGGGCAACGAAUGUCUGUUUCUUGGAACUCCAAGACACCAGGGACCUUCCUAGGAAUUGGCACGUCCCUGAUGUACUCUUUCUAUCAACCUUGCAUCCAGCAUAAUCGGAGUCUGAAUAUCCAAUCAAGUCAAAGGUAGACCCCUUUGGAUACUAGAUCCCGAAGCAAGGCGUAGAAACUAAAUAUCUAAGAAUUCGCUUAACGGCCACAAGGUGACAUUCCCUGGGGUCGGAUUGAUAUCUAGCACACAUGCAUACACUUAGCAUAAUGUCCGGUCUACUAGCACAUAAAUAAAGCAAUUACCCUAUCAUAGAUCGGUAUGCCUUUUGAUCAACAGACUUACCUCCUUUGUUGAGGUCGACAUGCCCAUCGGUUCCCAUUGGUGUCUUUGCGGGCUUGGCAUCCUUCAUCCCAAACCUCUUGAGAAGGUCUUGAGUGUACUUCGUUUGGGAGAGGAAGGUGUCGUCCUUGAGUUGCUUCACUUGGAAGCCGAGGAAGUAGUUCAACUCGCCCAUCAUCGACAUCUCAAACUUUUGAGUCAUCACCCUGCUAAACUCCUCACAAGACUUUUGGUUAGUAGAACCAAAUAUUAUGUCAUCGACAUAAAUUUGGCACACAAAAAGGUCACCAUCACAAGUCUUAGUGAAAAGAGUGGGAUCGACUUUCCCAACCUUGAAAGCAUUAGCAAUUAAGAAAUCUCUAAGGCAUUCAUACCAUGCUCUUGGGGCUUGCUUAAGUCCAUAGAGCGCCUUAGAGAGCUUGAACACAUGGUCGGGGUACCUGUCAUCCUCAAAGCCAGGGGGUUGUUCCACAUACACCUCCUCCUUGAUUGGCCCGUUGAGGAAAGCGCUCUUCACAUCCAUUUGAAACAACCUGAAAGAGUGGUGAGCGGCAUAGGCUAAUAAUAUUCGAAUAGACUCUAGCCUAGCCAUAGGAGCAAAAGUCUCCUCGAAAUCCAAACCUGCGACUUGGGCAUAACCUUUUGCCACAAGUCGAGCCUUGUUUCUUGUCACCACUUCGUGCUCGUCUUGCUUGUUGCGGAACACCCACUUGGUUCCCACAACAUUUUGCUUUGGACGUGGCACCAGGCUCCAAACUUCAUUCCUCUUGAAGUUGUCGAGCUCUUCCUGCAUGUCCAACACCCAGUCUAGAUCCUGCAAGACCUCUUCUACCCUGAAAGGCUCAAUAGAAGAGACAAACGAGUAAUGCUCUAAAAAAUUAGCUAAUCUUGAGCGAGUCGUUACUCCCUUGCUUAUGUCACCCAGAAUCUGAUCGACGGGGUGAUUUCUUUGGAUCGUCACUCGGACUUGAGUUGGAGGGGCCAGUGGUUCUUCUUCCUCCAUAACUUGUUCUUCUUGUGCUCCCCUUGAUCACGUGCCUCUUCUUGAGGAACCUGUCCAUCAUCUCAAGUUGGGGGAUGCACCAUUGUAGAGGAAGAUGGUUGAUCUUGCUCCUGUUGUUCCUGUGGUCGUACCUCUCCUAUCGCCAUCGUGCGCAUUGCGACCGUCGGAACAUCAUCUUCAUCUAUGUCAUCAAGAUCAACUUGCUCUCUUGGAGAGCCAUUAGUAUCAUCAAAUACAACGUCGCUAGAGACUUCAACCAAACCCGAUGAUUUGUUGAAGACCCUAUACACCUUUGUAUUUGAGUCAUACUUUAAUAAAAACCCUUCUACAACUUUGGGAGCAAAUUUGGAAUGUCUACCUUUCUUCACCAAAAUGUAGCAUUUGCUCCCAAAUACACGAAAGUAAGAUACAUUGGGUUUGUUAUCGGUAAGGAGUUCGUAGGAGGUCUUCUUGAGGAGGCGAUGCAGAUAUAGCCGGUUUAUGGCGUGGCAGGCUGUGUUCACAGCUUCCGACCAAAACCGCUCGGGCGUCUUGAACUCUCCAAGCAUCGUCCUCGCCAUGUCGAUAAGCGUCAUGUUCUUCCUCUCUACCACACCGUUUUGUUGUGGUGUGUAGGGAGUGGAGAACUCGUGCUUGACGCCUUCUUCCUCAAGAUACUCCUCCACUUGCGAAUUCUUGAACUCGGACCCAUUGUCGCUUCUUAUCUUUUUCACCUUGGGCUCAAAUUCGUUUUGAGCCCUCUUUAGAAAGUGCUUUAGAGUUCCUUGGGUUUCCGAUUUAUCCUGCAAAAAGAACACCCAAGUGAAGCGGGAAAAAUCAUCAACAAUUACAAGACCAUACUUACUUCCCUGAUGCUAAGGUAGGCAACAGGUCCAAAGAGGUCCAUGUGAAGAAGCUCUAGAGGUCUUGAUGUUGUCAUCACAUUCUUGUUGUGAUGAGUGCUUCCCACCUGUUUUCCUGCCUGAUAAGUUACACAAGGUCUAUCUUUCUCGAAACAUACAUUGGUUAGUCCUAAUACAUGUUCUCCCUUUAGAAGUUUAUGAAGGUUCUUCAUCCCAACAUGUGCUAGACGGCGAUGCCACAGCCAGCCCAUACUAGUCUUAGCUAUUAAGCAUGCAUCUACAUCGACCUCCUCUUUCAAAAAAUCAACUAAGUAGAGUUUGCCGUCUAAUACACCCUUAAAUGCUAAUGAACCAUCACUCCUUCUAAAGACAGAAACAUCAACAUUUGUAAACAAACAAUUGUAGCCCAUGUGGCACAAUUGACUUACAGACAGGAGGUUGUACCCUAAUGACUCUACUAAAAAUACAUUUGAAAUAGAGUGCUCGCUUGUGAUGGCUAUCUUUCCCAAACCUUUGACCUUGCCUUGGUUCCCAUCUCCAAAAAUAAUCGUAUCCUAGGAAUCCUUGUUCUUGACGUAGGAGGUGAACAUCUUCUUCUCCCCCGUCAUGUGGUUUGUGCAUUCGCUGUCGAUUAUCCAGCUAGAUCCCCCGGAUGCAUAAACCUGUAAGGCAAUUUAAGCUUGGGUUUUAGGUACCCAACUCUUGUUGGGUCCUACAAGGAUAGUGAAAGGAAAAUAGGGUCAAACCUUUUCCUAAAUGAUUUUGGUGGUUGAAUUGCCCAACACAAAUUAUUGGACUAACUAGUUUGCUCUAGAAUAUAUGUUCCACAGGUGCCAAAGGUUCACAACAAACCAAUACAAAGUUAUAAGAAUGGGUUUAAAUGAAAGGAGCAAAGAAAACCGAAGGCUGCCCUGGUCUGGCGCACCUGAUUGUCCGGUGCACCACCAGACAAUGUCCGGUGCACCAGGGUGGAUCAACUCCAACUUGCUAGCUUUGGGUUUUCGGGGAGCCACUCCGCUAUAAUUCACCGGACUUUCCGGUGUAGCACCGGACUGUCUGGUGUGCCAAGCGGAGCAACGGUCGUCAGCGCAACGGUCGAGUUCAACGGUCGGCUGACAACGCUACAGUGCACGGACUGCGCGUGCAAAGUCAGAGCAGGCGCCAGAAGGUGCACCGGACAGUGAACAGUGACUGUCCGGUGGCCCCACUUGUCAGAGCUCCAACGGUCGAACCCUAACGGUUGGGUGACGUGGCUGGCGCACCGGACAGUGUCCGGUGGCACACCGGACUGUCCGAUGCGCCCAUCGACAGCAGCCUUCCCAACGACCACUUUGGUGGUUGGGGCUAUAAAUACCUCCAACCACCACACUUCAAGGCAUCCAAGUUUUCAACCAACACAUUCAAUACAAGAGCUAGUGCAUUCAAUACAAGACACAAUUAGAGUGAAUCAAUAUCUCUCCAAGUCCCAAUUCCACUCAAAACAAUAGUGACUAGAAAAGAGAGUUUUGUCGUGUUCUUUUGAGCUCUUGCGCUUGGAUCACUUUUCUUCUUCCUCUAUUCUUGUUUCCAAGUUCUUUGUAAUCAAAACAAGAGACACCAAUUGUGUGGUGGUCCUUGUGGGGACUAAGUGUCCCAAUUGAUUGAGGAGAAAAGCUCACUCGGUCUAAGUGACCGUUUGAGAGAGGGAAAGGGUUGAAAGAGACCCGGUCUUUGUGACCACCUCAACGGGGAGUAGGUUUGCAAGAACCGAACCUCGGUAAAACAAAACAUCGUGUCACUCACGCUAUUUUCUUGUGAUUUGUUUUUCGCCCUCUCUCUCGGACUCGAUUAUAUUUCUAAUGCUAACCCCGACUUGUAGUUGUGCUUAAACUUUAUAAAUUUCAGAUUUGUCUAUUCACCCCCUCUAGGCGACUUUCAGUUAGUCACAAUAGCCUUUGGAACCCAAAUACAAGUCUUGUCUCCCUUGCAUUUGGAUCCCAACUUUCUAGCAACUACUUUCUCAUUCUUACAUAAAAGCGCAAAUGAAGUAUUGCAAGCAUGGUAAAUGGUAGUAGAUUCAUUACACACUUUCCUAGGUACAUGAUGCACAACAUGAUUUCUCCUAGGCCUACUUCUACCAUGAACAAAAGUAGAACUAGAGGCAAACAUAGCAUGUGAAUCAAAAGCAUCAUGAUCAUAACUCCUAUUAUAAUUGGAAUGACUAGCAAUUUUCUCAUUAUAGAUAAAGGCAUGGUUCCUUUGAGGACUACUAACCAUAGGGGCCUUUCCUUUCUCCUUGUUGAGAAUGGGAGCCCUAUGGCUUGUUAAGUUCUUAGCUUCCCUUUGAAAACCAAGCCCAUUCUUAAUUUCGGGGUGUCUACCAACGGUGUAGGCAUCCCUAGCAAAUUUUAAUUUGUCAAAAUCAAUUUUGCAAGUCUUAAGUUGAGCAUUAAGUCUUGCCACCUCAUCAUUUAAUUUAGCAAUACAAUUAAGAUGUUUAUCACAGGCAUCAACAUCAAAGUCCUUACAUCUAUUACAAAUAAUGACAUGCUCAACACAUGAACUAGUUUUGGCUUCCUCUAGCUUAGUAUUUAAUUCAUCAUUUAAACUCUUUAAACUAGAAAUAGAUUCAUGGCAAAUAGAUAACUCCGAGGAAAGCAUUUCAUUUCUUUUAAUCUCUAAAGCAAGAGAUUUUUGCACACUAACAAAUUUGUCAUGCUCCUCAUAUAAAAUAUCCUCUUGUUUUUCUAACAAUCUAUCCUUUUCAUUUAGAGCAUCAAUUAAUUCAUUAAUUUUUUCUACCUUAGCUCUAUCUAAACCUUUGAAUAAGCUAGAGUAAUCUACUUCAUCAUCAUAAGAUUCUUCAUCACUAGAAGAACAAUACUUAGGUGUAUCUCGAAUACUUACUUUCUUCUCCUUGGCCAUGAGACACGUAUGUGAGAGCACCUAGAGGGGGGUGAAUAGGUGAUCCUGUAAAAACUUGAAACUUAAUGCCACAAACUUGAUUAGGUGUCAGAGCAAUAAAGCCAAGUGGCUAGAGAGGAGUUCUUGCGAAACACAAUAACCACAAAAGAUCAACACAGAGAGGCACAGUGGUUUAUCCCGUGGUUCGGCCAAGUCCAACACUUGCCUACUCCACGUUGUGGCGUCCCAACGGACGAGGGUUGCACUCAACCCCUUUCAAGUGGUCCAAAGACCAACUUGAAUACCACAGUAUUUCUCUUCUUUUCACUAUAUCCCGUUUGCGAGGAAUCUCCACAACUUGGAGUCUCUCGCCCUUACAAAAGAUGAUCACAAAUGAACACGAAAGUAAGGAUGGGAUGAGCAACACACACAAGUCCACAUCAAUACGCACACACACACGGUCAAGACUUGAGCUCAAAUGAAUAUCUCAAAGUUCUCACUAGAACGGAGCUCAAAUCACUAAGAAUGUCAAACGAGUGCGCAAGAACGAAGUGUGAAUGAUCAAGAAUGCUCAAAGUGUGCUUGGGUGCUUCCUCCAUGCGCCUAGGGGUCCCUUUUAUAGCCCCAAGGCAGCUAGGAGCCGUUGAGAGCAUUCCAGGAAGGCAAUUCUUGCCUUCUGUCGACUGGCGCACCGGACAGUCCGGUGCACCACCAGACACUGUCCGGUGCGGAUUUCUUUCCUAUUUUGGCGCAGCCGACCGUUGGCGAUUUGGAGCCGUUGGCGCACCGGACACUGUCCGGUGCCCCCUUCAGACCGUUGGCUCGGCCACGCGUCACGCGCGGAUUGCGCAGCCGACUGUUGGCUCGGCCGACUGUUGGCUCACCGGACAGUCCGGUGCACACCGGACAGUCCGGUGAAUUUUAGCCGUACGCCGCCACCGAAUUCCCGAGAGCGACCUUUUCACCAGAGCCAGCCUGGCGCACCGGACACUGUCCGGUGCACCACCAGACACUGUCUGGUGCACCACCGGACAGUCCGGUGCACCCAGACUGAGCAGAGUCUUGGCUGCUCGAGCCAAGUCUUUUCCAUUUGUCUUUUCUCUGAUUCUAGCACUUAGACAAAUAUGUUAGUACACAAAAACCAAUUUACUAAGUCUAGAAUCAUACCUUUGUAUUGAUUUGCACUUUGUCUAUCAUUUGGCAUAUACUCAUUCUCUUAAUGUGUGUUGGUCACUUAAUCACCAAAAUCUUAUAGAAAUGGCCCAAGGGCACAUUUCCCUUUCAAUCUCCCCCUUUUUGGUGAUUUAUGCCAACACAACAAAAAGCAACUAAAAGAAGUGCAACAUCAAUGCAAAUGAGUACACAAAUUUGUUUUGAUUCAAAUUUGGCAUAUUUGGAUCAUUCUUUGCCACCACUUGGUUUGUUUUUGCAAAUCAAACUCAAUUUCCUAUCUCUAAGUCAAAUUCACUUGUUGAGUCAUAGAGAAAGAUAUUCCAAGAGAAAUUGAUCACUGAUUCAAAAACUCCCCCUAUUUCCCAUAAUCAGACAUUCUCCCCACAAGAGACCAACUUUUGACAAAAAGAGACAUUUAGAAUUUUGACAAAUCAAAAGUCCUAACUCUACUAUUUUCAAAAUUCUCAAGUGGUAGCUGAUCCAUUUGUUGCUUUGGCCUUAUUUUCUCCCCCUUUGGCAUAAAGCACCAAAACGGGAUCAAUCUUGGCCCUUUGAACCCCAUUGCCUCACCAAAAUUGUCAAUUAAGAGCAAAAGGCAAUAAGAGACAUGGAGAUGAACUUGGAGUAAGUUACCCUCUUAUCGGAGUGCAGUGGAAGUCUUUCAUGGUCCAAGUCCACCUUUCCCUUUCAAUCCACCUUUGAGACUAAUUUAAGAACACUCAAGCACAUGGUUAGUCUCAAAGGAUCAAGUUGUAGCACAACUCCCCCUGAAUAUGUGCAUCACUUGCAGAUGGACUUGUGAGGUCCUGGGAGUGCUUGUACAACUUGAGCAUCAUAAAUAAACAACAAAAUGCAUAAAGAACAUGAUCAAGGCAUAAAACACAUGUAUGCUAUAAAUCAAUCCAAGUUCCGCGAAUCUAAGACAUUUAGCUCACUACGCAGCCUGCAAAAGGUCUUCUCAUCUAGAGGCUUGGUAAAGAUAUCGGCUAGCUGGUUCUCGGUGCUAACAUAAAACACUUCGAUAUCUCCCUUUUGCUGGUGGUCUCUCAAAAAGUGAUGCUGGAUGUCUAUGUGCUUUGCGCGACUGUGUUCAACAGGAUUAUCCGCCAUGCGGAUAGCACUCUCGUUAUCACAUAGGAGUGGGACUUUGCUCAGAUUGUAGCCAAAGUCCCGGAGGGUUUGCCUCAUCCAAAGUAGUUGCGCGCAACACUGUCCUGCGGCAACAUACUCGGCCUCAGCGGUGGAUAGGGCAACGGAAGUUUGUUUCUUAGAACUCCAGGACACCAGGGACCUUUCUAAGAAUUGGCACGUCCCUGAUGUACUCUUCCUAUCGACCUUGCAUCCAGCAUAAUCAGAGUCUGAAUAUCCAAUUAAGUCAAAGGUAGACCCCUUUGGAUACCAGAUCCCGAAGCAAGGCGUAGCAACUAAAUAUCUAAGAAUUUGCUUCACAGCCACUAAGUGACACUCCCUUGGAUCGAAUUGAAAUCUAGCACACAUGCAUACACUAAGCAUAAUAUCUGGUCUACUAGCACAUAAGUAAAGCAAGGAACCUAUCAUAGACCGGUAUGCUUUUUGAUCAACGAACUUACCUCCUUUGUUGAGGUCGACGUGUCCGUCAGUUCCCAUUGGAGUCUUUGCGGGCUUGGCGUCCUUCAUCCCAAACCGCUUGAUCAAGUCUUGCGUGUACUUCGUUUGGGAGAUGAAAGUGCCGUCCUUGAGUUGCUUCACUUGGAACCCAAGGAAGUAGUUCAACUCGCCCAUCAUUGACAUCUCAAACUUUUGAGUCAUCACCCUGCUAAACUCUUGACAAGACUUUUGGUUAGUAGAACCAAAUAUUAUGUCAUCGACAUAAAUUUGGCACACAAAUAGGUCACCAUCACAUGUCUUAGUAAAAAGAGUUGGAUCAGCUUUCCCAACCUUGAAAGCAUUAGCAAUUAAAAAGUCUCUAAGGCAUUCAUACCAUGCUCUUAGGGCUUGCUUAAGUCCAUAGAGCGCCUUAGAGAGCUUACACAUGUGGUCGGGGUACCGUUCAUCCUUAAAGCCAGGGGGUUGCUCUACGUACACCUCCUCCUUGAUUGGCUCAUUGAGGAAAGCGCUCUUCACAUCCAUUUGGAACAACCUGAAAGAAUGGUGAGCGGCACAGACUAAUAAUAUUCGAAUUGACUCUAGCCUAGCCACAGGAGCAAAAGUCUCCUCAAAGUCCAAACCUGCGACUUGGGCAUAACCUUUUGCCACAAGUCGUGCCUUGUUCCUUGUCACCACCCCGUGCUCAUCCUGUUUGUUGCGGAAAACCCACUUGGUUCCCACAACGUUUUGCUUGGGACGUGGCACCAGUGUCUAAACUUCAUUUCUCUUGAAAUUGUUGAGCUCCUCCUGCAUGGCCAACACCCAGUCCGGAUCUAGCAAGGCUUCUUCUACCCUGAAAGGUUCAAUAGAAGAGACAAAAGAGUAAUGCUCACAAAAAUUAACUAAUCUAGAGCGAGUAGUUACUCCUUUGCUAAUAUCACCCAAUAUCUGGUCGACGGGAUGAUUCCUUUGAAUCGUCGCUCGAACUUGAGUUGGAGGGACUUGAGGUGCUUCUUCCUCCAUAACAUGAUCAUCUUGUGCUCCCCCUUGAUCACACGCCUCUUAUUGAUGAACCUGUUCAUCAUCUUGAGUUGGAGUUUGCACCAUUGUUGAGGAAGAAGGUUGAUCCUGCUCCGUUUGUUCCUGUGGUCGCACAUCUCCAAUUGCCAUGGUGCGUAUGGCGGCCGUUGGAACAUCUUCUUCAUCUAUAUCAUCAAGAUCAACAACUUGCUCUCUUGAAGAGCCAUUAGUCUCAUCAAAUACAACGUCGCUAGAGACUUCAACCAAACCCGAUGAUUUGUUGCAGACCCUAUACGCCUUUGUAUUUGAGUCAUAACCUAACAAAAACCCUUCUACAGCUUUGGGAGCAAACUUAGAAUUUCUACCUUUUUCACUAGAAUAUAACAUUUGCUCCCAAAUACACGAAAGUAUGAAACGUUGGGUUUGUUACCGGUUAGAAGCUCAUACAAAGUCUUCUUGAGGAGGCGAUGAAGAUAGACCCGGUUUAUGGCGUGGCAAGCCGUGUUCACGGCUUCCGACCAAAACCGUUCGGACGUCUUGAACUCUCCAAGCAUCGUCCUCGCCAUGUCGAUGAGCGUCCUGUUCUUCCUCUCUACCACACCGUUUUGCUGUGGUGUGUAGGGAGCGGAGAACUCAUGCUUGAUUCCUUCCUCCUCAAGAUAAUCCUCCACUUGUAGGUUCUUGAACUCAGACCCAUUGUCGCUCCUUAUCUUCUUUACCUUGAGCUCAAACUCAUUUUGAGCUCUCCUUAGGAAGCGCUUGAGGGUCCCUUGGGUUUCAGAUUUAUCCUGCAAAAAGAAUACCCAAGUGAAGCGGGAAAAAUCAUCAACAAUUACUAAACCAUACUUACUUCCCCCGAUGCUAAGAUAGGCGACGGGUCCAAAGAGGUCCAUAUGUAGCAGCUCCAGGGGUCUUGAUGUGGUCAUCACGUUCUUGCUGUGAUGAGCAUUUCCCACUUGUUUACCUGCUUGACAAGCUGCACAAGGUCUAUCUUUUUCGAAAGUCACAUUUGUUAGACCUAACACAUGUUCUCCCUUUAGAAGUUUGUGAAGGUUCUUCAUCCCCACAUGUGCUAAACGGUGAUGCCACAGCCAGCCCAUGCUAGUCUUAGCUAUUAAGCAUGCAUCUAGACCGGCCUCCUCUUUUGCAAAAUCAACUAAAUAAAGUUUGCCGUCUAGUACACCCUUAAAAGCUAAUGAACCAUCACUUCUUCUAAGACAGACACAUCUACAUUUGUGAAUAGGCAAUUAUAUCCCAUAUUACAAAGUUGACUAACGGACAACACGUUAUAACCGAGCGACUCAACUAAAAACACAUUAGAAAUGGAGUGCUCGGAAGAAAUAGCAAUCUUUCCUAACCCUUUAACCUUGCCUUGAUUCCCGUCACCGAAUAUGAUUGAAUCUUGGGAAUCUUUGUUCUUGACGUAGGAGGUGAACAUCUUCUUCUCUCCCAUCAUGUGGUUUGUGCAUCCGCUGUCGAUAAUCUAGCUUGAGCCCCCGGAUGCAUAAACCUGCAAGGCAAUUUAGGCUUGGGUCUUAGGUACCCAACUCUUGUUGGGUCCUACAAGGUUAGUAACAAUGGUCUUAGGGACCCAAAUGCAAGUUUUAUCUCCCUUGCAUUUUGCCCUAGUUUCCUAGCAAUCACCUUCUUAUCCUUUCUACAAAUUGCAAAUGAAGCAUUGCAAGCAUGAUAGAUUGUAGAAGGUUCAUUAACUAUUUUCCUAGGAACAUGAGCAACAUUUGUCCUAGGCAUAUGAUGAAUGACAUUUUUCCUAGGCAUAUCUCUACUCUACACAUAGGGAGAAUUUGAAGCAAACAUGGCAUUAGAAUCAUAAGCAUUACAACUCCUAUCAUGAUGAACAUUUCUAGAAUAUCUCCUAUCAUGGUACAUGAAAGCAUGGUUCUUUUGAGCACUAUUUGUCAUAGGAGCCUUCCCUUUCUCCUUGGCGGGAAUGGGAGCCUUAUGACUUGUUAAGUUUUUGGCUUCUCUCUUAAAGCCAAGCCCAUCCUUAAUUGAGGGGUGUCUACCAAUCAUGUAGGCAUCCCUUGCAAAUUUUAGUUUAUCAAAUUCACUUUUGCUAGUCUUAAGUUGGGCAUUAAGAAUAGCCACUUCACCAUUUAAUUUUGCAAUAGAGGUAAGGUGCUCAACACAAGCAUCAAUAUUAAAGUCCUUACACCUAUUACAAAUUACUACAUGUUCUACACAAGAGUUAGAUUUGUUAACCACUUCUAGCUUAGCAUUUAAAUCAUCAUUGAUACUUUUUAAGCUAGAGAUGGAUUCAUGGCAUGUAGACAAUUCACAUGAAAGCAUUUCAUUUCUUUUAAUUUCUAAAGCAAGAGAAUUUUGCGCACUUACAAAUUUAUCAUGCUCUUCAUAUAAAAUAUCUUCUUGCUUUUCUAAAAGUCUAUUCUUUUCAUUCAAAGCAUCAAUCAAUUCAUUGAUCUUAUCAAUUUUAGUUCUAUCUAAUCCUUUGAAUAAACAUGCAUAGUCUAUUUCAUCAUCACUAGAUUCAUUAUCACUUGAAGAAGCAUAAGUAAUAGUACUUCUAGUAUUUACCUUCUUCUCCUUUGCCAUUAGGCAUGUGUGAUGCUCGUUGGGGAAGAGGGACGACUUGUUGAAGGCCGAGGCGGCGAGUCCUUCAUUUUCGGAGUCGGAUGAUGAACAAUCCAAGUCCCAUUCCUUGCCAAGGUGUGCCUCGCCCUUAGCCUUCUUGUAGUCCUUUUUCUUUUCCCUCUUCUUUCCUUGAUCCUGGUCACUGUCUUUAUCGGGACAAUUAGCAAUAAAAUGACCAACCAUACCACACUUGAAGCAGGAGCGCUUUCCCUUCGUCUUGCUUUUGUUGGGAUGCUCCUUGCGACCUUUGAGCGUCGUCUUGAAGCGCUUGAUGAUGAGGGCCAUUUCAUCCUCGUUUAGCCCGGCCGCCUCAAUUUGCGCCACCUUGCUAGGUAUCGUCUCCCUGCUACUUGUUGCCUUGAGAGCAAUGGCUUGAGGCUCAUGGAUUGGGCCAUUUAGCGCCUCAUCAACAUAUCUUGCCUCCUUGAUCAUCAUUCGCCCGCUCACAAACUUCCCAAGUAUUUCUUCGGGCGUCAUCUUGAUGUACCUAGGAUUCUCACGAAUAGAAUUAACAAGAUUAGGAUCAAGGACGGUGAAGGACCUUAGCAUAAGUCGGACGACGUCGUGGUCUGUCCAUCGCGUGCUUCCAUAGCUCCUUAUUUUGUUGACGAGGGUCUUGAGCCUGUUGUACGUUUGGGUUGGCUCCUCCCCCCUGAUCAUUGCGAACCUUCCUAGUUCGCCUUCCACCAACUCCAUCUUGGUGAGCAUGGUAACGUCGUUCCCCUCAUGUGAGAUCUUGAUGUGUCCCAGAUCUGCUUGGCAUUGUCCAAGCCGCUCACUUUAUUGUACUCUUCCCUGCACAAGGAUGCUAAGAGAACAGUAGUAGCUUGUGCAUUUUUAUGGAUUUGUUCAUUGAUAAACAUGGAGUUAUCAGAACUAUCAAACUGCAUCCCAUUUUCUACUAUCUCCCAUAUACUUGGAUGAAGAGAAAACAAGUGGCUACACAUUUUGUGACUCCAAAAUCCGUAGUCCUCUCCAUCGAAGUGUGGGGGUUUACCAAGUGGAAUGGAAAGCAAAUGAGCAUUUGAAUUAUGCGGAAUACGAGAGUAAUCAAAAGAAAAGUUCGAGUUAACCAUUUUCUUUUUCUCCUCGUAUUCUUUGUCCUUUUGAGAAGAGGAAGAUUCGUCGCUGUCGUAGUAGACAACCUUCCUGAUGCGCCUCUUCUUCUUUCCAUCUUUCUUCUUUUGAAUUGAGCUAGAGUCAUUGACUUUGUUGUCCCUUGGCUCGUUGAAGAUGGACUCCUUCUCAUUGUCGUUGACCACCAUCCCCUUUCCCUUAGGAUCCAUCUCUUCGGGCAAUUAGUCCCUUUCUCGAAGAGAACGGCUCCGAUACCAAUUGAGAGCACCUAGAGGGGGGUGAAUAGGUGAUCCUGUAAAAACUUGAAACUUAAUGCCACAAACUUGAUUAGGUGUUAGAGCAAUAAAGCCAAGUGGCUAGAGAGGAGUUCUUGCGAAACACAAUAACCACAAAAGAUCAACACAGAGAGGCACAGUGGUUUAUCCCGUGGUUUGGCCAAGUCCAACACUUGCCUACUCCACGUUGUGGCGUCCCAACGGACGAGGGUUGCACUCAACCCCUUUCAAGUGGUCCAAAGACCAACUUGAAUACCACAGUAUUUCUCUUCUUUUCACUAUAUCCUGUUUGCGAGGAAUCUCCACAACUUGGAAUCUCUCGCCCUUACAAAAGAUGAUCACAAAUGAACACAGAAGUAAGGAUGGGAUGAGCAACACACACAAGUCCACAGCAAUACGCACACACACACGGUCAUGACUUGAGCUCAAAUGAAUAUCUCAAAGUUCUCACUAGAACGGAGCUCAAAUCACUAAGAAUGUCAAACGAGUGCGCAAGAACGAAGUGUGAAUGAUCAAGAAUGCUCAAAGUGUGCUUGGGUGCUUCCUCCAUGCGCCUAGGGGUCCCUUUUAUAGCCCCAAGGCAGCUAGGAGCCGUUGAGAGCAUUCCAGGAAGGCAAUUCUUGCCUUCUGUCGACUGGCGCACCGGACAGUCUGGUGCACCACCGGACACUGUCUGGUGCGGAUUUCUUUCCUAUUUUGGCGCAGCCGACCGUUGGCGAUUUGGAGCCGUUGGCGCACCGGACACUGUCCGGUGCACACCGGACAGUCCGGUGCCCCCUUCAGACCGUUGGCUCGGCCACGCGUCAUGCGCGGAUUGCGCGGCCGACCGUUGGCUCGGCCGACCGUUGGCUCACCGGACAGUCCGGUGAAUUUUAGUCGUAUGUCGCCGACGAAUUCCCAAGAGCGGCCUUUUCACCAGAGCCAGCCUGGCGCACCGGACACUGUCUGGUGCACCACUGGACAGUCCGGUGCACCCAGACUGAGCAGAGUCUUGGCUGCUCGAGCCAAGUCUUUUCCAUUUGUCUUUUCUCUGAUUCUAGCACUUAGACAAAUAUGUUAGUACACAAAAACCAAUGUACUAAGUCUAGAAUCAUACCUUUGUAUUGAUUUGCACUUUGUCCAUCCUUUGGCAUAUACUCAUUCUCUUAAUGUGUGUUGGUCACUUAAUCACCAAAAUCUUAUAGAAAUGGCCCAAGGGCACAUUUCCCUUUCAGUAUGGCGUUCGUCGGGGAAGAGUGAAUACUUGUCGAAGGAUGAGGCGGCCAGUCCCUCAUCGUCGGAGUCGGAUGAAGAGCAGUCAGAGUCUCACUCCUUUCCAAGGUGCGCCUCGCCCUUCGCCUUCUUGUAGUUCUUUUUCUUCUUCUUCCCAUGUCUUUCUUGUGCCUGGUCUUUCUCAUUAUCGGGACAUUGAGCAAUAAAGUGACAAGUCUUACCGCAUUUGAAGCAGGAGCGCUUUCCCCUUGUUUUGUUCUUGUUGGGGUACUCCUUGUGUCCUUUAAGUGCGAUCUUGAAGCGCUUGAUGAUAAGCGCCAUCUCAUCCUCGUUGAGGCCAGCAGCCUCCACUUGAGGUACCUUGCUUGGUAGCGCCUCCUUGCUGCUUGUUGCUUUGAGAGCAACAGGCUGCGGCUCGUAGAUGGGUAGUGGACCGUUCAAGGCAUCAUCCAUGUAUCGUGCCUCCUUUACCAUCAUGCGCCCGCUCACGAAUUUUCCGAGGAUCUCCUCGGGCAUCAUCUUGGUGUACCUGGGGUUUUCACGAAUGAGGUUGACAAGAUGGGGGUCAAUUACAGUAAAUGACCUUAGCAUGAGUCGGACGACAUCAUGAUCCGUCCAUCUUGUGCUUCCAUAGCUUCGUAUUUUGUUGACCAGGGUCUUGAGCCUGUUGUAGGUUUGCGUUGGCUCCUCUCCCCUGAUCAUCGCAAAUCUCCCCAGCUCGCCUUCCACCAACUCCAUUUUGGUGACCAUGGUGGCGUCGUUUCCCUCAUGAGAUAUCUUGAGGGUGUCCCAGAUUUGCUUGGCGUUGUCCAAGCCGCUCACCUUGUUGUAUUCAUCCCUGCACAAAGAUGCUAGCAAAACAGUGGUAGCUUGUGCAUUCUUAUGAAUUUGUUCAUUUAUCAUCACAGGGUUAUCCGUACUAUCGAAAUGCAUUCCAUUUUCCACUAUUUCCCAAAUGCUAGGAUGGAGAGAAAAUAGAUGACUACGCAUUUUAUGACUCCAAAAUGAGUAGUCCUCUCCAUCAAAGUGUGGAGGUUUUCCUAGUGGAAUAGAAAGUAAAUGUGCAUUUGAAUUGUAUGGCAUGUGAGAAAAUAGUCAAAAGAGUAAUUUUGAUUAACCGUCUUUUUCUUUGACGAAGAGUCGUCAUCGUCGUCGUGUGGUGAAGAGGACGAGGCAUCACUGUCGUAGUAGAUGAUCUUCUUGAUGCACCUCUUCUUCUUCCCUUCUCUUUUCUUGUGACUCGAGCCUGAGUCGGUUGGCUUGUCGUCUCUAGGCUCGUUGAGGAAGGACUCCUUUUCCUUGUCAUUGACCACCAUCCUCUUUCCCUUAGGAUCCAUCUCUUCUGGCGAUUAGUCCCUUAAAUGAAGAGUACAACUCUGAUACCAAUUGAGAGCACCUAGAGGGGGGGGGGUGAAUAGGUGAUCCUGUAAAAUUCAAGCACUAGUAGCCACAAAACUUAGUUAUGAGUGUUAGUAUGGCUAAAUAACUUGAAGCGAGGUCUUGUGAACACAAAUAAUCACAGAGAGAUCAACACAAGACACGCGAUUUUUAUCCCUUGGUUCGACCAAGUAACACUUGCCUACUUCCACGUUGUGGCGUCCCAAUGGACGAGGGUUGCACUCAACCCCUUUCAAGUGAUCCGAUGAUCAACUUGAAUACCACGAUUUUUCCUUUAGAUGAUUAUUCCCGUUUGCGAGGAAUCUCCACAAGAUUGGAGUCUCUCGCCCUUACAACAAAGAUCAUAAUGAAAGCACGAAGUAAGGUUGGGAUGAGCAACACACACAAGACACAAAUCGCAACACACCCACGCACACAAGAGAAGACUUGAGCUCAAAUGACAACACAGGGAGUCCUUGACUCGAAUAGAGCUCAAAUCUCUAACACAACGAAACGAAUGCGCGGGAACAAAGUCUGGAUGCCUUAGGAUGCUUAGUGAAAGGGAAAUAGGCUUACACCUUUUCCUAUAUGAAUUUUGGUGGUUGAAUUGCCCAACACAAAUAAUUGGACUAACUAGUUUGCUCUAGAUUACAAGUUUUACAGGUGCCAAAGGUUCACAACAAACCAAUAAAAAGACCAAGAAAGGGUUCAAAUAAAAAGAUCAAAAGACUACCAAAGUGUGCCCUGGUCUGGCGCACCGGACAGUGUCCGGUGCACCAGGGAACCCGACUCCAAACUUGCCACCUUCGGGAAUUCUGGGGGCCGCUCCGCUAUAAUUCACCGGACUGUCCGGUGUAACACCGGACUGUCCGGUGUGCCAGCGGAGCAACGACUACAUCGCGCCAACGGUCGUCUGCAAAGAGCAGUUAAUGCGCUACAGUGCACGCAGAAGUCAGAGCAGAGCCAGAAGGCGCACCGGACAGUGAACAGUGACUGUCCGGUGCACCACCGGACUGUCCGGUGGCCCAGAAGUCAGAAGCUCCAACAGUCAGAACCCAACGGCCGGGUGACGUGGCUGGCGCACCGGACUGUCCGGUGCGCCAUGCGACAUCAGCCUCCACCAAACGGCUAGUUUGGUGGUUGGGGCUAUAAAUACCCCCAACCACCAACCAUUCAUUGCAUCCAAGUUUUCAGCCUUCAAACACCUUACAAGAGCUAUAACAUUCAAUACAAGACACAAUCAAAGAGAUCAAAUCCUCUCCCAAGUCCAAAGAUCAUUCCAAUCAAAUAGUGACUAGUGAGAGAGAGACUUGUGUUUAUUUGAGCUCUUGCACUUGGAUUGCUUUUCUUCUUCAUUUUUUCUUGAUUCCAACUCAAUUGUAACCAAGACAAGAGACACCAAUUGUGUGGUGGUCCUUGUGGGGACUUAGUGUCCCGUUUGAUUGAGAAGAGAAGCUCACUCGGUCUAAGUGACCGUUUGAGAGAGGGAAAGGGUUGAAAGAGACCUGGUCUUUGUGACCACCUCAACGGGGAGUAGGUUUGCAAGAACCAAACCUCGGUAAAACAAAUCACCGUGUCAUCCGCUUUAUUUGCUUAUGAUUUGUUUUCGCCCUCUCUUUCGGACUCGUUUAUAUUUCUAACGCUAACCCCGGCUUGUAGUUGUGCUUAAAGUUUGUAAAUUUUAGAUUCGCCCUAUUCACCCCCACUCUAGGCGACUUACACAGAGCCGGUACUUCAUUAGAGCCUAACCGCUCGAAGUGAUGUCGGGAACACGCCAAGAAGGAGAUGGUGACCGGCGAGAAGCCCGCCACAAGCCAUGGGAAGGCUCGAUCCGAGGAGUCCGGCAACAAGGUGAAGGGAUCCCCUUCACGUGACAAGUCGCGUCAGAGCGGCGAGAAGAAAAAGAAGAUGAAGAAAGUGGUCUACUACGAGACCGACUCUUCAUCGCCAUCCACCUCCGGCUCCGACACGCCGUCCGUCACUUCUAAGCGCCAUGAGCGCAAUAAGUUUAGUAAGAUCCCCCUACGCUACUCUCGCAUUUCAAAACAUACUCCAUUACUUUCGGUCCCAUUAGGCAAACCACCGACGUUUGACGGUGAAGAUUAUUCUAGGUGGAGUGAUAUGAUGAGAUAUCACCUAACCUCACUGAAAGGGAAAUAGGCUUACACCUUUCCCUAAUUAAUUUUGGUGGUUGAAUUGCCCAACACAAAUAAUUGGACUAACUAGUUUGCUCUAGAUUAUGAGUUCUACAGGUACCGAAGGUUCACAACAAACCAAUAAAAAUACCAAGAAAGGGUUCAAACAAAGAGAGCAAAAGACAACCGAAGUGUGCCCUGGUCUGGCGCACCGGACUGUCCGGUGUGCCACCAGACAGUGUCCGGUGCACCAGGGAACCCAACUCCAAACUGCUCACCUUCGGGAAUUCUGGGAGCCGCUCCGCUAUAAUUCACCGGACUGUCCGGUGUGCCAGCGGAGCAACGACUACUUCGCGCCAACGGUCGUCUGCAGAGAGCAGUUAAUGCGCUACAGUGCGCGCAGAAGUCAGAGCAGAGGCAGAAGGCGCACCGGACAGUCUACAGGACCUGUCCGGUGGCCCAGAAGUCAUAAGCUCCAACGGUCAGAAUCCAACGGCCGGGUGACGUGGCUGGCGCACCGGACUGUCCGGUGCGCCAUGCGACAACAGCCUCCACCAACGGUUUUUUUGGUGGUUGGGGCUAUAAAUACCCCCAACCACCCACCAUUCAUUGCAUCCAAGUUUUCAGCCUUCAAACACCUUAUAAGAGCUAUAGCAUUCAAUACAAGACACAAUCAAAGAGAUCAAAUCCUCUCUCAAGUCCAAAGAUCAUUCCAAUCAAAUAGUGACUAGUGAGAGAGAGACUUGUGUUCAUUUGAGCUCUUGCGCUUGGAUUGCUUUUCUUCUUCAUUCUUUCUUGAUCCCAACUCAAUUGUAACCAAGACAAGAGACACCAAUUGUGUGGUGGUCCUUGUGGGGACUCAGUGUCCCAUUUGAUUGAGAAGAGAAGCUCACUCGGUCUAAGUGACCGUUUGAGAGAGGGAAAGGGUUGAAAGAGACCUGAUCUUUGUGACCACCUCAACGGGGAGUAGGUUUGCAAGAACCGAACCUCAGUAAAACAAAUCACCAUGUCAUCCGCCUUAUUCGCUUGUGAUUUGUUUUCGCCCUCUCUUUCGGACUCGCUUUUAUUUCUAACGCUAACCCCGGCUUGUAGUUGUGCUUAAAGUUUGUAAAUUUCAGAUUCGCCCUAUUCACCCCCCCUCUAGGCGACUUUCAAUUGGUAUCGGAGCCGGUACUUCAUUAGAGCCUAACCGCUCAAAGUGAUGUCGGGAGCAUCCGCCAAGAGGGAGAUCGGGACCGGCGACAAGUCCGCAAGUUCGGGGAGAACGCACUCAAGGGAGUCCGCCCACAAGCACAAGGAGGAAUCCUCUUCCUCCAUCAAGUCCCAACGGAAGGGUGACAAGAAGAAGAAGAUGAAGAAGGUGGUCUACUAUGAGACCGACUCUUCGUCACCCUCAACCUCCGGCUCGGAAUUGGCAUCCGCCACUUCUAAGCGCCAUGAGCGCAAGAAGUAUAGUAAGAUGCCCCUUCGCUAUUCUUGUAUUUCAAAACGCACUCCAUUACUUUCCGUUCCAUUACGCAAACCACCUAUGCUUGAAGGUGAAGAUUAUUCUAUGUGGAGUGAUAAAAUGAGGCAUCACCUAACCUCACUCCACAAAAGCAUAUGGGAUAUUGUUGAGUAUGGAGCACAGGUACCAAAGAAGGGAGACAAGGAUUACGACUCGGAGGAGGUCGAACAAAUCCAACACUUCAACUCCCAAGCCACUACUAUACUCCUCGCCUCUCUAAGUCGAGAGGAGUAUAAUAAGGUGCAAGGGUUGAAGAGCGCAAAGGAAAUUUGGGACGUGCUCAAGACCGCGCACGAAGGAGACGAGGUGACCAAGAUCACCAAGCGGGAGACGAUCGAGGGGGAGCUCGGUCGCUUCAUGCUUCACCAAGGGGAGGAGCCACAAGCGAUGUACAACCGGCUCAAGACCUUGGUAAACCAAGUGCGCAACCUCGGGAGCACCAAAUGGGAUGACCAUGAAAUGGUCAAGGUUAUUCUUAGAUGACCCUACGCAAGUUCAAUUAAUUCGUGGUGAUCCUAGAUAUACACUAAUGUCUCCCGAGGAAGUAAUAGGAAAAUUUGUGAGCUUUGAGUUGAUGAUCAAAGGCUCCAAGAAAAUCAUCGAGCAAGGCGCCUCCUCCACACCCGAUGUGCAACCCGUUGCAUUCAAGGCAAUGGAGGAGAAGAAAGAAGACUCUACACCUAGUAGGGCCCCCCAUCGACGCCUCCAAGCUCGACAACGAGGAAAUGGCGCUCAUCAUCAAGAGCUUUCGCCAAAUCCUCAAGCAAAGGAGGGGGAAGGAUUACAAGCCCCGCUCCAAGAAAGUUUGCUACAAGUGUGGUAAGCCCGGUCAUUUUAUAGCAAAAUGUCCAUUGUCUAGUGAUAGUGAUAGGGGCGACGACAAGAAGGGAAAGGGAAGAGAAAAGAAGAGGUACUACAAGAAGAAGGGCGGCGAUGCCCAUGUUUGCCGGGAGUGGGACUCCGACGAGAGCUCCACCGACUCCUCCUCCGACGAGGACGCCGCCAACAUCGCCAUCACCAAAGGUCUCCUCUUCCCCAACGUCGGCCACAAGUGCCUCAUGGCAAAGGACGACAAGAAGAAGAAGGUAAAAUCUAAAUCCUCCACAAAGUAUGCAACAUCUAGUGAUGAGGCUAGCUCUAGUGAUGAUGAGGAUAAUUUAUUAACGCUUUUUGCCAACCUAAGCAUGCAACAAAAAGAGAAAUUAAAUGAGUUGAUUAGUGCUAUUCAUGAGAAGGAUGAACUCUUGGACACCCAAGAGGACUUCCAAAUUAAGAAAACAAAAAACAUGUUAAGGUUAAAAAUGCUUAUGCUCUAGAGGUAGAAAAAUGUGAAAAAUUAUCUAGUGAGCUAAGCACUUGCCAUGAUGUUAUUUCUAACCUUAGAAAUGAAAAUGCAAAAUUAAUUGCUAAGGUUGAGAAAUCCAAUGUUUAUGAUGAUUCAAUUGACAAUCUUAGAAAUGAUAAUGCUAGUUCAAUUGCUAAGAUUGAAAAGUUGAAUGCCUCUCUUGCUAGCCUUAGAAAUGAGAAUGAAAAAUUAAUUGCUAAGGCUAAGGAAUUAGAUGUUUGCAAUGUUUCCAUUUCCAAUCUUAGAGAUGAGAAUGACAUUUUACAUGCUAAGAUUGUUGAACUAAAUUCUUGCAAACCCUCUACAUCUAUCGUUGAGCAUGUUACUAUUUGCACCAGAUGUAGAUAUGUUAACAUUGAUGCUAUUCAUGAUCACAUUGCUAUGAUUAAACAACAAAAUGAUCAUAUAGCAAAAUUAGAUGCUAAAAUUGCCGAGCAUGAGUUAGAAAAUGAAAAAUUUAAAUUUGCUCGUAGUAUGCUCUAUAGUGGGAGACGCCCUGGCAUUAAGGAUGGCAUUGGCUUCCAACAGGGAGGCAAUGUCAAACUCAAUGCCCCUCCUGAAAGAUUAUCUAACUUUGUUAAGGGCAAGGCUCUCAUGCCUCAGGAUAACGAGGGUUACAUUUUGUACCCUGCCAGUUAUCCCGAGCACAAAAUUAGGAGAAUUCACUCUAGGAAGUCUCACUCUGGCUCUAAUCAUGCUUUUAUGUAUAAGAGUGAGGCAUCUAGCUCUAGGCAAUCAACCCGUGCUAAAUUGCCAAAGAAGAAAACUCUUACUGCAUCAAAUGAGCAUAACAUUUCAUUCAAGACUUUUGAUGCAUCCUAUGUGCUUACUAACAAAUCAGGCAAAAUAGUUGCCAAAUAUGUUGGGGGCAAACACGGGGGCUCCAAAACUUGUGUUUGGGUACCCAAGGUGCUUGUUUCUAAUGUGAAAGGACCCAAGACCGUUUGGGUACCUAAGAACAAGGCCUAAAUUUGUUUUGUAGGUUUAUGCAUCCGGGGGCUCAAGUUGGAUCAUCGAUAGCGGGUGCACAAACCACAUGACAGGGGAGAAGAAGAUGUUCUCCUCCUAUGAGAAAAACCAAGAUCCCCAACGAGCUAUCACAUUCGGGGAUGGAAAUCAAGGUUUGGUCAAAGGUUUGGGUAAAAUUGCUAUAUCACCUGACCAUUCUAUUUCCAAUGUUUUUCUUGUAGAUUCAUUAGACUAUAACUUGCUUUCAUUAGAAGAAGUCGGUGUUCAUCAUCCACACAAGAACAUCAUGACGACCGACAGGCCGCUUGAGCUACUUCACAUGGACCUAUUCGGCCCGAUAGCUUACAUAAGCAUCGGCGAGAGUAAGUAUUGUCUUGUAAUUGUGGAUGAUUAUUCUCGCUUCACUUGGGUGUUCUUUUUGCAGGAAAAAUCUCAAACCCAAGAUACCUUAAAGGGAUUCCUGAGACGGGCUCAAAAUGAGUUCGGCUUAAGGAUCAAAAAGAUUAGAAGCGACAACGGGACGGAGUUCAAGAACUCUCAAAUUGAAGGCUUCCUUGAGGAGGAGGGCAUCAAGCAUGAGUUCUCUUCUCCCUACACGCCACAACAAAAUGGUGUAGUGGAGAGGAAGAAUAGAACUCCAUUGGACAUGGAAAGAACCAUGCUUGAUGAGUACAAGACUUCGGAUCGGUUUUGGGCCGAGGCGGUCAACACCGCUUGCUACGCCAUCAACCGGUUAUAUCUUCACCGAAUCCUCAAGAAGACAUCGUAUGAACUCCUCACUGGUAAAUAGCCCAAUGUUUCAUAUUUUAGAGUCUUUGGUAGCAAAUGCUUUAUUCUUGUUAAAAGAGGUAGAAAAUCCAAAUUUGCUCAUAAGGCUGUAGAAGGCUUUUUACUUGGUUAUGACUCAAACACAAGGGCAUAUAGAGUCUUUAACAAGUCCACUGGACUAGUUGAAGUUUCUUGUGACAUUGUGUUUGAUGAGACUAACGGCUCUCAAGUAGAGCAAGUUGAUCUUGAUGAGCUAGAUGAUGAAGAGGCCCCGUGCGUCGCACUAAGGAACAUGUCCAUUGGGGAUGUGUGUUCUAAGGAAUCCGAAGAGCCUCCACAAGCACAAGAUCAACCAUCAUCUUCAAAUCAAGCAUCUCCACCAACUCAAGAUUAGGAUCAAGCUCAAGAUGAUGAUGAUGAAGAUCAAGAGGAGCCACCUCAAUAGGAAGACAAUGAUCAAGGGGGAGAUGCUAAUGAUCAAGACAAGGAAGAUAAUGAGGGCCCAAGACCGCCACACCCAAGAGUCCACCAAGCAAUCCAACGAGAUCACCCCAUGAACACCAUCCUCAGCGACAUUCAUAAGGGGGUAACCACUCGAUCUCGUGUUGCUCAUUUUUGUGAACAUUACUCUUUUGUUUCCUCUAUUGAGCCACACAAGGUAGAGGAAGCACUUCAAGAUUCGGAUUGGGUAGUGGCGAUGCAAGAGGAACUCAACAACUUCACGAGGAAUGAGGUAUGGCAAUUAGUUCCACGUCCUAACCAAAAUGUUGUAGGAACCAAAUGGGUCUUUCGCAAUAAACAAGAUGAGCAUGGUGUGGUGACAAGGAACAAAGCCCGACUUGUAGCCAAAGGAUAUUCACAAGUCGAAGGUUUGGAUUUCGGUGAAACCUAUGCACCCGUAGCUAGGCUUGAGUCAAUUCGUAGAUUACUUUCCUAUGCUACUUACCAUGGCUUUAAGCUCUAUCAAAUGGACGUGAAAAGUGCCUUCCUCAAUGGACCAAUCAAGGAAGAGGUCUAUGUUGAGCAACCUCCUGGCUUUGAAGAUAGUGAGUACCCUAACCAUGUAUAUAAACUCUCUAAGGCACUUUAUGGGCUCAAGCAAGCCUCAAGAGCAUGGUAUGAAUGCCUAAGAGAUUUUCUUAUCGCUAAUGGCUUUAAAGUCGGAAAAGCCGACCCUACUCUCUUUACUAAAACACUUGUAAAUGAUUUGUUUGUAUGCCAAAUUUAUGUUGAUGAUAUCUGUCGGGGACCAUAAUUAGGGGUACCCCCAAGACUCCUAAACUCGGCUGGUAACCAGCAUAAGCACAAAGCUGCAAAGGCCUGAUGGGCGCAAUACAGGUCAAAGCUCCGCCCACUCAAGGGACACGAUGUAACGCCCUGAAUUUGGGGGUAGAAUUUUUUCUUCUUUUCUCUCACCAAAUUCGGGCGUUACUCUCUUUUCUCUUUCCCCGUUUGCUCUUUCUUCCCAAUUUCAAACCAGUAUAGCGACGAGUGUCCGUGUCAUGUAUAAACCAAAACCUAAGUCUCAUGGGUGUUGCAUCAUGCCGGAGCAUUUUUCUUUGUCUGAUGUUGAGUGUUCGUCUCGUUCCAUUCCGGAUUUCGGUUCGCGAUUUAAUUCCGUUUAGUGGUCCGCGCUCGUCGUGGGUUUCCGAUCCGCGAAGUGGCCCGGCCCAGCCCAACCUAGCCCAGCCCAGCCGGCCCGGCCCGCCUCGGCCUGCGCGCCCCUGGCGCCCAAAACCCCCAUGCGCCCCCCCUCUCCUCUCUCUCUCUCUCAUUUGGAUCUCCCGCGCAACAACCUCUCCUCUCCCUCUUCCACCUCUCUCUCCCCGUGGUGCCCUAGGGUUUGGAGACAGCGAUCACCGGAUUUUGGACCCCGAGGUGAGCUCCCCUCCCCUUCUCUCUCUCUCUCUCUCUCCCUCCCCCUCGCGCGCGGUGGCGGCGCUCGCCCCGGUCCGCGGCGACCCCGCCCGUCCCCACCCCUGCUCGGCGCGGCGGCGCCCGACCCCGUCCCCGCCCCUCGUCGGCGGCGCUCCCCCCACCCCGGCCCCGCGGCGGCGCUCCCCGCCCCCCUGCCCGCCCGCGCGGCGCUCCCCGCCCCUCCCCGCGGCGGCGCCCGCCCGUCCCGGCCCCGUGGCGGCGCCCGCCCGCCCCCGCCCCUCACCUGCUCGCGCGCAGCGCGGCCCCGGCGCGGCCCCGGUGGCCCCUACUCGCCGGCGCGACCCCGGCGCGGCCCCCGGCCCCCGGCGCGUCCCCGGCGCGGCCCCGGCCGGCUCGGCCGCCUCUGGCCGGUUCAACCGCCCCCUGGCCGGUUCAACCGCCCUGGCCCCAGCUCGCCCGCCCGUUCCCUGUCCCGGCCUCGCCCGAACGUAUCUUCGCUCGCCCGCGCUCGCGGUGACUAUUCGUUAAUUAGCGUGUUGCGUCGCGCGCUUCGCCGCGCGACGGAUUUGUCUAAAUUCAGAUUCUAUCUUGUGUUGCGUCGUGCGCUUCGUCGCGCGACGAUCCAUUUUUGUUUCAGGUUGUUUAAGGUGUAACGCCGCGUGUGUAUUCACGCGACGUUCCACUUUGGACUCAGUUUAGUCGACGUAUGCCGUCGUGCGCUUCGUCGCGCCACGCUUAACGUCUCCUCGUAACUAAGGCGAAGUGUCUCGUUGCGUGCUCGGUCGCGCGACGAGUCGUUAACUUCUUAAUUUGUUUUAGAGAGCUUUGUCGCGCGUCUCGCCGCGCGACCAUCCUUUUAUUUAUCUCCACCUGCUUAUAAUAAUUAGACAUGAAACAUGACUUUACUUUACGCUAAACAUAGUGUCUACAUUAAAUUUCCUUCCAUUAAGCGAGUGGUUAAUUUAUAAUCAUGUAACGUUAUCGUUUCUCGACUGUCUUUUCCUCUUUCUCUCUUAACCGUACUCGCGAGCCUGCGUAGAACGUCUGUUUACUUAUUGCAUUCUAUUGUAUGGUGUACUGUUCUUUGGUAUUAAAUGUGUGGAUGUAUGUAUGUUUGCGCUCGUAUAGAGAACGAUCCGGUUGAAGAGCCCGAGGAACCCGCAGGAGAAGCCCCUGAGCAGCAGUCGUUUGGUGGAGGCAAGUGUCCCUUGACCUAUCUAUGUCCUAUCCAUUCUUUAAUUCACCUCCCGCUUUACACAUUUAUGCCUAAGGAUUGACUAGCUUUUGUUAUCCAUGUCCUUGUUCACCUAUUUGGGUUGGAUUAUUACUGUUUAGCUUUAUGCUAUUGCUUAACUCUAAUCAAUGAACAUGAUGAGAAUAUCUAUGAUACGCAGUUUUCCCCUCUCUUAUUAUGAUGUUAUGCUUGUGGUCUUCAAGGGGGCUCGAGCGGUUUCUCGAGUGCCUCUCCGUAAGGACCUGUUCUAUGGAUGACCGCCCGGGAAAACAGUGCAACCAUGAGGGUAGAAUGGGGUGCCCUUAGCUGAAUAAUUAGAGGAUCCGGGGUGUAGUUCACUUAGCCGUCGUGCCGUCAAUGGGGCUCGGUGUAUGCGGCUCGCUCUGCCAAGUUUGGGUUCGCCCCUUGGGGAGGAGUGCGGUGCAUUUAGGAAACCUAACGGGUGGCUACAGUCCCGGGGAAUCUUUGUAAAGGCUACGUAGUGAUGCCCUGCUGGGUCACCUUGGUAGUGAUCAAUGGAGAGUCAUGAUCUCCGGGCAGAAUGGGAAUCACGGCUUGUGGGUAAAGUGCACAACCUCUGCAGAGUGUUUGAAAAACUGAUAUAUCAGCCGUGCUCACGGUUAUGAGCGGCCAAGGGAGCUCCAGUGAUUAGUGGUACUUGAUCAGAGAUACUUUGGUACAGGUGGUUAUGAGAUUGAUGGUUUCGGUUCUGACUAUGAUGCUGGUAAGUGGUACUCUUUCCGUUUGGAAAGGAGUACGUUUGGGUUAAUAACUUGGGUUAAUGCUAAAACUUGGCUUUCUACUAGUAAGUAAUAAUCUGACCAACUAAAAGCAACUGCUUGACUUAUCCCCACAUAAAGCUAGUCCACUACAGCCAAAACAGGAUACUUGCUGAGUAUGUUGAUGUGUACUCACCCUUGCUCUACACACCAAACCCCCCCCAGGUUGUCAGCAUUGCAACCACUGCUCAGGCGAAGAUGAAGCUGUGGAAGGAGACUUCUAGGAGUUCCAAGAUUACGACGAGUUCUAGGUGUGGGUUAGCGGCAACCCCCAGUCGGCUGCCUGUGAAGGCCGCGGUUAUCUACGUUUCUUUUCCGCACUUUGAUUUAUUGUAAGGACUAUAUGGACGUCUCAGACGUAUGAUGUAAUCGACUAUUUCCCUUAUUAAUACUAUUUUGAGCACUGUGUGAUGAUGUCCAUAUUAUGUAACUGCUGUGUACGUGAAUAACUGAUCCUGGCACGUACAUGGUUCGCAUUCGGUUUGCCUUCUAAAACCGGGUGUGACAUAAGUGGUAUCAAAGCCGUGCUGACUGUAGGACCGCUAACCUAGAGUAGAAUGGUCGCUCUAAGGACUAUAGACCUCUGUCUCUGCCUUGACUUUGAUAUCCCUUCAAAAGUUGGUCCUACAGACCAAACCUAUGUUCUACUAUAUAUUAUACCUUGCUGAAAAUCAUGUUUUAUUCUAAUCCUUCAUUUACUUAUGAUUCAUUAUUUGCUGGUCAUAUUAAUUCUGUUCUUACCCUUUUGCUUGCGAUGUCUUUUGUAGAUGGCUCGACUUAGACACACUGCACGAAAGUCAGUCAUCCCUUUCUUACCCUCCCGCCUUGCUGAGCGUCCGCUUCGCCGUCCCGUGGCCGGACAGUCCAGCCACUUGGAGAGACUGCACCACCGCCUGCGCGAGGAGCAGGAACGUCGACGACAGGAGCAGCAGAGCUCUUCCUUCUCGCUCCAGCAGGAGAUAGAGUCUGUGAGGAGCUGCUCCCCUGUGCUUCCCCUGGAGCCGCCCCCUGCACCACCACUGGGCGCCCCAGCUUCUGGAGUAGCUGCUGGAGGAGACCCAGACGACGGAGAUGGCGACGACAGCUCGAGCCACGACACCGACUUCUCUGCUAACCCUGAGCCGGAAGGAUGGGUUGCUCGACCCAUCACUCGCGACGCUGCUCGCGGGUGUCACUUCCACGAUGCGCUCGACACCCUGCUACGUCGGGCAUUUAACCGGCAUACUUGGUCCGUCGAGUAUCGCUGUGUGGUCUACCAGCACAGUCGCGGGGUCUACCCGGACCGCUGGGAGGCAACUUGCUUGGUGCGCUGCCCGGAGAACAGUCUCCAGGGUGCGGAGGCCUGCUCAGAGCACUAUUCCAUCUCUGAGCGGGACUCAGCUGAGGCAGCCAUGCAAGAUGCUGCACGGCGUGCGCUUUCGCACUACUGCUCGGUUUUCGGUGGGGCAGCUGAUGGUCUUGACCUGAAGUAUUACCCCCGCCGUCCAUCUGGCAGCACAGGAGGCGUGAUUGUCUCACCUGUCGGUGAGGGCAAUCCUAGGUUGAGCAGCACAGUCAACCUAGCCGCCGUGCUAAACACGGAGCUGGACCAUGCAUUAGAUGAGCUGAGUAGGGCUCGUGCUGAGAUCGCCCUGCUUCGGGCUGAGCGCGUGGAACGUCGUCACUUGGAUGGUGGUUCCCCCGCUCCCGUCGGGACUCAGCACCCGUACCGCUCACCUCAGCGUGGACACCAGUCUUAUGGCAAUCCCGCCUGCAAGACCAAGAUAACUCUAGAACCAUAGAUCGUUAGAGUUGGAUCUUGUAAUUAAUACGAAAUAUAUGCAUAGAAGCUUCAGUUUUAGCUUUAAUUUCGGUCUUAGUUAGCCUUAGUUAGACAGGGUAGUUUGCUAUAUCCUGUGCAUUUAUGUUUGUCAUGGUGAACUAUGUUUGAUUUGGAUCUUUGUAAUGACUGUCACCAGAGUGUGGGUAUCCCCUGCAUUUUGGUUUAUCUAUUAUGUUAAUGGAGUUAGUUAUAUAGUUGGGAAACCCCCUUUUAUUCCACUCUCCUCUUUAUCUGAGAAGCUGUGUGGUCUGUGUUGGAGAUCAGUGAAGAUGCUCAUCUGUUCAGUGCUGUUGAAGAAUUCUAUUCUCUUUCCUUAUGCUGCAAGAUUUGCCAGAUCAGUUCUGAUGUGUGGUUGCAUUCUGCAGAUGUCAGAGAACAGGCGCAGAGGAGGAAGGCGUGCUCAGCAGGAGCGAGCCGCUCAACAGGAGGAGGUGCCCCAGCAACAGCACCUGCCGCCCCCGCCCCCGAUGUCCAUCGAGCAGAUGUUUCUGAUGUAGACUCAGGCAGUUCAAGCCAUCGGUCAGACUUUGGCCGCCAUUCAGCAGCAGCAGCAGCAACAGCAGCAGGCCCCACCUCAGCCUCAGAUGCCUCAAAUGCCCAGAGACAAGCGUGCUGAAUUCAUGAGAGGUCAUCCACCAACGUUCGCUCAUUCUUCUGACCCUAUGGAUGCUGAAGAUUGGCUGCGCACUGUGGAGCGGGAGUUGCAUACCGCUCAGUGCGACGACAGAGAGAAAGUUCUGUAUGGUCCCCGUCUGUUGAGAGGAGCAGCCCAAUCAUGGUGGGAGUCUUACCUCGCCACCCAUGCCCACCCUGACGCCAUCACCUGGGAAGAGUUCAGAGGUAGCUUUCGUCAGUACCAUGUGCCUGCAGGUCUGAUGACAGUGAAGAAGGAGGAGUUCCUGGCCCUCAAGCAAGGGUCAUUGUCUGUCAGCGGGUACCGGGACAAGUUUCUGCAAUUGUCUCGCUAUGCUCCUGAAGAUGUCAACACCGACGCCAAGCGACAGUACCAUUUCCUGAGAGGCUUGGUUGACCCUCUGCAGUACCAACUGAUGAAUCACACCUUCCCGACAUUCCAGCACCUGAUUGAUAGAGCGAUCAUGACAGAGAGAAAGCGCAAGGAGAUGGAAGAUCGUAAGCGCAAGAUCAGUGGACCCCAGCCUGGAAGCAGCAAUCGUCCUCGUUUCUCAGGCAAUCAACCUCAGCAGUUCAGGCAGAACCAGCGUCCACCUCAGCAGCAUCAGCAGUUCCAAAGGCAGUACCCUCAGAAUCAGUAUCAGAACCGUCAGAGCAAUCAGUCAGGAGGUCAGUUUCAAAGGCAGAAUCAGCAGGCACCUCGCCUUCCUGCCCCAGCAAGCCAGCAGAACAAUCAGGCAGCACCAGCUCAGGUUGGAAACAGGGCAUGUUUCCACUGUGGAGAGCAAGGCCACUGGGUGAUGCAAUGUCCGAAGAAGGCAGCCCAGCAGCAGUCAGGCCCCAAUGCCCCAGCAAAGCAGAAUGUGCCCCAGUCUGGAGCAGGCAAUCGCUCUCAGCCGCGCUACAAUCAUGGAAGACUGAACCACUUGGAGGCUGAAGCAGUUCAGGAGACCCCCGGCAUGAUAGUAGGUAUGUUCCCAGUCGACUCCCAUAUUGCAGAAGUGUUAUUUGAUACUGGAGCAACGCAUUCUUCCAUUACUGCAUCAUGGGUAGAAGCACAUAAUCUUCCAAUUACUACCAUGUCAACCCCCAUUCAAAUUGACUCAGCCGGUGGUAGAAUUCGAGCCGAUAGCAUUUGUUUGAAUAUAAGUGUGAAAAUAAGGGGGAUAGCGUUUCCCGCCAACCUUAUAGUAAUGGGUACUCAGGGAAUAUAUGUCAUCCUAGGGAUGAAUUGGCUAGAUAAGUAUCAGGCAGUUAUCAGUUGUGAUAAAAGGACCAUCAAGUUGGUGUCCCCACUAGGAGAGGAAGUGGUGACCGAGUUAGUCCCGUCUGAGCCAAAGAAAAGAAGUUGUUAUCAGAUAGCUGUUGAUAGCAGUAAAGCAGACCCGAUUGAGAGCAUCAAGGUUGUGUCCGAGUUCCCGGAUGUGUUUCCAAAGGACCUACCGGGUAUGCCACCAGAGCGGAAAGUUGAGUUUGCCAUAGAGCUUCUUCCUGGAACCGCCCCUAUCUUCAAGAGAGCUUACAGAAUAUCUGGACCAGAGUUGGAUGAACUUAAGAAGCAAAUUGAUGAGUUGUCAGAGAAAGGUUACAUCCGGCCAAGCACCUCGCCUUGGGCCGCCCCUGUUCUAUUUGUGGAAAAGAAAGAUGGCACCAAGAGGAUGUGCAUCGAUUACCGAGCUUUGAAUGAGGUCACGAUCAAGAACAAGUAUCCUUUGCCCAGAAUAGAAGAUAUGUUCGACCAGUUGAGAGGAGCCAGUGUGUUCUCCAAGAUCGAUCUGAGGUCAGGUUACCAUCAGCUCAGGAUCCGACCUUCAGACAUACCGAAGACGGCAUUCAUUACCAAGUAUGGUUUAUAUGAGUUCACAGUGAUGUCUUUUGGUUUGACCAAUGCGCCAGCAUUCUUCAUGAACUUGAUGAAUAGUGUAUUCAUGGAUUACCUUGAUAAGUUUGUGGUGGUAUUCAUUGAUGACAUUCUGAUUUAUUCCCAAAGCGAAGAAGAGCACGCAGAUCAUUUGAGGAUGGUAUUACAGAGAUUGCGAGAGCACCAGUUGUAUGCAAAGUUGAGCAAGUGUGAGUUCUGGAUCAGUGAAGUCCUGUUCUUGGGUCACAUAAUCAACAAGGAAGGAUUGGCUGUGGAUCCGAAGAAAGUGGCAGACAUUCUGAACUGGAAAGCGCCAACAGAUGCUCGAGGAAUCAAGAGUUUCAUUGGAAUGGCCGGAUAUUAUCGGCGAUUCAUUGAAGGGUUUUCGAAGAUCGCGAAACCAAUGACAGCGUUGCUAGGCAACAAAGUUGAGUUCAAGUGGACCCAGAAAUGCCAAGAGGCCUUUGAAGCGCUGAAAGAGAAGUUGACUACAGCGCCUGUCCUAAUCUUGCCUGAUGUGCACAAGCCCUUCUCGGUGUAUUGUGAUGCUUGUUACACAGGUUUGGGAUGCGUGUUGAUGCAAGAGGGAAGAGUUGUGGCUUACUCGUCCCGACAGUUGAAGGUUCAUGAGAAGAAUUACCCAAUCCAUGAUCUAGAGUUGGCAGCGGUGGUUCACGCACUGAAGACAUGGAGGCACUACCUGUAUGGACAGAAAUGCGAUGUUUACACAGAUCACAAGAGUCUAAAGUACAUAUUCACUCAGUCAGAGUUGAACAUGAGGCAACGAAGAUGGUUAGAGUUGAUCAAAGAUUAUGAGUUGGAGAUUCAUUACCAUCCAGGCAAAGCAAACGUAGUGGCAGAUGCUUUGAGCAGAAAGAGUCAAGUCAAUCUGAUGGUCGCUCGCCCGAUGCCUUAUGAGUUGGCCAAGGAGUUUGACAGGUUGAGUCUCGGAUUUUUGAACAAUUCGCGAGGAGUCACAGUUGAGUUGGAACCUACCUUGGAGCGCGAAAUCAAAGAAGCGCUGAAGAAUGAUGAGAAGAUUAGUGAGAUUCGGCGACUGAUUCUAGAAGGCAAAGGCAAAGAUUUUCGAGAAGAUGCAGAAGGCGUGAUAUGGUUCAAAGACCGCUUGUGUGUUCCCAAUGCCCAGUCCAUUCGGGAGUUGAUUCUCAAGGAAGCUCAUGAGACAGCUUAUUCGAUUCACCCUGGCAGUGAGAAGAUGUAUCAGGAUCUGAAGAAGAAAUUCUGGUGGUACGGAAUGAAGAGGGAAAUCGCAGAGCAUGUGGCUAUGUGCGAUAGUUGCCGAAGAAUUAAGGCAGAACACCAGAGACCUGCUGGAUUGUUGCAACCGUUGCAGAUCCCUCAGUGGAAAUGGGAUGAAAUUGGUAUGGAUUUCAUAGUCGGAUUGCCUCGCACUCGAGCCGGCUACGAUUCCAUCUGGGUAGUAGUGGACCGCUUGACCAAGUCAGCCCACUUCAUACCUGUCAAGACCAACUAUAGCAGUGCCGUAUUGGCAGAAUUGUAUAUGUCUCGGAUCGUUUGUCUUCAUGGUGUGCCAAAGAAGAUAGUGUCAGACAGAGGAACGCAGUUCACCUCUCAUUUCUGGCAGCAGUUGCAUGAAGCUUUGGGCACGCAUCUGAAUUUCAGUUCAGCUUAUCACCCGCAGACGGAUGGCCAGACCGAAAGAACCAAUCAAAUUCUUGAAGAUAUGUUGAGGGCAUGUGCGUUGCAAGAUCAGCCCGGAUGGGAUAAGAGAUUGCCUUACGCAGAGUUUUCCUAUAACAACAGUUACCAGGCCAGUUUGAAGAUGUCACCAUUUCAGGCGCUUUAUGGAAGGAGUUGCAGAACUCCGUUGCAAUGGGAUCAGCCUGGAGAAAAGCAAGUGUUUGGGCCAGACAUUUUGCUUGAAGCCGAAGAGAACAUCAAGAUGGUCCGAGAGAAUCUGAAAAUAGCGCAAUCGAGGCAGCGAAGCUAUGCAGACACAAGAAGAAGAGAGCUGAGUUUUGAAGUCGGAGACUUUGUCUAUCUGAAAGUGUCACCGAUCAGAGGAGUCAGAAGAUUCGGAGUGAAAGGCAAGCUAGCACCCCGCUACAUUGGUCCAUACCAGAUCCUCUCAAAGCGUGGAGAAGUGGCUUAUCAGCUCAGUUUGCCAGAGAAUUUGUCAGCUGUGCAUGAUGUCUUUCAUGUGUCUCAGUUGAAGAAGUGCUUGCGUGUGCCAGAAGAGCAGUUGCCAGUGGAAGGUCUUGAAGUCCAGGAGGACUUGACCUACGUUGAGAAGCCAGCUCAGAUCCUUGAGAUUGCAGACAGAGUCACCCGAAGGAAGACCAUCAGAAUGUGCAAAGUCAGAUGGGAUCAUCACUCUGAGGAAGAAGCAACCUGGGAGCGUGAAGAUGAUCUGAUGGCUAAAUACCCUGAGCUCUUUGCUAGCCAACCCUGAAUCUCGAGGGCAAGAUUCUUUUAAGGGGGAUAGGUUUGUAACGCCCUGAAUUUGGGGGUAGAAUUUUUUCUUCUUUUCUCUCACCAAAUUCGGGCGUUACUCUCUUUUCUCUUUCCCCGUUUGCUCUUUCUUCCCAAUUUCAAACCAGUAUAGCGACGAGUGUCCGUGUCAUGUAUAAACCAAAACCUAAGUCUCAUGGGUGUUGCAUCAUGCCGGAGCAUUUUUCUUUGUCUGAUGUUGAGUGUUCGUCUCGUUCCGUUCCGGAUUUCGGUUCGCGAUUUAAUUCCGUUUAGUGGUCCGCGCUCGUCGUGGGUUUCCGAUCCGCGAAGUGGCCCGGCCCAGCCCAACCUAGCCCAGCCCAGCCGGCCCGGCCCGCCUCGGCCUGCGCGCCCCUGGCGCCCAAAACCCCCAUGCGCCCCCCCUCUCCUCUCUCUCUCUCUCAUUUGGAUCUCCCGCGCAACAACCUCUCCUCUCCCUCUUCCACCUCUCUCUCCCCGUGGUGCCCUAGGGUUUGGAGACGGCGAUCACCGGAUUUUGGACCCCGAGGUGAGCUCCCCUCCCCUCCCCUUCUCUCUCUCUCUCUCUCCCUCCUCUUCUUCCCCCCGCGCGCGCCCUCCUUCUCCCCUGCUCGCGCACCCCCUGCCCGCCCCUGCUCGCCGGCGGCGCGACGCCCCCCGCCCCUGCCCGGCCCCGCGCGGCGGCGCCCGCCCUCCCCCUCGCGCGCGCGGCGGCGCCCGCCCUCCCCCGGAAGCGGCGGCGCUCGCCCGCCCCUCCCCCUCGCGCGCGGUGGCGGCGCCCGCCCUCGCCCCGGUCCGCGGCGACCCCGCCCGUCCCCGCCCCUGCUCGGCGCGGCGGCGCCCGACCCCGUCCCCGCCCCUCGUCGGCGGCGCUCCCCCCACCCCGGCCCCGCGGCGGCGCUCCCCGCCCCCCUGCCCGCCCGCGCGGCGCUCCCCGCCCCUUCCCGCGGCGGCGCCCGCCCGUCCCGGCCCCGUGGCGGCGCCCGCCCGCCCCCGCCCCUCCCCUGCUCGCGCGCAGCGCGGCCCCGGCGCGCCCCCGGCGCGGCCCGGCGCGGCCCCGGUGGCCCCUGCUCGCCGGCGCGACCCCGGCGCGGCCCCCGGCCCCCGGCGCGGCCCCGGCCGGCUCGGCCGCCUCUGGCCGGUUCAACCGCCCUGGCCCCAGCUCGCCCGCCCGUUCCCCGUCCCGGCCUCGCCCGAACGUAUCUUCGCUCGCCCGCGCUCGCGGUGACUAUUCGUUAAUUAGCGUGUUGCGUCGCGCGCUUCGCCGCGCGACGGAUUUGUCUAAAUUCAGAUUCUAUCUUGUGUUGCGUCGUGCGCUUCGUCGCGCGACGAUCCAUUUUUGUUUCAGGUUGUUUAAGGUGUAACGCCGCGUGUGUAUUCACGCGACGUUCCACUUUGGACUCAGUUUAGUCGACGUAUGCCGUCGUGCGCUUCGUCGCGCCACGCUUAACGUCUCCUCGUAACUAAGGCGAAGUGUCUCGUUGCGUGCUCGGUCGCGCGACGAGUCGUUAACUUCUUAAUUUGUUUUAGAGAGCUUUGUCGCGCGUCUCGCCGCGCGACCAUCCUUUUAUUUAUCUCCACCUGCUUAUAAUAAUUAGACAUGAAACAUGACUUUACUUUACGCUAAACAUAGUGUCUACAUUAAAUUUCCUUCCAUUAAGCGAGUGGUUAAUUUAUAAUCAUGUAACGUUAUCGUUUCUCGACUGUCUUUUCCUCUUUCUCUCUUAACCGUACUCGCGAGCCUGCGUAGAACGUCUGUUUACUUAUUGCAUUCUAUUGUAUGGUGUACUGUUCUUUGGUAUUAAAUGUGUGGAUGUAUGUAUGUUUGCGCUCGUAUAGAGAACGAUCCGGUUGAAGAGCCCGAGGAACCCGCAGGAGAAGCCCCUGAGCAGCAGUCGUUUGGUGGAGGCAAGUGUCCCUUGACCUAUCUAUGUCCUAUCCAUUCUUUAAUUCACCUCCCGCUUUACACAUUUAUGCCUAAGGAUUGACUAGCUUUUGUUAUCCAUGUCCUUGUUCACCUAUUUGGGUUGGAUUAUUACUGUUUAGCUUUAUGCUAUUGCUUAACUCUAAUCAAUGAACAUGAUGAGAAUAUCUAUGAUACGCUGUUUUCCCCUCUCUUAUUAUGAUGUUAUGCUUGUGGUCUUCAAGGGGGCUCGAGCGGUUUCUCGAGUGCCUCUCCGUAAGGACCUGUUCUAUGGAUGACCGCCCGGGAAAACAGUGCAACCAUGAGGGUAGAAUGGGGUGCCCUUAGCUGAAUAAUUAGAGGAUCCGGGGUGUAGUUCACUUAGCCGUCGUGCCGUCAAUGGGGCUCGGUGUAUGCGGCUCGCUCUGCCAAGUUUGGGUUCGCCCCUUGGGGAGGAGUGCGGUGCAUUUAGGAAACCUAACGGGUGGCUACAGUCCCGGGGAAUCUUUGUAAAGGCUACGUAGUGAUGCCCUGCUGGGUCACCUUGGUAGUGAUCAAUGGAGAGUCAUGAUCUCCGGGCAGAAUGGGAAUCACGGCUUGUGGGUAAAGUGCACAACCUCUGCAGAGUGUUUGAAAAACUGAUAUAUCAGCCGUGCUCACGGUUAUGAGCGGCCAAGGGAGCUCCAGUGAUUAGUGGUACUUGAUCAGAGAUACUUUGGUACAGGUGGUUAUGAGAUUGAUGGUUUCGGUUCUGACUAUGAUGCUGGUAAGUGGUACUCUUUCCGUUUGGAAAGGAGUACGUUUGGGUUAAUAACUUGGGUUAAUGCUAAAACUUGGCUUUCUACUAGUAAGUAAUAAUCUGACCAACUAAAAGCAACUGCUUGACUUAUCCCCACAUAAAGCUAGUCCACUACAGCCAAAACAGGAUACUUGCUGAGUAUGUUGAUGUGUACUCACCCUUGCUCUACACACCAAACCCCCCCUAGGUCGUCAGCAUUGCAACCACUGCUCAGGCGAAGAUGAAGCUGUGGAAGGAGACUUCCAGGAGUUCCAAGAUUACGACGAGUUCUAGGUGUGGGUUAGCGGCAACCCCCAGUCGGCUGCCUGUGAAGGCCGCGGUUAUCUACGUUUCUUUUCCGCACUUUGAUUUAUUGUAAGGACUAUAUGGACGUCUCAGACGUAUGAUGUAAUCGACUAUUUCCCUUAUUAAUACUAUUUUGAGCACUGUGUGAUGAUGUCCAUAUUAUGUAACUGCUGUGUACGUGAAUAACUGAUCCUGGCACGUACAUGGUUCGCAUUCGGUUUGCCUUCUAAAACCGGGUGUGACACACGAUCUCGCCUCGCCCGAGCCUAGCCUCGGGCAAGAACAGCAGACCCAGGUGGAUUCACGUCUUGCCCGAGGGUCUCCUCAAGCAACGGGCGCACCUUCGACUCGCCCGAGGCCUAGCUCGGGUAGGCUUCGCGGAGAAGCAACCUUGGCCAGAUCGCCUCGCCAACCUACCGUAUCGCAGGAGCAUUCAAUGCAAGGAUUGUCUGACACCUUAUCUUGACGCGCGUUCCUCAGUCGACAGAGCCGAAGUGGCCGCAGUCAUUUUGCCCCUCCACUGACUGACCUGACAGGAAAAUAGCGCCGCCUGCCCUGCUCCGACUACUAUGCCACCCGCCAGGGUGAGGCUGACAGCAGCCAAGUCCAGCCUCAGGCACCAUAGGAAGCUCCGCCUCGCCCGAUCCCAGGGCUCGGCCCCCGCCUCGACCUCGGACGACGGACUCUGCUUCGCCCAACCCCAGGACUCGGACUCAACCUUGACCUCGGACGACGGUCUCCGCCUCGCCCGACCCCAGGGCUCGGACUCAGCCUCGACCUCGGAGGAGUCACCGCCUCGCCCGACCUCGGGCUCGGACCAACCACGCCGCAGGGGGGUACAUCAUUACCCUACCCCUAGCUAGCUAAGGCUACGGGGAACAAGACCGGCGUCCCAUCUGGCUCGCCCCGGUAAACAAGUAAUGAUGGCACCCCGCGUGCUCCAUGACGACGGCGGUCCUCAGCCCCUUACGGAAGCAAGGAGACGUCAGCAAGGACCCGACAGCCCCGACAGCUAUGCUUCUACAGGGUUUAAGCGCUCCUCCGACGACCACGACAUCACAUGAACAGGGCUCCAACACCUCUCCGACAGCCACGUCGGCAUGUACAUAGGGCUCUGGCUCCUCUCUGCUAGACACGUUAGCACGUUGCUACACCCCCCCAUUGUACACCUGGGCCUUCUCCUUACGUCUAUAAAAGGAAGGUCCAGGGCCCUCGUACGGGAGGGUGGCCGCGCGGGAGAAUGGGCCGACAGAUAGGCUCUCACUCUCUCUCUCUCUCUCCCUCGCGAACGCUUGUAACCCUCUACUGCAAGCGCAUCCGCCCUGGGCGCAGGACAACACGAGUCGUGGUUCCCCUUAUUGUUCCCCCUUGUGUUCCGUCUCGCGCCGACCCAUCUGGGCUGGGACACGCAGCGACAAUUUACUCGUCGGUCCAGGGACCCCCCGGGUCGAAACGCCGAUAGUUGGCGCGCCAGGUAGGGGCCUGCUGCGUGUUGACGAACAGCUUCACGUCAAGCUCCAGAUAGGUAGUCUCCAGCAACCUCUCCAGCCCGGGACACUGCUCCGUUUCGGGAGUCUAGAGUUCAUGUCCCUCGAUGGCAGCUACGACAUGGUACUCCUUCCUCCGUCGCGCGACAACGACAACGACGGCCAUCAGCCCGCCCGACGGCGGCAGAAUCGACGACGUCUUCCCCGCGUGACAGAAGAGCAGCAUCCGGGUCUGUCCCGUCACCUUCCCCGCCGACGGAGGAGGAGGCGGGGCAACCAUGGCCAAGCAGGAGGCGGCACCUCGUUGGCUGUCGAGCGAGUCGAUGACGCCGGUGCCCCAGCGGGGGACACGGCGGACGUUGACCUCGCGUCUGAGACGAAGAUGAGCAUCGUUUCCCCGCAACAUGCCAACCCCAAGCAGACGGACGACGCCAGUAUGCUCGCGAAGGACUUGCUGGGCGUUAGCCUCGUACCUGAGAUAACGGUGCAGUCCGUCCCCGACGCGACUUCGUCACCAUCCGUCGAUCUAGAGGUACCGUCCGUUUUCUACCCUGUGCCUUUUAGAUUCAGCUUCGACCCACCAAGCAAUCCCGCUUCGGUGGACACUUUCAUAAAGGCAUAUCCUAGCCUUCUGGGGUACCAUAUGUGGUCAACCUGGGAUCGACUGACGGCCGUCUCGACCUACGGGCCCCCGGGUUCCGAGGAAGAUGACGAGCCCGACUCUGGUUGGGAUUUCUCCGGGCUCGGUAACCCCAGUGCCAUGCGAGACUUCAUGGCCGCAUGUGACUACUGCCUCUCCGAUUGCUCCGAUGGUGGCCAAAGCCUUGACGACGAGGAUUGUGGCCCAAGUCGCGAAUGUUUCCACGUCGAUCUAGGGGGUCUCGACGAAGGCAACCACCUUGGUAAGCAGGAUCCCCCUAGGCCCGCGCCUCGCGUUGACAUCCUUCGGGAGCUAGCUGUGGUCCCAGUCCCUGCAGAGGGUCAGGACGCACAGCUCGAGCAAAUCUGCGAGAUACAGGCCAGGCUCGACGAGGAAGCAGGACAACUUGUGCAGCUCCGGCAGAACAUCGGGCAGGAGUGGGCAGGCCGAGCACCAGCCGGAGAAGCGCGUCAUCUGGCCUAGGACGUCCAACACCGCAUCACCGACGAUGCCAGGGCAAGGCUGCCUCCGGCCUCCAGUGGGGUCGGCCAGAACCUGGCUGCAGCAGCAAUACUGCACCGAGCGAUGCCGAAACCAUCCACCACCGAGGGGCGACAUAUCCAAAGAGAGCUCAAGAAUCUCCUGGAGGAUGACGCGGUCUAACGGACCGAAAGCUCUGCCUCCCGAAGGCAGGGGUACCCCCGGAGCAUCGCGCCGCGACUUCCCGAUUCAUGCGGGAAGCCUCGGUCCACACCGGGCGCACGCGGGACACAGCGCCUGCGGCCCCGGGUCGCCUCGGCAACGAGCACCACCGCCGCGACCGUCGAGCCCACCUCGACGAGAAGGUGCGCCGAGGCUACCACACUAGGCGUGGGGGACGCUACGACAGCGGGGAGGAUCGGAGCCCUUCGCCCAAACUGCCCGGUCCGCAGGCUUUCAGCCGAGCCAUACGAUGGGCGCCGUUCCCGACCCGGUUCCGAACCCCGACUACCAUCACCAAGUACUCGGGGGAGACAAGGCCGGAACUGUGGCUCGCGGACUACCGGCUGGCCUGCCAGCUGGGUGGAACGAACUAUGACAACCUCAUCAUCCGCAACCUCCCCCUGUUCCUCUCCGACGUCGCCCGAGCCUGGCUAGAGCAUCUGCCUCCUGCGCAGAUCUCCAACUGGGACGACCUAGUCAAAGCCUUCGCCAGCAACUUCCAGGGCACAUACGUGCGCCCUGGGAACUCCUGGGAUCUCCGAAGCUGCCGCCAGCAACCGGGAGAAUCCCUGUGGGACUACAUCCGGCGAUUUUCGAAGCAGCGCACUGAGCUGCCCAACAUCACCGACUCAGAUGUCAUCGGCGCGUUCCUCGCCGGCACCACUUGCCGCGACCUGGUGAGCAAGCUGGGUCGCAAGACUCCCACCAGGACGAGCGAGCUGAUGGACAUCGCUACCAAGUUCGCCUCUAGUCAGGAGGCGGUUGAGGCCAUCUUCCGGAAGGACAAGCAGCCUCAGGGGCGCCAGCCGGAAGAUGUCCCCGAGGCGUCCGCUCAACGCGGCACCAAGAAGAAGGGCAAGAAGAAGUCACAAGCGAAAUGCGACGCCACCGACGCAGACCUUAUCGCCGCCGCCGAGCACAGGAACCCUCGGAAGCCUCCCGGAGGCGUCAACCUGUUCGACAAGAUGCUCAAGGAGUCGUGCCCCUAUCAUCAGGGUCCCGUCAAGCACACCCUUGAGGAGUGCGUCAUGCUUCGGCGCUACUUCCACAAGGCCGGGUCCCCGGCGGAAGGUGGCAGAGCCCACGACAACGACAAGGAGGGCCAUAAGGCAGAGGAGUUCCCCGAGGUCCACGACUGCUUCAUGAUCUACGGUGGGCAAGUGGCGAAUGCCUCAGCUCGGCACCGCAAGCAAGAGCGCCGGGAGGUCUGCUCGGUGAAGGUGGCGGCGCCAGUCUACCUAGACUGGUCCGACAAGCCCAUCACCUUCGACCAAGGCGACCACCCCGACCGCGUGCUGAGCCCGGGGAAGUACCCGCUCGUUGUCGAUCCUGUCGUCGGCAAUGUCAGGCUUACCAAGGUCCUCAUGGACGGAGGCAGCAGCCUCAACAUCAUCUACGCCGAGACCCUCGGGCUCUUGCAGAUCGAUCUGUCCACGAUCCGGGCCGGCGCGACGCCCUUUCACGGGAUCAUCCCCGGGAAGCGCGUCCAACCCCUUGGGCAACUCGAUCUACCCGUCAGCUUUGGGACUCCCUCCAACUUUCGAAAGGAAACCCUCAUGUUCGAGGUGGUUGGGUUCCGAGGAACCUACCACGCAAUGCUGGGGAGACCAUGCUACGCCAAGUUCAUGGCCGUCCCCAACUACACGUACCUCAAGCUCAAGAUGUUGGGCCCCAACGGGGUCAUCACCGUCGGAUCCACGUACCGACACGCGUACGAAUGCGACGUGGAGUGCGUGGAGUACGCUGAGGCCCUCGCCGAAUCCGAAGGCCCUCAUCACCGACCUGGAGAGCCUCUCCAAGGAAGUGUCAGACGCGAAGCGCCACACCGGCAACUUUGAGCCAGCAGAGGCAGUUAAGUCCGUCCCUCUCGACCCCAGCAACGACGCCUCCAAGCAAGUCCGGAUCGGCUCCGAGCUCGACCCCAAAUAGGAAGCAGUGCUCGUCGACUUUCUCCGCGUGAACGCCGAGGUUUUUGCGUGGAGUCCCUCGGACAUGCCUGGAAUAGCGAGGGAUGUCGUCGAGCACUCGCUGGAUAUCCGAGCUGGAGCCCGACCCGUGAAGCAGCCAAUGCGCCGAUUCGACGAAGAAAAGCGCAGAUCCAUAGGCGAGGAGAUCCACAAGCUGAUGGUUGCAGGGUUCAUCAAAGAGGUGUCUCAAGGCGAGAGGCGUAAAACUCAAUCCCGAGAAGUGUGUCUUCGGAGUCCCCCGAGGCAUGCUCCUGGGGUUCAUCGUCUCCGAGCGGGGCAUCGAGGCCAACCCAGAGAAAAUCACGGCCAUCAACAACAUGGGGCCCAUCAAGGACUUGAAAGGAGUACAGAGGGUCAUGGGAUGCCUUGUGGCUAUGAGCCGCUUCAUCUCGCGCCUCGGCGAAAGAGGCCUACCCCUGUACCGCCUCUUAAGGAAGACCGAGCGCUUCACUUGGACCCCCGAGGCCGAGGAAGCCCUCGGGAACAUAAAGGCGCUCCAUACAAGCGCGCCCAUCCUGGUGCCCCCACUGCCGGAGAAGCCCUCUUGAUCUACGUAGCCGCAACCACUCAGGUGGUCAGCGCCGCGAUCGUAGUCGAGAGACGAGAAGAAGGGCAUGCAUUGCCCGUCCAGAGGCUGGUCUACUUCAUCAGUGAGGUACUGUCCGAGACCAAAAUCUGUUACCCGCAAAUUCAGAAGCUACUGUACGCGGUAAUUCUGACGCGGCGAAAGUUGUGACACUACUUCGUGUCUCAUCCGGUGACUGUGGUGUCAUCCUCCCCCCUAGGGGAGAUCAUCCAAUGCCGAGAGGCCUCGGGUAGGAUUGCAAAGUGGGCAGUGGAGAUCAUGGGCGAGACAAUCUCAUUUGCCCCUCGGAAGGCCAUCAAGUCCCAAGUCUUGGCGGACUUCGUGGCUGAAUGGGUCGACACCUAGCUUCCAGCAGCUCCGAUCCAACCGGAACUCUGGACCAUGUUUUUCGACGGGUCGCUGAUGAAAACAGGAGUGGGCGCGGGCCUGCUCUUCAUCUCACCCCUUGGGAAGCACCUCCGCUACGUGCUGCGCCUCCAUUUCCCGGCGUCCAACAACGUGGCCGAGUACGAGGCUCUCGUUAACGGGUUGUGCAUCGCCAUUGAGCUAGGGGUUCAGCGCCUCAACGCUCGUGGCGACUCGUAGCUUGUCAUCGACCAAGUCAUGAAGAACUCCCAUUGCCGCGACCCGAAGAUGGAAGCCUACUGCGACGAGGUUCGGCGCCUGGAGGACAAGUUCUACGGGCUCGAGCUCAACCACGUUGCUCGACGAUACAACGAGACUGCGAACGAGCUGGCUAAGAUAGCCUCGGGGCGGACAACGGUUCCCCUGGACGUCUUCUCCCGAGACCUACAUCAACCCUCCGUCAAGACCGACGACACGCCCGAGCCCGAGAAGGCCUCGGCUCUGCCCGAGGUGCCCUCGGCUCAGCCCGAGGCACCCUCGGCCGCCGAGGGUGAGGCACUGAGCGUCGAGGAAGAGCGGAAUGGGGUCACGCCUAAUCAAAACUGGCAGACCCCGUACCUGCAAUAUCUCCACCGAGGAAAGCUACCCCUCGACAGAGCCGAAGCUCGGCGACUGGCGCGGCACGCCAGGUCGUUCGUCUUGCUGGGUGAAGAAAAGGAGCUCUACCACCGCAGCCCCUCAGGCAUCCUCCAGCGAUGUGUAUCCAUCGCCGAAGGUCAGGAGCUAUUGCAAGAAAUACACUCGGGGGCUUGCGAUCAUCACGCAGCACCUCAAGCCCUCGUUGGGAAUGCCUUCCGACAAGGUUUCUACUGGCCAACCGCGGUGGCCGACGCCACUAGAAUUGUACGCACCUGCCAAGGGUGUCAAUUCUACGCAAGGCAGACGCACCUGCCCGCUCAGGCCUUGCAAACAAUACCCAUCACCUGGUCGUUUGCUGUGUGGGGUCUGGACCUCGUCGGUCCCUUGCAGAAGGCACCCGGGGGCUUCACGCACCUGCUGGUCGCUAUCGACAAAUUCUCCAAGUGGAUUGAGGUCUGACCCCUAAACAGCAUCAGGUCCGAACAGGCGGUGGCGUUCUUCACCAACAUCAUCCAUCGCUUUGGGGUCCCGAACUCCAUCAUCACCGUCAACGGCACCCAGUUCACUGGCAGGAAGUUCCUGGACUUCUGCGAGGACCACCACAUCCGGGUGGACUAGGUCGCCGUAGCUCACCCAUGACGAAUGGGCAGGUAGAGCGUGCCAAUGACAUGAUUCUGCAGGGACUCAAGCCGAGGAUCUACAACGACCUCAACAAGUUCGGCAGGCGAUGGAUGAAGGAAAUCCCCUCGGUGGUCUGGAGUCUGAGGACGACGCCAAGCCGAGCCACGGGCUUCACGCCGUUCUUUCUAGUCUACGGGGCCAAGGCUAUCUUGCCCAUAGACUUAGAAUACGGUUCCCUGAGGACAAGGGCGUACGACGACCAAAGCAACCAGACCAGCCGAGAAGACUCACUGGACCAGCUGGAAGAGGCUCGGGACAUGGCCUUACUACACUCGGCAAGGUAUCAGCAGUCUCUGCGACGCUACCACGCCCGAGGGGUUCGGUCCCGAGACCUCCAGGUGGGGGACUUGGUGCUUCGGCUACGACAAGACGCCCGAGGGCACCACAAGCUCACGCCUCCCUGGGAAGGGUCGUUCAUCAUCGCCAAGAUUUUGAAGCCCGGAACAUACAAGCUGGCCAACAGUCAAGGCGAGGUCUACAGCAACGCUUGGAACAUCCGACAGCUACAUCGCUUUUACCCUUAAGAUGUUUUCAAGUCGUUCAUAUGCCUCGUUCUCUUUACAUACACAAAUAAAGUCUAACCAUCAAGGAAGGGUCAUCCUUGCCUCGGCAAAGCCCGACCCUCCCUCGGGGGCUAGAAGGGGGGAACCCACUCUGCGUCAAAAAUUUUCCUCGGAAAAAGUCUUUCUGUCAGAACGUCUUUCGCGCUUUUCGACUACUUCGAUAGUGGGAUCCUGAAAACGACGGAGUACACGUAAGCGGCAAGGCCGACCGAGCCGAGGGACUCCUACGCCUCCAGGAUACGGAUACCUCACUCAUCACCUUCUGCGAUAAGUAACUCAUGCUCGGAUAAGCGAUUCCGCUGACCGAACAAGUCUUAACGCUCGAAAAAUUUUCUGCCGAAACGAUUUUUCGUGCCUUCUCGACUAUAUCGAUAACAAAAUCUUGCGGACGAGUAAGAGUACACGUAAGCGGCGAGGCCGACCGAGCCGAGGGACUCCUACGCCUCCGGGAUACGGAUACCUCACUCAUCACCUCCCGUGAUAAGCAACUCUCGCUCGGAUAAGCGAUUCUGCUACCGACAAACAAGUCCUGAUACUCGAAACAAGGGGAAAAGAAAUGCAGCUUUACAACACGACGAUGGUAUGUUUGGGCCUCGGCGGCCGCAAAAAACAUACGCAUACUACAGACAAACUGAUCCUGCAGGUUCAGACAUCAGUAGGGGGGCAACAGCACCCUCGGCGUCGACUCCACCUUCGGCGGAAUCCGGCCCGGCCUCGGACGGCGACACGGUCGGAGGAUCUCCACCUCGAAGGAAGAUGUCAGCACCGCGCCUGGGCCAUCGCCGCCAGGGUCUCCUCCAGGAACACGGCCCAAGCAGACGGCUUGAUCAGUUGCUCCGUAGCCUCAGCCAGCUGACCCCGAGGACAUCAGCCCGGCUCAUGGCCUCGGCAGCCCGACUCCAGGGUUGGUCCCGCCAGUGGACGACCUGGCCAGGUUCCAGCCGCCGCUGCUACGCCUCUGUUGGGACCAUGCUUCGUCGCCGAAGGUCCUGUAAAAAGAAACAGCUUUGGCUGAAGCUGCUCGUACGUGACGCCGAAGGCAUCAUUCAUGAAGCUUCGGUGCUAUAACAUAUCCGAAGAUGAAGGGUCGAACCGACUUAAAGAUAGAAUAACCUUUUAGCCCAUAGGGGUCUGAAUCAUUGUGGUAAACUUUUAUGAGGGGCAUGAUUGUAAUUCCUCACAGGCUGUGUUCUGUGCCUAUAAAUAGUGAACAGUAUUCCUUUACUAUUCACGCAUUCCUGUAAUUGCUAACGCAUCACUCGGGAAUUAUUGUUUGUCAAAGGCAAAGGUAUAAAUGUACUUAAAUAUUGUGUUCGGAUAUUAUAAAUUCAUUUAAUAAGAUAAAUAAAUGAUGUCAUUUAUUUUCAAUGUAUUUAACUUUAAUAUUUCAUGUUUUACUUUUCUUUGUAUUAUUUUUAUAAGCUCAUUUACGAAGGUGAAAACCUUCGUAGCAUUAUGCCCGUGACCUUCGUCCGAGGUUCAUUAAAUCCUUGUGGAAAUAAUGCUUCGGCGGACGAAGGGCAUUGAUAUUUAACAUUUUAUGUUGCCUUGUUCUUAAUUCAUAGCAUUUGAGAACAAGUCCCCAACAACCUCCUCGGCCUGGGAAGUCCCCUGCUCCUGAGCCAACGAAGUUUUCUUCUCCAACCGACUCCGCCUCUGUCCACGCUCACACCGCUGCCUCCGGCUCCGGCUCAUCGCAGAGCAGCCGAGGUUUUCCUUUAACUAAACAAGAGAGGCCUUGGGUGGCAAGGCCGACCGAGCCGAGGGACUCCUAUGCCUCCGGGAUACGGAUACCUCACUCGUCACCUUCCGCACAGGGCAACUCACACUUGGUUAAGCGGUCCAGCUAGCCGACAGGCGAGUCCUAGUGCCCGAAAUGAGGAAGAAACACGGUAUUGCACCAAAAAUACCCAGAUGUUCAGGCCCCGACAGCCACAUUGAACAGACACCGGCACUCAAGGUGCCAUUACAAACGGAACUCCAGUUCCACUCCCGCAGGUACGAACAACCCCCCACAUUGGAGGGCCUGCGGGACGAUGAAACUCCAGGUGGCUCGCCGUCGCCCACUCCGUCAGCAGCGACAACGACCUCCACUCUGGGCGGCUAAACAGCAGCAGUGAUGACCUCAGGGCAGACGCUGCCGUGACAAGGCCCUCGCUCGCGUCCCCACUCGAGGGGCGAGGACAAGCUAUCAAAGCCAAAGAGCCGGAGGUCGGUCCGCGGGUGGCGCUGACGGUCUCGUCGGCGGAGAAGCUUUCUCCAGCUGCCACCACCUCAGCACCGGCGGCGGCGUCCACCCACCCACCAACACCGCACCAGCGGGCGCCGGCCACCCCAAAGCGCACCGGUAGGUCCUCACUCCCGUCCUCGCCACGAAAACGAGAAUGGGACCGUCCCAGAACACGAGUACCGCCCUCGCGGCGUAUGACGUGUUGUGAGACCCCCGGUGCGGCUGGCCACCGUUGCCCGGACAGAGGACAAAAUGCUGCACCCUGGCUGGGCAGCAGCAGUUCGCCUUCCCCGGCAUGGCUGGAGGGCACCUCCUCCACAGAGCUGGAGGAUGGUUUCCACCCCCAGAAGCCGGAGGAAGAAGCGGGACGCCAGCCCACGCGAAGGCAGGCCCCGGCUCGCCUCGCCCUCCUCCCCAGCAAGGAUGAUGAAGAUCCUUGAAGCUGAGGGCGGGGCGGAGGCCACAGCCCGGCUUGCUUCUCCCCACCAUCGAACUGGUGGUCACCGUCUCGAGUGACCAUUGGUGAGGGGAUGCAGUUGGGCUGCCUGAUGAAAAUCCUUGAAGCCGAGCGAUGGCUGAAAGGUACCAACUUCCGCGAAGUUGCGCUCCUCCAACAACAGCAAGACGAAAGCAACACGGGCGCUCCCCAUCCGGGGGCUCGGAAGGUGGAAGGGCGCAAUGCAUGAGGGGAGUGCGAAGGCAUGGCUGCCACCCAAGGGGGUCGCCCCCUUUUUAAAGGCGACUCUCCUCACUCGCGUCCUCAGGCGUCACAGACUAAGUCUUCACCAACGCGCUCCAAGGUCCUCCCCCUACGACACGAGGGCGGGGUCCCACACGCCAUGCAAGCUGGCCGGGACAAAAGAAGCCAAACCGCCGUGCGCGGAGCGUGUAACCGCCCAGCGGUUACAAGCACUCCUCCAUCUUCGCCUAAACCAGUGGGUGAAAGGGCGGACCGACAUGCAGGCGACAUGCAACUGCACCACAGAGAUGCACCCUUUCGACUUCGACGCAUCCAGCGUGGAGGCCCAGGCCCACACGUCAUGUAACUGGCGCGCCGGUUGCUACGUGCGAAAAACUGCACCGCCUCUUGCGCCAGUACCACGCCUCCUCGACUGCGGAACCGGUGCCGCGACUCGAGGCACCCCUGCGCACGGCCCAGCAGUGCCAACCAGGCGCAUCGGUCAUGGAUCAGUCAGACGCGGGAGAAGGCGCGACGAUCGAAAUGGCCAAAAGUGGGCCGACAGUAAUGGCGGCGGCAGGCGGGCGGAAGCAGCAGUCAAAUCGUCUGCAGGCUCACGUCCCCUCCUGGGACAGCGAGAGAGCCCUCUCCCACGGCGUGAAGACGACGCGCCCAUGUUCCGUUCCUCGAAUGGCUCGCGCAACGGCUGCCCCGCGAACCACUCGUCCCGUCGCAUUAACUCCACGGCAGGGCAGGCGACACCUUUGGCAGGCGAAGCGGGCGACGCUUCACCUCCACCAUGAUGACCGCGUCAAAAAAGGUGCGCCACGUCGUUCAAUUUCGUAUCCUUUUCCUCUUCCCCUUUCUCUCUCUUGCUACAGGGACCGGGAAAGGGGAUACUCCGAAAGGGAUCCUUCUCCGCGAAGGAAGCGGGCCCCGAGCCCCCCUACUGAUCAGAGGUUCGAAGGCUGGCCCCUCGGAAGGGUUCAACAGCCGCCUCAGAGCACUUGGGCUCCGAGCCCUCCUAUUGAUCAGAGGUUCGAAGGCUAGCCCCUCGGGAGGGUUCGAUAGCCGCCUCAGACCACCCGGGCUCCGUGCCCACUACUGAUCAGGGGUUCGAAGGCUGGCCCCCCGAAGGGUUCGACAGCCGCCUCAGAACACGUAGAGCGAGGGAUGACUCUGGGUACGUCUGAUACAUGGCCGAGGCUCGGGCUACGCUCCUGAGGUACCCUAGGACAUUUCCAAGACCAGCAGGAGCGAUUCUAUAACGGAAUCCCAUCAGAGGGAGGCAUCGAGCCCUCUGACCCUAUCAAACGAGACCGGGUCCGGCAAAUCACCUGCAGGUACUUUUGGAGCGUGCAUCUGGGCCACUAGCCGACCCUUAUCGAACGGGGCACGGGCGUCCACUCAGAUCACCCGUUAGCUACUCACUGGAGACACCAUGUUCGACACCCUCCGAGGGCAACAUGGCACUUUCCCCCCCUCCUUGCGGAAAGGCGACAAAGGGGCGUAUGAUAAAAGCCGAGUCAGUCCUUGACCGUCCGCUCGCUCUGUGCAGAGGCUCGGGGGCUGCUCUCGCAAACCCGGCUCCGGCCAAACCGUUGACAGCGUCAACAUACCAGCCCAAGAACUCGGAACCUGACCAUGCACCCGGGUUACGAUCAGAUCGCAUGAGGGAACAACCAGACCGGCCUAGGCGUCACGAAAGACACUAAGACCUCGGAGGAGUCAAACCACUCCUCCGAGGCCUCGGAGGCUACACCCGGCGGGUGCGCUCGCGCGCACCCACCGGAACAAAAUGCAACCGAGAAAGGUCGGUCCCCUUGCAAAAAAGUGCGACAAAGCCUCCAAGCGAGUACCAACACUCCCUUUGAGGCUCGGGGGCUACUGUCGGGACCAUAAUUAGGGGUACCCCCAAGACUCCUAAACUCGGCUGGUAACCACCAUCAGCACAAAGCUGCAAAGGCCUAAUGGGCGCAAUACAGGUCAAAGCUCCGCCCACUCAAGGGACACGAUCUCGCCUUGCCCGAGCCCAGCCUCGGGCAAGAACAGCAGACCCAGGUGGAUUCACAUCUCGCCCGAGGGUCUCCUCAAGCAACGGGCGCACCUUCGACUCGCCCGAGGCCUAGCUCGGGCAGGCUUCGCGGAGAAGCAACCUUGGCCAAAUCGCCUCGCCAACUGACCAUAUCGCAGGAGCAUUCAAUGCAAGGAUUGUCUGACACCUUAUCCUGACGCGCAUUCCUCAGUCGACAGGGCCGAAGUGGCCGCAGUCAUUUCGCCCCUCCACUAACUGACCUGACAGGAAAACAGUGUCGCCUGCCCUGCUCUGACUGUUGUGCCACCCGCUAGGGUGAGGCUGACAGCAGCCAAGUCGAGCCUCAGGCACCAUAGGAAGCUCCGCCUCGCCCGAUCCCAGGGCUCGGCCCCCGCCUCGACCUCGGACGACGGACUCCGCUUCGCCCGACCCCAGGGCUCGGACUCAACCUCGACCUCGGACGACGGUCUCCGCCUCGCCCGACCCUAGGGCUCGGACUCAGCCUCGACCUCGGAGGAGUCACCGCCUCGCCCGACCUUGGGCUCGGACCGACCACGCCGCAGGGGGGUACAUCAUUACCCUACCCCUAGCUAGCUCAGGCUACGGGGAACAAGACUGGCAUCCCAUCUAGCUCGCCCCGGUAAACAAGUAAUGAUGGCACCCCGCGUGCUCCAUGACGACGGCGGUCCUCAGCCCCUUACGGAAGCAAGGAGACGUCAGCAAGGCCCCGACAGCUGUGCUUCUACAGGGUUUAAGCGCUCCUCCGACGGCCAUGACAUCACAUGAACAGGGCUCCAACACCUCUCCGACAGCCACGUCGGCAUGUACAUAGGGCUCUGGCUCCUCUCUGCUAGACACGUUAGCACGUUGCUACACCCCCCAUUGUACACCUGGGCCUUCUCCUUACGUCUAUAAAAGGAAGGUUCAGGGCCCUCGUACGGGAGGGUGGCCGCGCGGGAGAACGGGCCGACGGAUAGGCUCUCACUCACUCUCUCUCUCUCUCUCUCUCUCUCUCUCUCUCUCUCUCUCUCUCUCUCCCUCGCGAACGCUUGUAACCCCCUACUGCAAGCGCAUCCGCCCUGGGCGCAGGACAACACGAGUCGCGGUUCCCCUUAUUGUUCCCCCUUGUGUUUCGUCUCGCGCCGACCCAUCUGGGCUAGGACACGCAGCGACAAUUUACUCGUCGGUCCAGGGACCCCCCGGGGUCGAAACGCCGACAAUAUCAUAUUUGGGUCUACUAACAAAUCUACAUGUGAAGAGUUUAGUAGGAUCAUGACUCAAAAAUUCGAGAUGUCAAUGAUGGGGGAGUUGAAGUAUUUUCUAGGCUUCCAAGUAAAGCAACUCCAAGAGGGCACCUUCAUUAGCCAAACAAAGUACAUUCAAUAUAUUCUCACCAAGUUUGGGAUGAAGGAUGCCAAACCCAUCAAGACACCCAUGGGAACUAAUGGGCAUCUCAACCUCGACACAGGAGGUAAAUCCGUAGAUCAAAAGGUAUACCGGUCGAUGAUAGGUUCUUUACUCUAUUUAUGUGCUUCACGACCGGACAUUAUGCUUUCCGUAAGCAUGUGUGCAAGAUUCCAAGCCGAUCCUAAGGAAGUUCACCUUAGGGCCGUGAAACGAAUCUUGAGAUAUUUAGUUUAUACUCCUAAGUUUGGCCUUUGGUACCCCAGGGGAUCCACAUUCGAUUUAAUUGGUUAUUCCGAUGCUGAUUGGGCAGGGUGUAAAAUUAAUAGAAAGAGCACAUCAGGGACUUGCCAGUUCUUGGGAAGAUUUUUAGUGUCUUGGGCUUCAAAGAAGCAAAACUCUAUGGCUCUCUCUACCGUCGAAGUCGAGUAUAUUGCCGCAGGCCAUUGUUGCGCGCAAUAGCUUUGGAUGAGGCAAACCCUCAGGGACUAUGGUUACAAAUUAACCAAAGUUCCUCUUCUAUGUGAUAAUGAGAGUGCAAUCCGCAUGGCGGAUAAUCCCGUUGAGCAUAGCCGCACUAAACACAUAGCCAUUUGGUAUCACUUUUUAAGGGAUCACCAACAAAAGGGGGAUAUCGAGAUUGCAUAUGUUAACACCAAAGAACAAUUAGCCGAUAUCUUUACCAAGCCAUUAGAUGAGCAAACUUUUACCAAACUUAGGCAUGAGCUAAAUAUUCUUGAUUCUAGGAAUUUUGAUUGAUAUUUUGCACACAUAGCUCAUUUAUAUACCUUUGAUCGUAUCUCUUUCAUGUGCUAUGACUAAUGUGUUUUCAAGUGCAUAUUAUGCUAAGUCAUAGAUUGAAAGGGAAAUGGAGUCUUCGGCGAAGACAAGGCUUCCACUCCAAUCCAUCGAAUUAUUCAUCCUUCGUUGUCGCUCCGCACCACUCUCCAACUUUGGUAUAAUCUUCACUCAUAUGUUAUUUACCAUAAGGGGAGAAAGUAAAAAGGGCUUAUAUUUAACUCUCAAGUAUCCGUUUUUGGCGAUUCAUGCCAAAGGGGGAGAAAGUAUUAGCCCAAAGCAAAAGGACCGCACCACCACCAAUUUCAAAAAUGUAUUCUUUCAAAUUCGGGUUAAGAAAUUUUUUUCAAUUGGUAUCUUAUUUUUAUAUAAUUUCAAAUUGGUAUACACUCUUCAAAAUUAAUAUCUAAAACCCUCUUGAACACUAAGAGGAGGAUUUCAUAAAGGGGGAGUUUUGUUUAGUCAAAGGAAAAGCAUUUGAAACAGGGGGAGAGAAUUUCAAAUCUUGAAAAUGCUUCUCAAAAUCCUAUUCAUAUACCUUUGACUAUUUGCAAAAAGACUUUGAAAAGAAUUUCCAAAACAUUGCAAAACAAAAAACAAGUGGUGCAAGCUGGUCCAAAAUGUUUAAUAAGAAGAAAGCCAUCCAUGCAAAUCUAGUAGAAAUAAUUAUUGGUUUCAUUCCAAGCAACCUUUGCACUUACAUUAUGCAAACUAGUUCAAUUUUGCACUUAUAUAUUUGCUUUGGUUUGUGUUGGCAUCAAUCACCAAAAAGGGGAGAUUGAAAGGGAAAUAGGCUUACACCUUUCCCUAAUUGAUUUUGGUGGUUGAAUUGCCCAACACAAAAAAUUGGACUAACUAGUUUGCUCUAGAUUAUGAGUUCUACAGGUGCCAAAGGUUCACAACAAACCAAUAAAAAGACCAAGAAAGGGUUCAAACAAAGAGAGCAAAAGACAACCGAAGUGUGCCCUGGACUGGCGCACCGGACUGUCCGGUGUGCCACCGGACUGUGUCCGGUGCACCAGGGAACCCAACUCCAAACUGCUCACCUUCGAGAAUUCUAGGAGUCGCUCCGCUAUAUUUCACCGGACUGUCCGGUGUAGCACCGGACUGUCCGGUGUGCCAGCGGAGCAACGGCUACUUCGCGCCAACGGUCGUCUGCAGAAAGCAGUUAAUGUGCUACAGUGCGAGCAGAAGUCAGAGCAGAGGCAGAAGGCGCACCGGACAGUCUACAGGACCUGUCCGGUGCACCACCGGACUGUCCGGUGGCCCAGAAGUCAGAAGCUCCAACGGUCAGAAUCCAACGGCCGGGUGACGUGGCUGGCGCACUGGACUGUCCGGUGCGCCAUGCGACAGCAGCCUCCACCAACAGCUCUUUUGAUGGUUGGGGCUAUAAAUACCCCAACCACCCACCAUUCAUUGCAUCCAAGUUUUCAGCCUUCAAACACCUUACAAGAGCUAUAGCAUUCAAUACAAGACACAAUCAAAGAGAUCAAAUCCUCUCCCAAGUCCAAAGAUCAUUCCAAUCAAAUAGUGACUAGUGAGAGAGAGACUUGUGUUCAUUUGAGCUCUUGCGCUUGGAUUGCUUUUCUUCUUCAUUCUUUCUUGAUCCCAACUCAAUUGUAACCAAGACAAGAGACACCAAUUGUGUGGUGGUCCUUGUGGGGACUUAGUGUCCCAUUUGAUUGAGAAGAGAAGCUCAUUCGGUCUAAGUGAUCGUUUGAGAGAGGGAAAGGGUUGAAAGAGACCCGGUCUUUGUGACCACCUCAACGGGGAGUAGGUUUGCAAGAACCGAACCUCGGUAAAACAAAUCACCGUGUCAUCCGCCUUAUUCGCUUGUGAUUUGUUUUCGCGCUCUCUUUCGGACUCGCUUUUAUUUCUAACGCUAACCCCGGCUUGUAGUUGUGCUUAAAGUUUGUAAAUUUCAGAUUCGCCCUAUUCACCCCCCCUCUAGGCGACUUUCACUCACUCCACAAAAGUAUAUGGGAUGUUGUUGAGUUUGGAGUACAGGUACCAUCCGUAGGGGAUGAAGAUUAUGAUGAGGACGAGGUGGCCCAAAUUGAGCACUUCAACUCUCAAGCAACUACUAUACUCCUCACCUCUCUAAGUCGAGAGGAGUAUAAUAAGGUGCAAGGGUUGAAGAGCGCCAAAGAGAUUUGGGACGCGCUCAAGACUGCGCACGAAGGAGACGAGGUGACCAAGUUCACCAAGUGGGAAACGAUUGAGGGGGAGCUCGGUCGCUUUAUGCUCAACCAAGGAGAAGACCCGCAAGCCAUGUACAACCGGCUAAAAACCUUGGUGAACCAAGUGCGCAACCUCGGGAGCUCCAAGUGGGAUGACCAUGAAAUGGUCAAGGUUAUACUUAGAUCACUUGUAUUUCUUAACCCCACUCAAGUUCAAUUAAUUUGUGGUGAUCCAAGAUAUAAACUAAUGUCUCCCGAGGAAGUGAUAGGAAAAUUUGUGAGCUUUGAGUUGAUGAUCAAAGGCUCCAAGAAAAUCAUCGAGCAAGGCGCCUCCUCCACACCCGAUGUGCAACCCGUUGCAUUCAAGGCAACGGAGGAGAAGAAAGAAGACUCUACACCUAGUAGGGUCCCCAUCGACGCCUCCAAGCUCGACAACGAGGAAAUGGCGCUCAUCAUCAAGAGCUUUCGCCAAAUCCUCAAGCAAAGGAGGGGGAAGGAUUACAAGCCCCGCUCCAAGAAAGUUUGCUACAAGUGUGGUAAGCCCGGUCAUUUUAUUGCAAAAUGUCCAUUGUCUAGUGAUAGUGAUAGGGGCGACGACAAGAAGGGAAAGAGAAGAGAAAAGAAGAGGUACUACAAGAAGAAGGGCGGCGAUGCCCAUGUUUGCCGGGAGUGGGACUCCAACGAGAGCUCCACCGACUCCUCCUCCGACGAGGACGCCGCCAACAUCGCCGUCACCAAAGGCGUCCUCUUCCCCAACAUCGGCCACAAGUGCCUCAUGGCAAAGGACGGCAAGAAGAAGAAGGUAAAAUCUAGAUCCUCCACUAAGUAUGCAACAUCUAGUGAUGAGGCUAGCUCUAGUGAUGAUGAGGAUGAUUUAUUGACGCUUUUUGCCAACCUAAACAUGCAACAAAAGGAGAAAUUAAAUGAAUUAAUUAGUGCUAUUCAUGAGAAGGGUGAACUCUUGGACACCCAAGAGGACUUCCUAAUUAAAGAAAACAAAAAGCAUGUUAAGGUUAAAAAUGCUUAUGCUCUAGAGGUAGAAAAUUGUGAAAAAUUAUCUAGUGAGCUAAGCACUUGCCAUGAUGUUAUUUCCAACCUUAGAAAUGAAAAUGCCAAAUUAAUUUCUAAGGUUGAGAAAUCAAAUGUUUGUAAUGAUUCAAUUGACAAUCUUAGAAAUGAUAAUGCUAGUUCAAUUACUAAGAUUGAAAAAUUGAAUGCCUCUCUUGCUAGCCUUAGAAAUGAGAAUGAAAAAUUAAUUGCUAAGGCUAAGGAAUUAGAUGUUUGCAAUAUUUCUAUUUCCAAUCUUAGAGAUGAGAAUGACAUUUUACAUGCUAAGAUUGUUGAACUAAAUUCUUGCAAACCCUCUACAUCUACUGUUGAGCAUGUUACUAUUUGCACUAGAUGUAGAGAUGUUAACAUUGAUGCUAUUCAUGAUCACAUUGCUAUGGUUAAACAACAAAAUGAUCAUAUAGCAAAAUUAGAUGCUAAAAUUGUCGAGCAUGAGUUAGAAAAUGAAAAUUUUAAAUUUGCUCGUAGUAUGCUCUAUAGUGGGAGACGCCCCGGCAUUAAGGAUGACAUUGGCUUCCAACAGGGAGGCAAUGUCAAGCUCAAUGCACCUCCUAAAAGAUUAUCUAACUUUGUUAAGGGCAAGGCUCCCAUGCCUCAGGAUAACGAGGGUUACAUUUUAUACCCUGCCGGUUAUCCCGAGCAUAAAAUUAGGAGAAUUCAUUCUAGGAAGUCUCACUCUGGCUCUCAUCAUGCUUUUAUUUAUAAGAGUGAGGCAUCUAGUUCUAGGCAAUCAACCCGUGCUAAAUUGCCUAAGAAAAAAACUCCUAUUGCAUCAAAUGAACCUAAUGUAUCAUUUAAUACUUUUGAUGCUUCAUAUGUUUUAACUAACAAAUCAGGCAAAAUAGUUGCCAAAUAUGUUGGGGGCAAACACAAGGGGUCAAAGACUUGUGUUUGGGUACCCAAGGUGCUUGUUUCUAAUGUCAAAGGACCCAAGACCGUUUGGGUACCUAAGAACAAGGCCUAAACUUGUUUUGUAGGUUUAUGCAUCCGGGGGCUCAAGUUGGAUCAUCGAUAGCGGGUGCACAAACCACAUGACAGGGGAGAAGAAGAUGUUCUCCUCCUAUGAGAAAAACCAAGAUCCCCAACGAGCUAUCACAUUCGGGGAUGGAAAUCAAGGUUUGGUCAAAGGAUUGGGUAAAAUUGCUAUAUCUCCUGACCAUUCUAUUUCCAAUGUUUUUCUUGUAGACUCUUUAAAUUACAAUUUGCUUUCCGUUUCUCAAUUAUGCAAAAUGGGUUACAACUGUCUUUUUACGGAUAUAGGUGUUACUAUCUUUAGAAGAAGUGAUGAUUCAGUAGCAUUUAAGGGAGUGUUAGAGGGUCAGCUAUACUUAGUUGAUUUCAAUAGAGCUGAACUCGACACUUGCUUAAUUGCUAAGACUAACAUGGGUUGGCUCUGGCAUCGCCGACUAGCCCACGUUGGAAUGAAGAAUCUUCAUAAGCUUCUAAAGGGAGAGCACAUUUUGAGACUAACCAAUGUUCAUUUUGAGAAAGACAGGGUUUGUAGCGCAUGUCAAGCAGGGAAGCAAGUUGGUGUUCAUCAUCCACACAAGAACAUCAUGACGACCGAUAUGCCGCUUGAGCUAUUCCACAUGGAUCUUUUCGGCCCGAUAGCUUACAUAAGCAUCGGCGGGAGUAAGUAUUGUCUUGUAAUUGUGGAUGAUUAUUCUCGCUUCACUUGGGUGUUCUUUUUGCAGGAAAAAUCUCAAACCCAAGAGACUUUAAAGGGAUUCUUGAGACGGGCUCAAAAUGAGUUCAACUUAAGGAUAAAAAAGAUAAUAAGCGACAACGGGACGGAGUUCAAGAACUCUCAAAUCGAAGGCUUCCUUGAGGAGGAGGGCAUCAAGCAUGAGUUCUCUUCUCCCUACACGCCACAACAAAAUGGUGUAGUGGAGAGGAAGAAUAGAACUCUAUUAGACAUGACAAGGACCAUGCUUGAUGAGUACAAGACUUUGGAUCGGUUUUGGGCCGAGGCGGUCAACACUGCUUGCUACGCCAUCAACCGGUUAUAUCUUCACCGAAUCCUCAAGAAGACAUCGUAUGAACUCCUAACCGGUAAAAAGCCCAAUGUUUCAUAUUUUAGAGUCUUUGGUAGCAAAUGCUUUAUUAUUGUUAAAAGAGGUAGAAAAUCUAAAUUUGCUCCUAUGGCUGUAGAAGGCUUUUUACUUGGUUAUGAUUCAAACACAAGGGCAUAUAGAGUCUUUAACAAGUCUGCUGGACUAGUUGAAGUUUCUUGUGUCAUUGUGUUUGAUGAGACUAACGACUCUCAAGUAGAGCAAGUUGAUCUUGAUGAGCUAGAUGAUGAAGAGGCUCCGUGCGUCGCGCUAAGGAACAUGUCCAUUGGGGAUGUGUGUCCUAAGGAAUCUGAAGAGCCUCCACAAGCACAAGAUUAACCAUCUUCCUCCAUGCAAGCAUCUCCACCAAACCAAGAUGAGGAUCAAGCUCAAGAUGAUGAUGAAGAUCAAGAGGAACCACCUCAAGAGGAGGACAAUGAUCAAGGGGGAGAUGCCCAUGAUCAAGAUAAGGAAGAUGAUGAUGGUCCAAGACCGCCACACCCAAGAGUCCACCAAGCAAUACAACGAGAUCACCCCGUGAACUCCAUCCUUGGCGAUAUUCAUAAGGGGGUAACCACUCGAUCUCGUGUUGCUCAUUUUUGUGAACAUUACUCUUUUGUGUCUUCCUUUGAGCCAUAUAGGGUAGAAGACGCAUUAAGGGAUUCGGAUUGGGUGUUGGCAAUGCAAGAGGAACUCAACAACUUCACGAGGAAUGAGAUAUGGCAUCUAGUUCCACGUCCUAACCAAAAUGUUGUAGGAACCAAAUGGGUCUUCCGCAACAAACAAGAUGAGCAUGGUGUGGUGACAAGGAACAAAGCCCGACUUGUAGCCAAAGGAUAUUCACAAGUCGAAGGUUUGGAUUUCGGUGAAACCUAUGCACCCAUAGCUAGGCUUGAGUCAAUUCGCAUAUUACUUGCCUAUGCUACUUACCAUGGCUUCAAGCUUUAUCAAAUGGAUGUGAAGAGUGCCUUCCUCAAUGGACCAAUCAAGGAAGAGGUCUAUGUUGAGCAACCUCCCGGCUUUGAAGAUAGUGAGUAUCCUAACCAUGUUUAUAAACUCUCUAAGGCGCUUUAUGGGCUCAAGCAAGCCCCAAGAGCAUGGUAUGAAUGCCUAAGAGAUUUUCUUUUAGCUAAUGGCUUCGAAGUCAGAAAAGCCGAUCCUACUCUCUUUACUAAAACACAUGCAAAUGAUUUGUUUGUAUGCCAAAUUUACGUUGAUGAUAUCAUAUUUGGGUCUACUAACGAAUCUACAUGUGAAGAGUUUAGUAGGAUCAUGACUCAAAAAUUUGAGAUGUCUAUGAUGGGGGAGUUGAAGUAUUUUCUAGGCUUCCAAGUCAAGCAACUCCAAGAGGGCACCUUCAUUAGCCAAACGAAGUACAUUCAAGACAUUCUUGCAAAGCUUGGGAUGAAGGAUGUCAAGCCCAUCAAGACACCCAUGGGAACAAAUGGGCAUCUUGACCUCGACACGGGAGGUAAAUCCGUAGAUCAAAAGGUAUAUCGGUCAAUGAUAGGUUCUUUACUCUAUUUAUGUGCUUCACGACCGGAUAUAAUGCUUUCCGUAUGCAUGUGUGCAAGAUUCCAAGCCGAUCCUAAGGAAUUUCACCUUAGGGCCGUGAAACGAAUCUUGAGAUAUUUAGUUUAUACUCCUAAGUUUGGCCUUUGGUACCCUAGGGGAUCCACAUUUGAUCUACUUGGUUAUUCGGAUGCUGAUUGGGUAGGGUGUAAAAUUAAUAAAAAGAGCACAUCAGGGACUUGCCAGUUCUUGGGAAGAUCUCUGGUGUCUUGGGCUUCAAAGAAGCAAAAUUAUGUGGCUCUUUCUACCGCCGAAGCCGAGUAUAUUGCCGCAGGCCAUUGUUGCGCGCAAUUGCUUUGGAUGAGGCAAACCCUCAGGGACUAUGGUUACAAAUUAACCAAAGUUCCUCUUCUAUGUGAUAAUGAGAGUGCAAUCCGCAUGGCGGAUAAUCCCGUUGAGCAUAGCCGCACUAAACACAUAGCCAUUCGGUAUCACUUUUUAAGGGGUCACCAACAAAAGGGGGAUAUCGAGAUUGCAUAUGUUAACACCAAACAACAAUUAGCCGAUAUCUUUACCAAGCCAUUAGAUGAGCAAACUUUUACCAAACUUAGGCAUGAGCUAAAUAUUCUUGAUUCUAGGAAUUUUGAUUGAUAUUUUGCACACAUAGCUCAUUUAUAUACCUUUGAUCAUAUCUCUUUCAUGUGCUAUGACUAAUGUGGUUUCAAGUGCAUUUCAUGCUAAGUCAUAGAUUGGAAGGGAAUUGGAGACUUCGGCGAAGACAAAGGCUUCCACUCCACUCCAUCGAAUUAUUCAUCCUUCGCCGUUGCUCCGCACCGCUCUCCAAUUUGGUAUAAUCUUCACUCACAUAUUAUUUACCAUAGGGGGAGAAAGUAGUAAAGGGCUUAUAUUUCACUCACAAGUAUCCGUUUUUGGCGAUUCAUGCCAAAGGGGGAGAAAGUAUUAGCCCAAAGCAAAAUGACAGCACCACCACCAAUUUCAAAAAUGUAGUCUUUCAAAUUUGUGUUAAGAAAAGAUGUUUCUAUUGGUAUCUUAGUUUGAUAUAAUUUCAAAUUGGUAUACCCUCUUCAAAAAUAAUAUCUAAAACCCUCUUCAACACUAAGAGGAGGAUUUCAUUAAGGGGGAGUUUUGUUUAGUCAAAGAAAAGCAUUUGAAACAGGGGGAGCAAACUUCAAAUCUUGAAAAUGCCUCUCAAAAUCUUAUUCAUAUACCUUUGACUAUUUGCAAAAAGACUUUGAAAAGAAUUUCCAAAACUUUGCAAAACAAAACAAGUGGUGCAAGCGAGGUCCAAAAUUUUAAAUUAGAAGAAAGCCAUCCAUGCAUAUCUAGUAGAAAUAAUUAUUGGUUUCAUUCCAAGCAACCUUUGCACUUACCUUAUGCAAACUAGUUCAAUUCUACACCUUUAUAUUUGCUUUGGUUUGUGUUGGCAUCAAUCACCAAAAAGGGGGAGAUUGAAAGGGAAAUAGGCUUACACCUUUUCCUAUAUGAAUUUUGGUGGUUGAAUUGCCCAACACAAAUAAUUGGACUAACUAGUUUGCUCUAGAUUAUAAGUUUUACAGGUGCCAAAGGUUCACAACAAACCAAUAAAAAGACCAAGAAAGGGUUCAAAUAAAAAGAGCAAAAGACUACCGAAGUGUGCCCUGAUCUGGCGCACCGGACUGUGUCCGGUGUGCCAGGGAACCCGACUCCAAACUUGCCACCUUCGGGAAUUCUGGGGGGCCCUCCGCUAUAAUUCACCGGACUGUCCGGUGUGCCAGCGGAGCAACGGCUACAUCACGCCAACGAUUGUCUGCAGAGAGCAGUUAAUGCGCUAUAGUGCGCGCAAAAGUUAGAGCAGAGCCAAAAGGCGCACCGGACAGUGAACAGUGAUUGUCUGGUGCACCACCGGACUGUCCGGUGGCCCAGAAGUCAAAAGCUCCAACGGUCAGAACCCAACAGCCGGGUGACAUGACUGGCGCACCGGACAAUGUCCGGUGGCACACCGGACUGUCCGGUGCGCCAUGCGACAGCAGCCUCCACCAAACAGCUAGUUUGGUGGUUGGGGCUAUAAAUACCCCCAACCACCCACCAUUCAUUGCAUCCAAGUUUUUAGCCUUCAAACACCUUACAAGAGCUAUAGCAUUCAAUACAAGACACAAUCAAAGAUAUCAAAUCCUCUCCCAGGUCCAAAGAUCAUUCCAAUCAAAUAGUGACUAGUGAGAGAGAGACUUGUGUUUAUUUGAGCUCUUGCGCUUGGAUUGCUUUUCUUCUUCAUUCUUUCUUGAUUCCAACUCAAUUGUAACCAAGACAAGAGACACCAAUUGUGUGGUGGUCCUUGUGGGGACUUAGUGUCCUGUUUGAUCGAGAAGAGAAGCUCACUCGGUUUAAGUGACCGUUUGAGAGAGGGAAAGGGUUGAAAGAGACCCGGUCUUUGUGACCACCUCAACGGGGAGUAGGUUUGCAAGAACCGAACCUCGGUAAAACAAAUCACCAUGUCAUCCGCUUUAUUUGCUUGUGAUUUGUUUUCGCCCUCUCUUUCAGACUCGUUUAUAUUUCUAACGCUAACCCCGGCUUGUAGUUGUGCUUAAAGUUUGUAAAUUUCAGAUUCGCCCUAUUCACCCCCCUCUAGGUGACUUACACUUAGUGAAUGCUUGUGUAGCUCCUCCCUGCGCCUAGGGGUCCCUUUUAUAGCCCCAAGGCAGGUAGGAGCCGUUGGAGGCCAACAAGGAAGGCCAAACUUGCCUUCUGUCGGGUGGUGUACCGGACAGUCCGGUGCACCACCGGACAGUCACUGUAGCUGUCCGGUGCGCGAUCUCCUUCCUUUUCUGGCGCACCCGACCAUUACAGCUUUGGGCCCGUUGGCACACCGGACACUGUCCGAUGCACACCGGACACUGUCCGAUGCACACCGGACAGUCGGGUGCCCCCUGCCGACCGUUGGUGCGGGCCACGCGUCGCCCGCGGAUUGCGCGACUGUAACGCCCUGAAUUUGGGUGUAGAAUUUUUUCUUCUUUUCUCUCACCAAAUUCGGGCGUUACUCUCUUUUCUCUUUCCCCGUUUGCUCCUUCUUCCCAAUUUCAAACCAGUAUAGCGACAAGUGCCCGUGUCAUGUAUAAACCAAAACCUAAGUGUCAUGGGUGUUGCAUCAUGCCGAAGCACUUUUCUUUGUCUGAUGUUGAGUGUUUGUCUCGUUCCGUUCCGGAUUUCGAUUCACGAUUUAAUUCAGUUUAGUGGUCCGCGCACGUCGUGGGUUUUCAAUCCGCGAAGUGGCUCGACCCAGCCUAGCCCAGCCCAGCCAAGCCGGCCCGGUCCGACCCGGCCCUGCGCGCCCCUGGCGCCCAACCCCCCCAUGGGCCCCCUCCUCUCUCUCUCUCUCAUUUGGAUCUCCCGCGCAACAACCUCUCCUCUCCCUCUUCCACCUCUCUCUCCCUGUGGUGCCCUAGGAUUUGGAGACGGCGAUCACCGGAUUUUGGACCCCGAGGUGAGCUCCCCUCCCCUCCCCUUCUCCUCUCUCUCUCUCCCUCUCCCUCCUCUUCUCUCCCCCGCGCGCGCCCUCUCUCUCCCCCUGCUCGCGCGCGCCCCCGCCCUCCCCUGGCCCGCGGCGGCGCGGCCCCGCCCCUACCCGCGCGGCGGCGCGCGGCCCCCGCCCCCCUGCCUGCGCGGCGGCGCCCCGGCCCCGCUCCCUGCUUCCCCGGCGCGGCGCGGCCCCGCCCGGCCUCCCCUCGCGGCGGCGCCCGCGGCCCCGCCCUGCUCCCCCGCGGCGCGCGACCCCGCUCCGGCCUCCCCGCGGCGGCGCUCGCCCCCGUCCCAGCCCCGUGCGCGGCGGCGUGGCCCCGGCGGCUCCCUGCUCGCCCGGCGCGGCCCCCGGAGCGGCGGCGUGGCCCCGGCGCAGCCCCUGGCCAGUUCAACCCCCCCGGUUCAACAGCCCCGGCCCGGUCGCCCCGCCCCCGUCCCGGCCUCGCCCGACCGUAUCCUCGCUCGCCCGCGCUCGCGAUGAUUAUUUGUUAGUCGAUAUUUAAUGUCAAACUCUGUUAGUUAGCGUGCUGCGUCGCGCGCUUCGCCGCGCGACGGAUUGUCUAAAUUCAGAUUCUAUCUAUGUGCUGCGUCGUGCGCUUCGUCGCGCGACGAUCCAUUUUAAUUUCAGGUUGUUUAAGGUGUAACGCCGCGUGUGUAUUCACGCGACGUUCCACUUUGGACUCAGUUUAGUCGACGUAUGCUGUCGCACGUCUUGCCGCGCGACCAUCCUCUUUAUUUAUCUCCACCUGCUUAUAAUGAUUAGACAUGAAACAUGACUUUACUUUACGCUAAACAUAGUGUCUACAUUAAAUUUCCUUCCAUUAAGCGAGUGGUUAAUUUAUAAUCAUGUAACGUGAUCGUUUCUCGACUGUCUUUUCCUCUUUCUCUCUUAACCGUACUCGCGAACCCGCGUGGAACGUCUGUUUACUUAUUGCAUUCUAUUGUAUGGUGUACUGUUCUUUUGUAUUAAAUAUGUGGAUGUAUGUAUGUUUGCAAUCGCAUAGAGAACGAUCCGGUUGAAGAGCCCGAGGAACUCGCAGGAGAAGCCCCUGAGCAGCAGUCGGUUGGUGGAGGCAAGUGUCCCUUGACCUAUCUCUGUCCUAUUCAUUAUUUAAUUCACCUCCCGCAUUACACAUUUAUACCUAAGGAUUUCCUAGAUUUUGUGAUCCAUGUCCUUGUUUACCUAUCUGGGUUGGAUUAUUAUUGUUUAGCUUUAUGCUAUUGCUCAAACUCUAAUCAAUGAACAUGAUGAGAUUAUCUAUGAUACGAUGUUUUCCCCUUUCUUAUGAUGAUGUUAUACUUGUGGUCUUCAAGGGGGCUCGAGCGGUUUCUCGAGUGCCUCUCUGUAAGGACCUGUUCUUUGGAUGACCGCCCGGGAAAACAGUGCAACCAUGAGGGUGGAAUGGGGUGCCCUUAGCUGAAUAAUUAGAGGAUCCGGGGUGUAGUUCGCUUAGCCGUCGUGCCGUCAAUGGGGCUCGGUGUAUGCGGCUUGCUCUGCCAAGUUUGGGUUCGCCCCUUGGGGAGGAGUGCGGUGCAUUUAGGAAACCUAACGGGUGGCUACAGCCCCGGGGAAUCUUUGUAAAGGCUACGUAGUGAUGCCCUGCUAGGCCACCUAGGUAGUGGUCAAUGGGGAGUAGCUCUCUCCGGGAAGAAAGGGAAUCACGACUUGUGGGUAAAGUGCACAACCUCUGCAGAGUGUUUGAAAACUGAUAUAUCAGCCGUGCUCGCAGUUAUGAGCGGCCAAGGGAGCUCCAGUGAUUAGUGGUACUUGAUCAGAGAUACUUUGGUACAGGUGGCGAUGAGAUCAAUGGUUUUGGUUAUGACUAUGGUGCUGGUAAGUGGUAUUCUUUCCGUUUGGAAAGGGUACAUCGGGCUAAUAACUUGGGUUAAUGCUAAAACCUGGCUUUUUCAUUAGUAAAUAAUAAUCUGACCAACUAAAAGCAACUGCUUGACUUAUCCCCACAUAAAGCUAGUCCACUACAGCCAAACACGAUACUUGCUGAGUAUGUUGAUGUGUACUUGUGGGGGAUAGAUAUCCCCUGGGUCCACUAAAGAAGUAAAAGGCCUCACGAAAGGCCCAAGGGCCCGAUAAUUCGUAAGGUCAUUCUUUCGUGGGCCUAGGGAAAGACAACCAACAAAGAAGACGUGAGACUGAUUAGUGCAAACCCAAGCGGCCCACAACGUCGAACGAAUGAAUCACAACAGAGACCCGACUUUCCCGCGCUGAAGCCCCCAUGCAACAGAGCCGUGCGAGGAUAAGUCGGCGAGGGGUACGUAGGGAUAAACUCAAGAGGUUCACUAUCUUUUAGCUACUUGUUGUUAUCAUAUUCACGUGUACUGCCCCACGGUCGAGUAUAUAAGGCCUAGGGGGCACCCCUUCAGAUCGAUCGACCCUGUUCUACUUAGCCACCCACAAAAACUCUCUGCACCCUCUAUCCAGAGAAUCCUCUUGUAACCACGCUCAUAUACUCACCAGGACGUAGGGUGUUACGCACUUCUAAGCGGCCCGAACCUGCAAACCUUGUCCAUUGUCCCUCGUGCGAUCGGCACGAACCAUUUUGCUACAGUCGUUGACACCGUCCUACUCCUAAAAACACCUUGAGGGGCAACCCCGGGUGUGCGGUCGGACCCAAAACACCGACAGCUGGCGCGCCAGGUAGGGGGUGUGUCGACGAUCCAAGCUAGCUCAAUGGCCGUCACCUUCCACAGCAAGAUUGUCGUGCGUCCCGGAUCUGUAUUCUGCUUCGGGACAAUCUCAUCCAUAGCGGACGAAGAGGGAAUUCUACACCGCCUCGCAGAUCUGCCGGAACAGAAGUCUCCCCCAACAAACUCCGAAAAUGCUGAAAAGGCGCUACCUCCGGCUCUUCGGAAAAAGAUCGUCUCCGGGGAGGCUGGAGCUAGAAGCUCGCUGACCCGGAAGACUCCGCUGUCUACUUCCCCGACGAGGGAAUGGACACGGGUCGUGAGAAAGAAGGAGACCAGGGAGAGGCAAGUCGUUCUUCCCGUUCCUCCGACCUCAAAGGAGAACGGAAAGAAAGUCGCCGCGGUAGCAAUACCGUUCUACCCCGACGUCCUCUUCAUCGGGAGAGCAGAGUCGCCCGCCGUCUCCGACGAUGAACCGACCGCGCCUGGAGAAGAACCGCCUCAGCGAGAAUCCCGCCGACGAAGGAACCGACGCAGGAACGUUCGACGACAUCACGCAGCUGGAGAACGGGAUCCGGAGCAGCCUGUCUCGCGAGACGAGGUCUCAGAGAUAGGAGAAACUCCGGAAGAACGCGUCUUCAGGGAACGAAGGAACUCCCGACGACGUGAUCGCCGUCGGACUCAGGAGCAAGCCGAGCAAGAUGCAAGGCAACGACGCGAGAAUCCGCUCUUCGGGCGCAACUUGAACCCCGACUUCGCCCGAGCUAUGAACACGCCGAGCGAAGUCGGAGGCGUUCUAGCCCGGAUAGCUGACGGACUUCCUCGGACUCCCGACGCCGAGGGAUACCGACGCCUGUUCACUCAGGCAGCCAACCAUCUUCUACCGCUCGCUCACCCGCUGAACGAUUUGCGACACGCCAUCAACAGUCGCCGAGACGCGCGAAGCUCUAUCAAUGCUUCGCGCGAAUGGCGGCACGAGAAUGAAAUUCGCCGUUGGGAGGAGUAUGACCGAGAUCAUGGCUUCCCGACUCAAAGCCAGGCCACCCGAACUGAGUUGGCAACAGCUUCAACUGGUGGAACCACCCGGGGACGGUCGAGGAACCACCACCGCCACUCCCCUCCCCGGGACAGACGACAUCCUCGACGACAGGAGGACACGUGCGGAGUAUCCGCCCUUACUCCGCGCCUUAGGGCCAUCCAAUGGCCUCCCAACUUCAAGGUAUCCAAUGUCGACAAAUAUGAACCUAAGCAGGAUCCAGGGGGUUGGUUAGCCGUCUACACCACCGCUGCUCGGGCUGCCGGGGCAUCCGAAGACGUCAUGACUGCGUAUCUGCCCAUCGUCCUCGGGCAAGACGCGCUGCAGUGGCUACGACAUCUACCCCGACAUUGCAUCGACGACUGGGGGGACUUCAGUCGACGUUUCACCGCCAACUUCCAGUCUCUCUCCGACAAGCCAGCGCAACCAUGGGACCUCAAAUCCAUCAAGCGCCGGGGGGAUGAGACUCUCCGGUCAUACCUUAAAAGGUUCCAGACCAUGAGAAACCGCAUCCCCGAGGUCACGGAGGCGGCCGUGAUCGAGGACUUCUACAGAGGAUCUAACGACUCGGCUUUCGUCCGAGCCAUACUGCAAAAGGCGCCGACUACCUCCGAGGAGCUGUUCCGGGGAGCCGACCUCUACAUCACCGCUGACGAGCGGGCCCAGAACCUCAUCGGAGGAGCAAAGCCCGCACCGGCAGCACCACGACGCGACGCGAACCAGCCGCCCGACAAGCGCUGGGAGAAGAGGCCCCGCGAGGAGGUACACGCCGCUGGACCACCCGCCUCUCGCGCCCGAGGAGGACCUCGUGGAGGUGAACGCACGCUGGACGACAUCCUCGACGCCCAGUGCCCGUACCACAAGGACAUGCGCCACACUCUCCGCAACUGCCGGGAUUUCAAGCACUCCGUCGGGCAUGGCCGACCCUUCCAACCUCUACCGCCUCCUCCGCCGAGGGGAGGACCAGAUGAACCACGACAGCCCCAUCAGCCGGAGGAGGGGGGAGGAGGAGCUUUCCCACGCGUUGACAGGGAGGUCAACGUCAUCUUCGGCGGACAUGGGUCGCAGGAGAACAAGAGACAACAAAAGCUCAACGACCGCCAGAUACUGGUGGCGACCACCGGCCCUCCCGCCCCGUACCGGUGGUCGGAGCACCCAAUCACGUUCACUCGGGAGGAUCAAUGGCUCAACUUUGACCAUCCAGGCAAAUACCCGCUCCUUGUCGAUCCGGUGAUCCGAGAGAGCCGGGUAAAGAAGGUGCUAGUGGACGGGGGGAGCAGCAUCAACGUCACCUUCCCCCGUACGCUCCAAGGCUUGGGAGUUCACCUCAAAGAGCUCCACGAGUCAGACACUCCUUUCUUCGGCAUCGUACCGACGGAAGGGGAAUACCCGCUGGGCCACAUCUACAUGCCGGUCACCUUCGGGACUCCGGAUAACUACAGAACCGAGUUCCUGAGGUUCGAGGUGGCGAACUUCGACUGCGGUUACAACGCCAUCAUCGGAAGGCCGGGGCUGGCCAAAUUCAUGGCCAUCCCACACUAUACGUACAUGAUACUGAAGAUGUCAGGACCGCAAGGAAUCAUAACUGUGCGCGCCGACUUCCAAGGCGCCGCAGAAUGUUUCCGAGUGGCCAUCCAAGCAGCCCUCACCACCAAGCCGUCAACGGUUCCUUCUACGCCGGCGAACUCUAAGCCUGAGGAAGACCUCGCCGUGCCGGCAAACGAAGCUCAGGCCGCGACCUCUAUGCGGCCGACUGAAGAAACCAAGCGGAUCAACCUGGGGUUUGCCGAUGAGCGCAAGGCGGCCAUCAUCAGCUCCAGUUUGAAUGACAAAUAGGAAAGCGCGCUCGUCCAGUUCCUGCAAGAUAACCGAGACGUAUUCGCAUGGCAACCUGCGGAUAUGCCGGGAGUCCCGAGGGAGUUGGCCGAGCACAAAUUGAAAGUCUAUCCUCAUGCGAGGCCGAUCCGGCAAAAGCUGCGUCGUUUCACACCCGACAAGAGAGAGGCCAUUCGUGCCGAGUUAGCUCGCUUGGUCGCGGCCGGAUUUAUUAGAGAAGUAUUACACCCCGAGUGGUUAGCCAACCCUGUUCUUGUACUCAAAAAGAAUAAAGUGGAUUGGCGCAUGUGCGUCGACUAUACUGAUCUCAACAAACACUGUCCGAAGGAUCCCUUCGGGCUCCCGAGGAUAGAUCAGGUGGUGGAUUCCACCGCUGGAUGUUCUAUGCUGUCUUUCUUAGAUUGCUAUUCCGGAUAUCAUCAGAUUAGUUUGGCAAAAGAAGACGAGGAAAAAACGGCGUUCAUCACCCCGUUUGGUGCUUUCUGUUAUACCUCCAUGCCGUUCGGCCUCAAAAACGCUGGAGCGACUUAUCAGAGGGCCAUUCAAACAUGCUUAGCCGAUCACUGGGGCAAGCGUGUGGAGGCUUACGUAGACGACGUGGUGAUUAAAACGGAGAAUCCGGAAGACUUCAUCGAAGACUUACAGCUAGUUUUCAAUAGCCUGAGAAGAUAUAGAUGGAAGCUCAAUCCUGAGAAAUGCGUCUUCGGGGUACCAGCAGGAAAGUUACUCGGAUUUAUUGUCAGCCACCGGGGAAUUGAAGCUAAUCCAGAUAAGAUUGAAGCUAUCAUGAAGAUGGAAGCCCCUCGAUCGCAAAAGAAGGUUCAGCGACUCACCGGAUGUAUGGCAGCCCUGAGCAGAUUCAUAUCCAGGCUGGGAGAAAAAGGUCUGCCAUUUUACAAACUACUCAAGAAGGUGGAUAAGUUUCAAUGGACGUCAGAAGCACAAGAAGCUCUAGAUGCACUGAAGAAAUUCCUGACAACACCACCAGUACUAAAACCGCCCCGGCGAGCUACGCCGACUCAACCGGCUGAAGAUUUGCUGCUAUAUAUCUCUUGCACGACUCACGUGGUAAGCACUGCGUUGGUAGUCGAGCGAGUGGAAGAGGGGCAUGCCUAUCCGGUACAACAUCCUGUCUACUUCAUCAGUGAGGUUCUAGGCCCAUCGAAGAAAAAGUAUCCUCAAGUUCAGAAGCUAUUAUAUGCAGUACUUCUAACUGCCCGCAAGCUGCGCCACUACUUCGACGACCACAAAGUCAUAGUAGUUACUGGUUUUCCAAUAGGGGACAUUCUUCACAACAAGGAAGCCAUUGGCCGAAUAGCCAAGUGGGCUUGCGAGUUGGGAUCCCAUGAUAUCGAGUUCCGACCUCGCACAGCCAUCAAGACUCAAGCACUGGUUGAUUUCGUAUCAGAAUGGACAGAACAGCAAGUACCGGAUAAUCCAGAAACCGCAGAAGUAUGGCGAAUGUAUUUUGAUGGCUCGCUGAAGCUGCAGGGAGCAGGAGCAGGAAUUCUCUUCACUGCACCUGGAGGCGAGCACCUCAAGUAUGCUCUCCAGUUGCUAUUCCCGGCCUCUAACAACGCAGCCGAGUAUGAAGCUUUGAUACACGGAUUAAACAUCGCCAUAUCACUGGGUAUCAAGAGACUGAUGGUGUAUGGAGACUCUCUGGUAGUCAUCAGUCAGAUAAACAAGGAAUGGGAUUGUUCAAGUGAUUCAAUGGGAAAAUACUGCGCCGUCGUCCGGAAGCUAGAAGAUAAAUUCGAGGGUCUGGAGUUUCAUCAUAUAGAAAGAGAUCGGAACACGGCAGCCGAUGUACUGUCCAAGCUCGGAUCCGGUCGGACUCAGGUCCCGCCCGGAAUCUUUGUGCAAGAAAUUCUCCAGCCGAGCAUCUCGACGGAUCAAAUAGAAGAGUGCAACAUCAUAGAUCAACCCGAGUCAGACUCUGAUGACUGGAGGCAACCGAUUAUUAAGUAUAUAAAGAAUGAAGAAGAACCAGAUGACAAGAACUCGGCAGAGCGCAUUGCCAGACAAUCAGCUCACUAUACACUCAUUGGGGAGGUAUUAUACAGGAGGGGCGCGUCAGGCAUCCUCAUGAAGUGCGUUCUCCCGUCCACUGGGAAGCAACUUCUGGAGGAAGUCCAUGCUGGGCAGUGUGGAGUACAUGCAGCAUCCAGAACACUAGUCGGGAAGGUUUUCAGGUCAGGAUUCUAUUGGCCCACAACGAAGAAUGAUGCAGCCGAGUUAGUUCAGAGAUGCGAAGCUUGCCAAUACCUGUCAAAGCAACAGCACAUGCCAGCACAGCAGCUACAGACCAUACCAGUUACCUGGCCUUUCGCAUGCUGGGGACUGGAUAUGAUUGGACCUUUCAAGAAAGCUCAAGGGGGAUAUACUCAUGUAUUGGUGGCGAUUGAUAAAUUCACUAAAUGGAUAGAGUUCAAGCCCAUUGCUUCUUUAACCUCUGCUAAAGCCGUGGAAUUCAUACAAGACAUAAUAUUCAGAUUUGGGAUACCAAACAAUAUCAUCACUGACUUGGGAUCCAACUUCACCAGUUCAGAAUUCUUUGACUUCUGCGAGCAAAAAAGCAUUCAGAUCAAGUAUGCAUCUGUAGCUCAUCCGAGAGCCAACGGUCAGGUUGAGCGAGCCAAUGGAAUGAUAUUGGAGGCACUUAGAAAAAGGGUCUUUGAUAAAAACGAAAAAUUCGCAGGAAAAUGGAUAAGAGAAUUGCCUUAUGUUGUUUGGAGCUUGAGAACCCAACCUAGCCGGGCCUUGCAUGGAAACACUCCUUUCUUCAUGGUCUAUGGGUCGGAGGCAGUACUACCUGCUGAUCUCAAGUUUGGGGCGCCAAGAUUGAUCUUCGAAAGCAUAGCAGAAGCCGAAGCCACUAGGCUGGAGGAUAUUGACGUACUUGAAGAAGAACGACUGAAUGCAGUGAUUCAAUCAGCACGAUACCAGCAGACUCUAAGGCGCUACCACGACAAAGCUGUGCGGCAACGUUUCUUUUCGAUGGGAGACCUCGUCCUCCGCCGAAUUCUAACGGGGGAGGGACGGCACAAGUUAUCACCCUUAUGGGAAGGACCUUUCAUAGUAGCAGAGGUCACUCGUCCCGGAUCAUAUCGCCUCACCCAGAUGGAUGGCACAGAAGUUGGGAACUCCUGGAACAUAGAGCACCUCCGAAAGUUUUACCCCUAGCUGUAUUUCAAAACAGCCGGGGCGACCAUGUAUUCUGUAUAAUAGAAAUACGUCAUCAAUAAAGAGAGAUUUCAAAGAUACUUGGCUCAUUUAUGAUUGACUUGCAUUCUUACUUAACUCGGGGUGACCACUAUGCCCUACGAACGGAGCAAUCGACUUAAGUUGGCGACGACUUAAGGCGGUGCAACAUGCUCACGCUUACUUAACUCAGGGUGACCACUAUGCCCUACAAACGGAGCAAUCGACUUAAGUCGGCGACGACUUAAGACGGUGCAACAUGCUCACGCUUACUUAACUCGGGGUGACCACUAUGCCCUACGAACGGAGCAAUCGACUUAAGUCGGCAACGACUUAAGGCGGUGCAACAUGCUCACGCUUACUUAACUCGGGGUGACCACUAUGCCAUACGAACGGAGCAAUCGACUUAAGUCGGCAACGACUUAAGGCGGUGCAACAUGCUCACGCUUACUUAACUCGGGGUGACCACUAUGCCUUACGAACGGAGCAAUCGACUUAAGUCGGCGACGACUUAAAGCGGUGCAACAUGCUCACGCUCACUUAACUCGGGGUGACCACUAUGCCCUACAAACGGAGCAAUCGACUUAAGUCGGCAACGACUUAAAGCGGUGCAACAUGCUCACGCUUAUUUUUCCUAGGGUGACCACUAUACCCUACUAACGGAGUUACCGGCUAAAAAGUCAUUGACGGCUUAAACCGGUAUAGCAUACUCGCGCUUAUGCAGUUCAAGGGAUGAUCUCCAUAUCCCGCAAACAAACUUCAUAAUCAUCAUGUAGCGUUACCACAAAUUCAAAAUUCGGAUACAAUAAGAAGUGAUGACGUCAUUCGAAUGAUAAGCCGAUAACCUCUAACGAGUACUUGAUCAGGCUAACUGCGCGCUCUGAGCACGCGAACUGUUUCUUUAUUUUCCAAUAUCUUUCUCAGGAACGACCGACGAAGAAGGGCGAUUCGAAGAAUCAGGGGCAACAUUCACAUCGGCUCUUAUAUCUUCAGGGACAACCACACCGGGUCUUCUCAUCAAGAUUCGUCCCGCCCGAAUGGCCUUGUCCAGGGCCUUAUCGCGCUGAGCUUUGAAAGUGACAGCAGCUUCUUCGGCAACUUUAACAGCCUGCUGAGCAGUUUCUAAGUCCUGAGCAAUGGAUUUCUUGGAAGCUCGGAGUCCCUUGAUGGUGGCAUCCUUUGCCGAUAGCAACUGUGUAAGACGGGUCACUUCGUCCGAGGAUUCUUGCAGCUGACGGCGCUGAUUGUCAAGCUCCUCCAUCGUAAAACGGUGGCUCCUCUCCAGGAUGGUCAGCGAGUUGCUGGAGUCUCGGUACAAUCUGUCCAGGUUGUCGCGAGAAGCAGCAAGGAUGCGUUUUUCUUCCUACAAGCAAAAAUCAACUCAUUCAGAAUCCAAGAGUAUAAUAAGGCGAAGCACGGGUUCGUAAGCUACCUUCUCAGAGUCAAGCUGAGCAUGAAGAGAAGAACUCAGAGCGUUGGCAUCAUCCAAAGCCGCAGAGACCUGACUCAACUCGAUCUGACUCUGAGAAUACUUCUCCUCGAAGUCAGCGCAUCGUCGAGCCAUUUCAGCUUGAUCUUGGGAAUGUUUCUCUUCAAGAACUGUGAUCUGCCGAGUCAUCCCUAUCAAGAGGUAUUCAGACAAAAUGAGGUCAGAAGGUAAAACAAUCCACGGACAAGAACAAAGAAGAAGAAGAAAGGACACUAACCAGCAUUAGUUGCCUCCAACUCAGAUACACAGCCCCGAAGCAACACCGGAUUCCAACGCUCAAGAGAUGAAGCCACCUCCGGGAUGGAAGCACCCUGCGACUUCAGCUGGCCGACCAUUCCAUCCACCAAAGCCUGAUAAGAAGAGCGAAUGAACAUAAUGGCAACAAUUCAUACAACAUAAAGAUCAAACUAAAGCACAGCACAGCACCUGGAAGUUGGAAAAAAACGAAGGGAUCCCCAAGUCAGGAGAAAUCGGAUGAUGACCAGGUGCCAGACCACCACCCGAAGCAGCUUGCAGCAGACCAGCAGGGACGAGCUCAGUACAUUCAGCAGAGCCUAACGCCAGACCAGUGGGGAUGCUGCCCUCUAAAGCGACCCCCUGAUCCGGAGUUUGAGCCAUCACCAUGCCGCCAGAGUGUGGAGGUGAACCCACAUGAACAUCCAUGGAAGUGCAGGAGGGAGACCUCGCUCGGACACCCUCGGGGGCUGGGUCAAGGUUGGCACUGCCCACUCGAGCCGGGUCAUCCCCGGCAACACCCUCGGGGGCUGGGCAGUGGCCUACACUCCUCACCCGAGCUGAGCCCUCCCCGGCGACAUCCUCGGGGGCUGGGCACGUGUCAGCACUAUUCAAGGGAUCCAAGCUCUCUGCCGUGACCACCUCUAAGGUUGACGGGCCUUCAGCUGCUUCCAUGGGAUCAGGCCGAUCCAAGUCAUCAUUCCGACCCUCGAGAUCAUGCUCUAAGGUCGACGAGGCACGGGAUGACCUCAACCCAGCAUCUGGCACGGCUGCACAAGUUUCUGUUGCAUCAACAUCUGCAGUUUCCAACAGCAAGUUCUCAGGGACCAUAUCCUCUAGAGCUUGAUCAAAAUUGGCCAUGGACAGUUCUUGCAGACCAAUAAGGGCAGACAAAGCAGGAGAAGGGACUCCACUACUUCCACCGCUAGCGACGAACUGCCGACUGUUUUUUCGAGUUAAUGGAGUUUCAUUUUCUUCCUCUUCAUCUUCCACUGUAACAGCACAAACAGCAUCCUCAUUGGGGUCAGCAGCAGGCGGAGCACACCCAUUGGGAUCAAUGUCAGCAAGGCCCGUUGCAGUCAUUUCUUCGGCAGCAGGGGCCAAGGUACUGGCAUCCUCGUCAAAGCUGGACACUCGCCGGAGGCGUCUUCUUUUCUUCUUCUGCUCAUCAGCAUAAGGCUCGGGCUGACUGGUUCGGCUAGGACGCCUCGGGCGAGUACUGACAGGUUUCGAGACAUCCAAGGUCGCAUCAACCUCUGGAAGGGGCACCACUGCCAAUGUACCAUCAGGAGCAGCAUCAGAUGAAUCCUCAGCUAGCAGAUCGAGCAUGUCAUUUAUGUCUGCAUCACUAGGGUUCAGGGGCACUUCAAAAUAAAUCUGCCGUUCAUCAUCAGGUAUCUCCCCGAGCGAAGCAACUAAGGAACGGACCUCUUCAGCAGAGGGUCGCACUCUAAGACCCAAAUUGCUAUCUGUCACGGGCGGAUUGGACACAAAAAGGGUGAAAGCUUUGGGAGAAGGUAGGUUCCAAGCCGAGUAUGCCACUGGAGCACCAACGUUUGAAACUUUACCCCUGAGGAUCAUUUCGAGUCGGCUUACCAAAUCAACAGAAGGAAUUCUCCUAUUGGUAACUCGGGUUGAGUCGGCCAGCCCUCGGUAAAGAUAUGCCGGAUAGGCCCUGUCUUUCAGCGGCUGAAUGUUUUUGAAAACAAAAUCUGUGACCACAGCUUCGGCAGUCAGACCUCUCUCUUUCAGUAAUCCAACUUCAGUAAGCAACACGCUUGCCUCGGCCACUUCUUGGUCCGUGGGAGACUCAGUCCAACUCGGAGUACGAACGUCCGGCUGUCUUCCUGAGCGGGAAGGGAGAGAAUUUCCAUAAUUAUCCAUUAUAAACCACUCCAGACGCCAACCUUUAAUGCUGUCUUUGAGGGGUAUCUCGAGAUACUCGGUCUUCCGCCCACGGCGCAUCUCCAAACUGGCACCUCCGACCAACUGAUGUUGCCCCCCGGCCAUCCCAGGGCGGCAGUGAUAUAGAUACUUCCAUAAGCCAAAAUGCGGCAGCACGCCAAGAUAAGCUUCGCAAAGGUGAACGAAAAUAGAGAUUUGGAGAAUGGAUUUAGGGUUCAAGUGAGUCAGGUUGAUGUGAUAAAAAUCAAGGAUGCCACGGAAAAAAGGAGAUAUGGGAAGGCCGAGGCCGCGAAGAAGGAAAGGAGUGUAAACCACUGACUCGUGGGUAUCUUCGGUUGGGACAGUAGUCCCGUGGCAAGCCCGCCAAGAACAGAGUUCCCGUGGAGGGAGAACCCCGAUGGAGACAAGGCGGAGAAGCUCAGCUUCAGAAAUUACAGACAUAUGGUUACCUGCGAAGGGUAACUGACUGUUGGGGUCGAUGGCGGGGAUCACUGCGGCAGACGAGUUCGUAGUCUUCCUCUUGGGCGCCAUCUUGCUUCUCGCUGGCGAAACAGAGUAGGAGGCGAGUGGCAGAGAAGAUUCAGAUGCGGAAAUGCAAGAACUAGGGCACGGAAAGCAAAGGCGGCUAAAAGCGCGACUCUUAAGGGAUAUUCUUGAGCCAGAUACCCUUUCAAAAAGUGCCCAGUCAUCACCCGGCGGUCAUCUCCGAAAUCCCAGCAUGCCACGUGGAUAUCCGACAGUUAUUUCCAAGAAAGCCGACGUGCCACCUCAUCACUCGGUUAUUUUCCUCAAAGUAACUUGUGAAGCUGGCUAUCACUCGGCGUUGCCUCUAAAACGCCGACCACGUGUUCAAUCGCUCGGCAUUACUUCUAAAAUGCCGACGCUGACUUUCAAUCACUCGGCGUUGCCUCUAAAACGCCGACCACGUGUUCAAUCGCUCGGCAUUACUUCUAAAAUGCCGACGCUGACUUUCAAUCACUCGGCGUUGCCUCUAAAACGCCGACCACGUGUUCAAUCGCUCGGCAUUACUUCUAAAAUGCCGACGCUGACUUUCAAUCACUCGGCGUUACCUCUAAAACGCCGAUCACGUGUUCAAUCGCUCGGCAUUACUUCUAAAAUGCCGACGCUGACUUUCAAUCACUCGGCGUUGCCUCUAAAACGCCGAUCACGUGUUCAAUCGCUCGGCGUUGCCUCUAAAAUGCCGAAGCCGACCUUCAAUCACUCGGCGUUGCCUCUAUAACGCCGACCACGUGUUCAAAUCGCUCGGCGUUGCCUCUAAAAUGCCGAAGCCGACCUUCAGUCACUCGGCGUGUCCUCUAACACGCCGACCACGUGUUCAAUCGCUCGGCAUUACUUCUAAAAAUGCCAACGCCGACCUUCAAUCACUCGGCGUCGUUUCUAAAACGCCGACCAGGUAUUCUGUUGCUCGGCAUUACUUCUAAAAUGCCGAUGCCGACCUUCUAUCAUUCGGCACUGCCUCUAAAACGUUGGUCUUGUGUUCGAUUGCUUGGUGUUACUUCUAAAACGCUGAUGUCAAUCUUCACAAUCGCUCGGCGUUGUUUCUACUAUAUCAAAAGAAUCAGUUCAACAUUCAAGAAAAGCAAUGACAAGUCAUCAAAAAGGGGGGAUCAACAACAGUUCUUCAUUAAAGGGAAGUUAACGAGUUUACAAACCAACUCUUCACGAGUUGGUACUUCCCUACUUCUACUCUACAUUACUACUACUACUAAACUACACUAUACUACUCUACAUUAUUACUACUACUAAACUACACUAAUUACUACUACAUUAUUCUAACUAUACUAAACUAUACUAACAUCUAAGAAGACCAGUGGCGUCUAGCCACUGGCCCUGCCCCUGCCGCCGCCGCCGCCCUUGGUGCUGCCCCUGCUGCUGCCGCCCUUGGUGCUGCCCUUGCUGCUGUCGCCCUUGGUGCUGCCCCUGCUGCCGUCGCCGCCGCCACUGCCGCUGCCGUCACCGUCGCCGUCGUCGUCGUCGUCGUCGUCGUCGUCGUCUUCACCCUCGUCGCCGCCGUCCGAGUCCUCCUCAUCCGAGGAGUACUCCGACUCAUCCGAGCCUUCGAGCCCGGAGCGCUCGACGGCCCGGAUGUACAUCCAGACCUCCGCGGCUAUCCCCUGGGAGUCGUCCGAGUCAUCGGACGACGCCGGGGGAGAGACGGGAGCCGGAGACCCCUCGGACCCGGAGGAGAACUCCUCCUCCGAGUAUUCCGAGUCACCGAAAUCCUCAGAUGGAGGAGUCGGCUCGCGCUUGCGCUUGUUGUUCUUGCCCAUGGUGGAAGCAGACAGAGGGGAAGAAAAGAAGGUAGUAAGGAGCAGCGAAGAGAUGUGAAGAAACCAGAGAAGCAAAGGGGUUAUUUAUAGAAGGGAAAGGCAACCGCUCACUUCUAACCGCGGUCACUGAACAGUCGCAAGGCAUUCAAUAAGCACUUCCACCCAUCUGAAGACACGUCAGACGGCGGACGCCGUUUCAUGCAACACUACACCCAUUGGGACUCCAGUCAACAGCGCAAAGGAUAUGAUUACACUAGCCGUCCCAUCGCAUUACUACUCAGAGGCAACCGGCUAAAACACUCAGCGUACCAAGCCGUCCCUUGCCCACACCCAUUGGGGGGGGACGCCCAGGAAUUAUCAGUAUAUUUUUCAAAACGGUCACAUCCGUGCAGGGCAUGCAGUGAAUACCUCAAGACAAAAGUGAGAUAUCAGUAAGGAUCAGAGGAAAGCCAAAUAUAGCCAGCAAAGUACAAGAUAUGAUCGACAGAAGCGACGUGAAGACUAGACAGAGAACGUCCGUCAAACGUCCAAUCAAUCGCAGAAGCAAAUAAAUUGCACUACCUAGCAAGAUAUGGAUGGAUUGCAAACUCGGCUGCUAAAGACAAAAUAUACGCUGACCUUUGCAGCAAAAUAUUGAUGACAUAAUGCUGACCUCCAAAGCAUAAUGCAAAAUAGCCUCAUGCCAGUUUCCACAAGCGAAAGGAAGACCUUCGAAUGGAUUAUCCUUAAAAAAUCCAUUUGAAGGUCGGGGGCUACACCCAUUGGGUGCACCUCCGGUGCACCCCAUGGAAUAUUAUUCUAAACCGAUAUAGCGCCGACUUCUAAGGCGUAGAGCAAGAUCGAAAAGACUAAUCCUCAACCGAGAUGCAGGAGCGCGAAUGGAGACAACCUUUGGAAGAAGACCUUCGAGUAGAUUAUCUUCUAAAAUCUACUCAAAGGUCGGGGGCUACACCCAUUGGGUGCACCUCCGGUGCACCCAAUGAAGUUCAGAGUCUUACAAUCCAAAAUGCCGACCUCUAAGGCACAAGCACAAAACUAAACUUUGGUCGGACGAGUGAUCAGAGCCAGAGAAGACAGCAGGAAGUCAUUUUUUGGACCUUGGAUCUUUGAGUUGAUUACCUCUAAAUCAACCCAAAGAUCGGGGGCUUGUGGGGGAUAGAUAUCCCCUGGGUCCACUAAAGAAGUAAAAGGCCUCACGAAAGGCCCAAGGGCCCGAUAAUUCGUAAGGUCAUUCUUUCGUGGGCCUAGGGAAAGACAACCAACAAAGAAGACGUGAGACUGAUUAGUGCAAACCCAAGCGGCCCACAACGUCGAACGAAUGAAUCACAACAGAGACCCGACUUUCCCGCGCUGAAGCCCCCAUGCAACAGAGCCGUGCGAGGAUAAGUCGGCGAGGGGUACGUAGGGAUAAACUCAAGAGGUUCACUAUCUUUUAGCUACUUGUUGUUAUCAUAUUCACGUGUACUGCCCCACGGUCGAGUAUAUAAGGCCUAGGGGGCACCCCUUCAGAUCGAUCGACCCUGUUCUACUUAGCCACCCACAAAAACUCUCUGCACCCUCUAUCCAGAGAAUCCUCUUGUAACCACGCUCAUAUACUCACCAGGACGUAGGGUGUUACGCACUUCUAAGCGGCCCGAACCUGCAAACCUUGUCCAUUGUCCCUCGUGCGAUCGGCACGAACCAUUUUGCUACAGUCGUUGACACCGUCCUACUCCUAAAAACACCUUGAGGGGCAACCCCGGGUGUGCGGUCGGACCCAAAACACCGACAGUACUCACCCUUGCUCUACACACCAACCCCCCCCCCCCCAUCCCCAGGUUGUCAGCAUUGCAACCACUGCUCAGGCGAAGAUGAAGCUGUGGAAGGAGACUUCCAGGAGUUCCAAGACUACGACGAGUUCUAGGUGUGGGUUAGCGGCAACCCCCAGUCGGCUGCCUGUGAAGGCCGCGGUUAUCUACGUUUCUUUUCCGCACUUUGAUUUAUUGUAAGGACUAUAUGGAUGUCUCAGACGUAUGAUGUAAUCGACUAUUAUUUCCCUUUUUAAUACUAUUUGAGCACUGUGUGAUGAUGUCCAUGUUAUGUAACUGCUGUGUACGUGAAUAACUGAUCCUGGCACGUACAUGGUUCGCAUUCGGUUUGCCUUCUAAAACCGGGUGUGACAUAAGUGGUAUCAAAGUCGUGCUGACUGUAGGACCGCUAACCUAGAGUAGAAUGGUCGUUCUAAGGACUAUAGACCUCUGUCUCUGCCUUGACUUUGAUAUCCCUUCAAAAGUUGGUCAUACCGACCAAACCUAUGUUCUACUAUAUAUUAUACCUUGCUGAAAAUCACGUUUUAUUAUAAUCCUUCAUUUACUUAUGAUUCAUUAUUUGCUGGUCAUAUUAAUUCUGUUCUCACCCUUUUGCUUGCGAUGUCUUUUGUAGAUGGCUCGACUUAGACACACUGCACGAAAGUCCGUCAUCCCCUUCUUACCCUCCUGUCUUGCUGAGCGUCCGCUUCGCCGUCCCGUGGCCGGACAAUCCAGCCACUUGGAGAGACUGCACCACCGCCUGCAUGAGGAGCAGGAACGUCGAGGACAGGAGCAACAGGGCUCUUCUUUCUCGCUCCACCAGGAGAUAGAGUCCGUGAGGAGCUGCUCCCCCGUGCUUCCCCUGGAGGCGCCCCCUGCACCACCACUGGGCGCCCCAGCUUCUGGAGUAGCUGCUGGAGGAGACCCAGACGACGGAGGUGGCGACGAUAGCUCGAGCCACGACACCGACCUUUCUGCUAACCAUGAGCCGGAAGGAUGGGUUGCUCGACCCAUCACUCGCGACGCUGCUCGCGGGUGUCACUUCCACGAUGCGCUCGACACCCUGCUACGUCGGGCACUUAACCGGCAUACUUGGUCCAUCGAGUAUCGCUGUGUGGUCUACCAGCACAGUCGCGGGGUCUACCCGGACCGCUGGGAGGCAACCUGCUUGGUGCGCCGCCCGGAGAACAGUCUUUAGGGUGCGGAGGCCUGCUCAGAGCACUAUUCUAUCUCUGAGCGGGACUCAGCUGAGGCAGCCAUGCAAGAUGUUGCACGACGUGCGCUUUCGCACUACUGCUCGGUUUUCGGUGGGGUAGCUGACGGCCUUGACCUGAAGUAUUACCCCCGCCGUCCAUCUGGCAGCACAGGAGGCGUGAUGGUCUCACUUGUUGGUAAGGGCAAUCCUAGGUUGAGCAGCACAGUCAACCUAGCCGCCGUGCUAAACACGGAGCUGGACCAUGCAUUAGACGAGCUGAGUAGGGCUCGUGCUGAGAUCGCCCUGCUGCGGGCUGAGCGCGCGGAACGUCGUCACCUGGAUGGUGGUUCCCCCGCUCCCGUUGGGACUCAGCACCCGUACCGCUCACCUCGGCGUGGACACCAGCCUUAUGGCAAUCCCGACUGCAAGACCAAGAUAAAUCUGGAACCAUAGCUCGUUAGAGUUGGAUCUUGUAAUUAAUACAAAAUAUAUAUACGUAGAAGCUACAGUCUUAGCGUUAGUCUCGGUCUUAGUUAGUCUUAGUUAGACAGGGUAGUUUGCUAUAUCCUGUGCAUUUAUGCUUGUCAUGAUGAACUAUGUUUGGUUUGGAUCUUUGUAAUGACUGUCACCAGAGUGUGGGUAUCCCCUGCAUUAUGGUUUACCUGUUAUAUGUUAAUGGAGUUAGUUAUAUAGUUGGGAAACCUUUUAUUCCACUUUCUUCUUUAUCUGAGAAGUUGUGUGGUCUGUGUUGGAGAUCAAUGAGGAUGCUCAUCUGUCCAGUGCUGUUGAAGGAUUCUAUACUCUUCUCUUAUGCUGCAAGAUUUGUCAGAUCAGUUCUGAUGUGUGGUUGCAUUCUGCAGCUGUCAGAGAAAGGUUACAUCCGGCCAAGCACCUCGCCUUGGGCCGCCCCUGUCCUAUUUGUGGAGAAGAAAGAUGGCACCAAGAGGAUGUGCAUCGAUUACCGAGCUUUGAAUGAAGUCACAAUCAAGAACAAGUACCCUUUGCCCAGAAUAGAAGAUUUGUUCGACCAGUUGAGAGGAGCCAGUGUGUUCUCCAAGAUUGAUCUGAGGUCAGGUUAUCAUCAGCUCAGGAUCUGACCUUCGGACAUUCCGAAGACGGCAUUAAUUACCAAGUAUGGUUUGUAUGAGUUCACAGUGAUGUCUUUUGGUUUGACCAAUGCGCCAGCAUUCUUCAUGAACUUGAUGAACAGUGUAUUCAUGGAUUACCUUGAUAAGUUUGUGGUGGUAUUUAUUGAUGACAUUCUGGUUUAUUCUCAAAGCGAAGAAGAGCACACAGAUCAUUUGAGAAUGGUAUUGCAGAGAUUGCGAGAGCACCAGUUGUAUGCAAAGUUGAGCAAGUGUGAGUUCUGGAUCAGUGAAGUCCUGUUCUUGGGUCACAUAAUCAACAAAGAAGGAUUGGCUGUGGAUCCAGAGAAAGUGGCAGACAUUUUGAACUGGAAAGCGCCAACAGAUGCUCGAGGAAUCAAGAGCUUCAUUGGAAUGGCCGGAUAUUAUCGGUGAUUCAUUGAAGGGUUUUCGAAGAUUGCGAAACCAAUGACAGCGUUGCUAGGCAACAAAGUUGAGUUCAAGUGGACCGAGAAAUGCCAAGAGGCCUUUGAAGCGCUGAAAGAGAGGUUGACUACAGCGCCUGUCCUAGUCUUGCCUGAUGUGCACAAGCCCUUCUCGGUGUAUUGUGAUGCUUGUUACACAGGUUUGGGAUGCGUGUUGAUGCAAGAGGGAAGAGUUGUGGCUUACUCGUCCCGACAGCUGAAGGUUCAUGAGAAGAACUACCCAAUCCAUGAUCUAGAGUUGGCAGCAGUGGUUCACGCACUGAAGACAUGGAGGCACUAUCUGUAUGGACAGAAAUGCAAUGUUUAUACGGAUCACAAGAGUCUGAAGUAUAUUCACUCAGUCAGAGUUGAACAUGAGGCAACGAAGAUGGUUAGAGUUGAUCAAAGAUUAUGAGUUGGAGAUUCAUUACCAUCCAGGCAAAGCAAACGUAGUGGCAGAUGUGUUAAGCAGAAAGAGUCAAGUCAAUCUGAUGGUCGCUCGUCCGAUGCCUUAUGAGUUGGCCAAGGAGUUUGACAGGUUGAGUCUCGGAUUUCUGAACAAUUCGCGAGGAGUCACAGUUGAGUUGGAACCUACCUUAGAGCGUGAAAUCAAAGAAGCGCAGAAGAAUGAUGAGAAGAUCAGUGAGAUCCGGCGACUGAUUCUAGAUGGCAGAGGCAAAGAUUUUCGAGAAGAUGUAGAAGGCGUGAUAUAGUUCAAAGAUCGCUUGUGUGUUCCCAAUGUCCAGUCCAUUCGAGAGUUGAUUCUUAAGGAAGCUCAUGAGACAGCUUAUUCGAUUCACCCUGGCAGUGAGAAGAUGUAUCAGGAUCUGAAGAAGAAAUUCUGGUGGUACGGAAUGAAGAGGGAAAUCGCAAAGCAUGUGGCUAUGUGUGAUAGUUGUCGAAGAAUUAAGGCAGAGCACCAGAGACCAGCUGGAUUGUUGCAACCGUUGCAGAUCCCUCAGUGGAAAUGGGACGAAAUCGGUAUGGAUUUCAUAGUCGGAUUGCCUCGCACUCGAGCCGGCUACGAUUCCAUUUGGGUAGUAGUGGACCGCUUGACCAAGUCAGCCCACUUCAUACCUGUCAAGACCAACUACAGCAGUGCAGUAUUGGCAGAAUUGUAUAUGUCUCGGAUCGUUUGUCUUCAUGGUGUGCCAAAGAAGAUAGUAUCAGAUAGAGGAACGCAGUUCACCUCUCAUUUCUGGCAGCAGUUGCAUGAAGCCUUGGGCACCCAUCUGAAUUUCAGUUUAGCUUAUCACCCGCAGACAGAUGGCCAGACCGAAAGGACCAACCAAAUUCUUGAAGAUAUGCUGAGAGCCUGUGCGUUGCAAGAUCAGUCCGGAUGGGACAAGAGAUUGCCUUAUGCAGAGUUUUCCUAUAACAACAGUUACCAGGCCAGUUUGAAGAUGUCACCAUUUCAGGCGCUCUAUGGAAGGAGUUGUAGAACUCCGUUGCAAUGGGAUCAGCCUGGAGAAAAGCAGGUGUUUGGGCUAGACAUUCUGCUUGAAGCCGAAGAGAACAUCAAGAUGGUCCGAGAGAAUCUGAAGAUAGCGCAAUCAAGACAGCAAAGCUAUGCAGACACAAGAAGAAGAGAGCUGAGUUUCGAAGUCGGAGACUUUGUCUAUCUGAAAGUGUCACCGAUCAGAGGAGUCAGAAGAUUCGGAGUGAAAGGCAAGCUAGCACCCCGCUACAUUGGUCCGUAUCAAAUUCUUGCAAGACGUGGAGAAGUGGCCUAUCAGCUCAGUUUGCCAGAGAAUUUGUCAGCUGUGCAUGAUGUCUUUCAUGUGUAUCGGUUGAAGAAGUGCUUGCGUGUGCCAGAAGAGCAGUUGCCAGUGGAAAGUCUUGAAGUCCAAGAGGACUUGACCUACGUGGAGAAGCCAGUGCAAAUCCUUGAGGUCGCAGACCGAGUCACCCGGAGGAAGACUAUCAGAAUGUGCAAAGUUAGAUGGAAUCACCACUCUGAGGAAGAAGCAACCUGGGAGCGUGAAGAUGAUUUGAUGGCUAAAUACCCUGAGCUCUUUGCUAGCCAACCCUGAAUCUCGAGGGCGAGAUUCUUUUAAGGGGGAUAGGUUUGUAACGCCCUAAAUUUGGGGGUAGAAUUUUUUCUUCUUUUCUCUCACCAAAUUCGGGCGUUACUCUCUUUUCUCUUUCCCCGUUUGCUCCUUCUUCCCAAUUUCAAACCAGUAUAGCGACAAGUGACCGUGUCAUGUAUAAACCAAAACCUAAGUGUCAUGGGUGUUGCAUCAUGCCGAAGCACUUUUCUUUGUCUGAUGUUGAGUGUUUGUCUCGUUCCGUUCUGGAUUUCGAUUCGCAAUUUAAUUCCGUUUAGUGGUCCGCGCACGUCGUGGGUUUUCAAUCCGCGAAGUGGCUCGACCCAGCCUAGCCCAGCCCAGCCCAGCCGGCCCGGUCCGACCCGGCCCUGCGCGCCCCUGGCGCCCAACCCCCCCAUGCGCCCCCUCCUCUCUCUCUCUCUCAUUUGGAUCUCCCGCGCAACAACCUCUCCUCUCCCUCUUCCACCUCUCUCUCCCCGUGGUGCCCUAGGAUUUGGAGACGGCGAUCACCGGAUUUUGGACCCCGAGGUGAGCUCCCCUCCCCUCCCCUUCUCCUCUCUCUCUCCCUCUCCCUCCUCUUCUCUCCCCCACGCGCGCCCUCUCUCUCUCCCUGCUCGCACGCGCCCCCGCCCUCCCCUGGCCCGCGGCGGCGCGGCCCCCGCCCCCCUGCCUGCGCGGCGGCGCCCGCGGCCCCCGCCUGCUCCCCCCCGCGGCGCGCGACCCCGCCCCGGCCUCCCCGCGGCGGCGCUCGCCCCCGUCCCAGCCCCGUGCGCGGCGGCGCAGCCCCGGCGGCCCCUGCUCGCCCGGCGCGGCCCCCGGAGCGGCGGCGCGGCCCCGGCGUGGCCCCGGCGCGGUCCGGCCCCCGGCGCAGCCCCUGGCCGGUUCAACCGCCCCCCCGGUUCAACAGCCCCGGCCCGGUCGCCCCGCCCCCGUCCCGGCCUCGCUCGACCGUAUACUCGCUCGCCCGCGCUCGCGAUGAUUAUUUGUUAGUCGAUAGUUAAUGUCAAACUCCGUUAGUUAGCGUGCUGCGUCGCGCGCUUCGCCGCGCGACGGAUUGUCUAAAUUCAGAUUCUAUCUAUGUGCUGCGUCGUGCGCUUCGUCGCGCGACGAUCCAUUUUAAUUUCAGGUUGUUUAAGGUGUAACGCCGCGUGUGUAUUCACGUGACGUUCCACUUUGGACUCAGUUUAGUCGACGUAUGCUGUCGCGCGUCUCGCCGCGCGACCAUCCUCUUUAUUUAUCUCCACCUGCUUAUAAUGAUUAGACAUGAAACAUGACUUUACUUUACGCUAAACAUAGUGUCUACAUUAAAUUUCCUUACAUUAAGCGAGUGGUUAAUUUAUAAUCAUGUAACGUGAUCGUUUCUCGACUGUCUUUUCCUCUUUCUCUCUUAACCGUACUCGCGAACCCGCGUGGAACGUCUGUUUACUUAUUGCAUUCUAUUGUAUGGUGUACUGUUCUUUUGUAUUAAAUAUGUGGAUGUAUGUAUGUUUGCAAUCGCAUAGAGAACGAUCCGGUUGAAGAGCCCGAGGAACUCGCAGGAGAAGCCCCUGAGCAGCAGUCGGUUGGUGGAGGCAAGUGUCCCUUGACCUAUCUCUGUCCUAUUCAUUAUUUAAUUCACCUCCCGCAUUACACAUUUAUACCUAAGGAUUUACUAGCUUUUGUGAUCCAUGUCCUUGUUUACCUAUCUGGGUUGGAUUAUUAUUGUUUAGCUUUAUGCUAUUGCUCAAACUCUAAUCAAUGAACAUGAUGAGAUUAUCUAUGAUACGCUGUUUUCCCCUUUCUUAUGAUGAUGUUAUACUUGUGGUCUUCAAGGGGGCUCGAGCGGUUUCUCGAGUGCCUCUCCGUAAGGACCUGUUCUUUGGAUGACCGCCCGGGAAAACAGUGCAACCAUGAGGGUGGAAUGGGGUGCCCUUAGCUGAAUAAUUAGAGGAUCCGGGGUGUAGUUCGCUUAGCCGUCGUGCCGUCAAUGGGGCUCGGUGUAUGCGGCUCGCUCUGCCAAGUUUGGGUUCGCCCCUUGGGGAGGAGUGCGGUGCAUUUAGGAAACCUAACGGGUGGCUACAGCCCCGGGGAAUCUUUGUAAAGGCUACGUAGUGAUGCCCUGCUAGGCCACCUAGGUAGUGGUCAAUGGGGAGUAGCUCUCUCCGGGCAGAAAGGGAAUCACGGCUUGUGGGUAAAGUGCACAACCUUUGUAGAGUGUUUGAAAACUGAUAUAUCAGCCGUGCUCGCGGUUAUGAGCGGCCAAGGGAGCUCCAGUGAUUAGUGGUAGUUGAUCAGAGAUACUUUGGUACAGGUGGCGAUGAGAUCAAUGGUUUUGGUUAUGACUAUGGUGCUGGUAAGUGGUAUUCUUUCCGUUUGGAAAGGGUACAUCGGGCUAAUAACUUGGGUUAAUGCUAAAACCUGGCUUUUUCAUUAGUAAAUAAUAAUCUGACCAACUAAAAGCAACCGCUUGACUUAUCCCCACAUAAAGCUAGUCCACUACAGCCAAACAGGAUACUUGUUGAGUAUGUUGAUGUGUACUCACCCUUGCUCUACACACCAACCCCCCCAUCCCUAGGUUGUCAGCAUUGCAACCACUGCUCAGGCGAAGAUAAAGCUGUGGAAGGAGACUUCCAGGAGUUCCAAGACUACGACGAGUUCUAGGUGUGGGUUAGCGGCAACCCCCAGUCGGUUGCCUGUGAAGGCCGCGGUUAUCUACGUUUCUUUUCCGCACUUUGAUUUAUUGUAAGGACUAUAUGGACGUCUCAGACGUAUGAUGUAAUCGACUAUUAUUUCCCUUUUUAAUACUAUUUGAGCACUGUGUGAUGAUGUCCAUGUUAUGUAACUGCUGUGUACGUGAAUAACUGAUCCUGGCACGUACAUGGUUCGCAUUCGGUUUGCCUUCUAAAACCGGGUGUGACAGCGACCGACCGUUGCGCUGGCGACCGUUGGCUCACCGGACAAUCCGGUGUACCACCGGACAGUCCAAUGAAUUAUAGCCGUACGCCGCCAAACUUUUCCCGAGAACGGCCUGUUAACCGGAGACCAGUCUGGCGCACCGGACACUGUCCGGUGCACCACCGGACAGUCCGGUGUGCCAGACUGAGCUAAGUUUUGGCUACACCGAGCCAAGUCUUUUUCCCAUUCUUUUCUCCCUAUUUCUAGUACUUAGACAAAAUAUGUUAGUACUCAAAACAAUAUACUAAGUCUAGAAACGUACCUUGUUACAUGAUUUGCACUUCUUGCUUGUUUGGCACAUCAGAACUCAAUUAAAUGUGUUGGACACUUAAUCACCAAAACAUUAUAGAAAUGGCCCAAGGGCACAUUUCCCUUUCAACUAGACCAAGGGAAUGCAAUUCACAACCACCCUCAAUAUUCUUCUAUCUGCCAUGUUUUAGUGACUACGCAUGAGAUGUCUACUUUAAAAUAUUUAGCCGAACAGAUUUACUGUCAUGUUACCCCUUUUUUUAUACAAUUAUCUUGAGAACUAUUUGUUGAUAAAUUAAUUUUAAGCAAUUGGUUUUGCAUAUCCUUGACAUGACUGCAAUUUUCUUAGUAGUUACAUGUUUUCUUACAUAACAAGUUCUCGGUAAUUUUGGUGCGAUUUUCUUUGCUAAUGUAUAAUGUUUUUUUGUUUGUCGAUGGACUAGUUGUAAUUUGGGGACCUUGCCAUUAAAACUUUCUAGACUACUCUCGAUGAAAUAAACUCUAAGCAUAUCACAAGAUUUACCAAAGUCAAUCAUUUUUAGAGCCUUUUGAGGCAGAAUAAAUGUCUUUCACCAAUAAAUCAAUUGUUUGUUAUGAUAAUAGCUUCUAUAUUCACUAAAAAUAAGGAAUGGAAGGUCAUGGGAAUAAGGAAGAUUGUGCUACAAAGGCUAAGGAAUGGGUUACUGCUAAAUCUGUUACGGGAAACUAACAGAUUCAACAACAUGCCAUAUCUACAAGUAAUUGGAGGACAUCGUAAUGGUUACCAUGAUCAGUAUCAACAACUAGCUGGUCUGCCCACAUAAGUUAUAGAAGCUUUGCACCCACCAGUACCUCAAUCGAGUAUUGAUCAUGUGCCAUUUCUAAUGAUAGGUCAACAGAGCGAAAUAAACCAUUUAUUAGGUGAAGUAUCUUAUUUCCUUUGGUCUAUAAAUUUUACGUACGGAUGUGCAAGUUUUAGAAUGAAGCUGAAGAUUAUAUUGCAAAUAGAGGUCCAAUGGUGUCUCCAGCAAAAAAUGGUUCAUUUUCGUCCACCUGUGAGCAGGAGAUCACCUACAACAGAAUUGACAAUAAAAAUGGGUCCUUCGGCGCAAUGGAUGUCCUCCUGAGCAAGCGACACUUCCCAGCGGUGCCAACUCAGGUCCGUUGGAGUGGGGGAGGAUAUUGGAGGUGAUUCCUGCUGCCUUGGCCCCCAUCUCACCGAGGCGGCGUCCACCCCGGUCUCCCGCGUCCUCUUGGCCAUGACCUCCUCCAUUCAAAAACCCCGAGCACACGAGGGAGAAACGAAGAGAGUCACAAGGUCAAGGAGCUCUACCGAUGCAGACGCCGAGAGCGUGGGGAGGGAGAAGAUAGAAAAUAGAAAGCAAUCACCCUAAAGGAUGGUAAGUUAUGUGGGACCUAGUUGUGAACUUGUGAUUUGGUUAUUCCACCGGUGUCGAUGUGCAAAAGACAUGCCAAAAGGAUCAAUUGACCUUGUAGUAGUGAGUUGAAUGGUUUGUUUUCAUGUGUUCAAUAAAUCCUAUGUGAUAUAGUUCUCAUGACCUUUCUAUUUGACAUUGACUACUAAUGAGACCAUAAUGUUUUUUCUUUAUUUUCGAUGUGUGGGUGGGUCUUCCCGGCCUCCCGGCAUAGGGAGAUAUAUGCAUAUUCAUUAACCAUAGUUUAUUAGUUUGUGUCUAGGAACAACACACGGAAUUCUCGAGGAAACUCUUGGGCAACUAGAUGCUCUCACUUAAUAUCCGGAACACCUGACCAUUUUUGUCUGACCGCUCUUUGGACUUUGGAUCGGUUGUGAAUUCCAGCAUAAGUGUAUGCCCUUUUAUUUGUUGCAUUUGGUAUAAUAAGAAGGAUACAUGUUCUAUAGUUUCUCAUGCCUUCUUGUUUGUUACCUACAUGAUAAGGUUAUAAUCUGCCCCGAGUCACUGUAUUUGUUUUUUAAGGCCGAGUGGUUGGUUGUUUUUAGGGUGUAAUUGUAUUUGUUUUUAAGGCUGAGUGGUUGGUUGUUUUUAGGGUGUAAUCGAACCAGAUACAGACGAAUAUUGUUGGUACCAUAUUUGUUUUUAUAUUUUUCUUUUCGAAUUCGGAUUGGAUAUGAAUAUUAUUAUCGAGGUGUGUCGGAUAAGAUUUGAAUAGAUAUCGAUAUCUUGAAUAUUCAACUUUGAGUAUAAGAAUAUGAAUAUAAAUUGCAUACGGAUCGGAUACUGAGUACCCGAAAUCAAAUACGGAUUGAACAUCAGUCUUCUAUGGGCUAGUUUGACAACUACACUUUCCCAAGAGAUUCCCAUUUUCUAAAGGGAAAAUAAACUAAUUUUCCUUUGGAAAAUAAAAAUACCUUGAAAAACUAGGUUGUCAAACUAGCUCUACGACGAAUCAAAUAAAUAAGGACAAAUAAUAUCCAUAUCAUUUACGUCUUUAGUUGGUUUGAUUUUGCAUACCAAAAGGAGACGUUGUGAUGGAAGUGAUAUGUCAUAUGUCCAGAUCAAAUGAGAGGAAAUCUCAGUUUGAAAUAUAUAUAUAUAUAUAGUAUUUAGAGCCCUGGGCUCUACUUAACUACAGGAAGCCCCACCAGGUGCGCAGACCGCACCGAACUUUUUUUGCUUAUUGUACCUAACUGUGCUUACGCUAAAUUAUAAUACGAGUUAUGCUGAUGUGUGUAUCAGUUUAUGCAAAUAUAGUCUGCGCAUAUUACGUGCAUCAGGCCCACGAUCCGGCCCACGCGCUCACAAUUAUCCAAUCACAUGCUGCCACUAUAAAAACACCCCCACGCCGCCAGGGAUUAGGUUUUAGCGGCGGCUGCGGUUCCCUCGGGCGUGCGAGCAUCGGUGAUCCUGGGGGGGCAGCAGCGGUGUCGCCUCGAGGCAGGCGACCGACGGCGGCGCUCCGCUAGGAACGAGCGACAACGACGCUCCGAGGCAAGCGGGCAAGCGGUGACGGCGCUGUCGAAGCGGACGGACGACGGCAGCGCACCCUAGACCCAGCGAUAACGACGGUUGUCCCGUCUGUCUCUGUGAUGGCCACCGUCGCCGCCGCUCCAGCAUCUGUGGCACCGUCCCUUGCACCCAAGGCCAACGACAACAGGAAGGCGGUGGUGCCCGUGGAUGCGUCGGAGCUGGAGAAGCACGUGCUGGCGGUGGACGACAAAUCUGUGGACCGUGUCGCGAUCGCCAGGAUCCUGCGUGGCUCCAGGUACAGGGUGACCGCCGUGGAGUUGCUCGCGAUGGGACUGCUCCCCGACGUCAGCAUGAUCAUCACCGACUACUGGAUGCCUGGGAUGACCGGGUACGAGCUGCUCAAGCGCGUCAAGGAGCCGGCGGCGCUCAGGGGCAUCUACGUCGUCAUCAUGUCGUCUAUGACCAUCGUGAUUUAUACAUUUUCAAACAAAAUUUUACGAUAGCUCUUAUUGCAUUUUACGCUUCCACUAAAAAGCAAGUGCCACAUUCGUCGUUACAAGACAGAUAAUUGAUUUACGCUAAAAUUCGUAUCCAUUUACGCUGUUUCGGAUCACGUUUUACGCUUAAAUCCACCUGACCUAGAACCUAAGCAUGUUCGGAGCGCGAUUUUCACGUCGUAAUUUAGGCCACAUUCGUCGUUACGAAAUAUAUUGAUGAUGUACGAUAAAAUUUGUACCCAUUUACGCUGUUUGGUUCAUGUUUUACGCUGAAAUUUGACCAAGCCAAAAUCCGUGCAUGAUCGAACGUGAUCAAUUUUCACGCCGUAAUUUUCGGACCCCAUUCGCUGUUACAAAAUAGAUCUAUAAUUUACGUAAAUUUCGUAUUCAUUUACGUUAUGUUGAUUCACGUUUUAUGAUUAAAUCCACCCGAGCCAGAACCCUAGCACGAUCGACUGCACGCGAUUUUCACGCCGUAAUUUUGGGCCCCGUUUGAUGUUACAAAACAGAUAUAGCUUUUACGCUAAAUUUCAUAUUCAUUUACGAUGUUUUAGCUCACGUUUUACGCCGGAAUCUGCCCUAGCCAGAACCCGCGCAUGAUUGGGUGCACGCGAUUUUCACGCCGUAAUUUUGGGCUUCAUUUGCUGUUACAAAACUGCUAUAUGAUUUACGCUAAAUUUCGUAAUCAUUUAUACUGUUUUAGCUCACGUUUUAUGCUGGAAUCCGCCCGAGCAGAACCCGCGAACUGUGGCUGUAAAUUAAAAUUUAUUUCCUUCUACUAAUGCUCCUCAAACCGUAACUAUCCCUUUAUUUACGCGAUUAUGCAGCACGUCUUUCCUUAUAUCAAACCGGUCAAUAUUUAUAUAAUGCAUGGUUUAUGCUAUCAUGUUACACAUCGUUAUGCAGUCGUAAACGGUGUGCACAUGGUAAUAUUCGUUUCCGUGAGUCGAGGUACAAAAUAUUCCUUCUAUGCAUGAUUUAUACACAUUACUACAUAUAUUUAUGCGUGCAUAUAUCUCCUGACGCGUAUCACCCGGGAUUCGUGGCUAUCAUGUGCAUGGCUGACGCAAGCACACGUACACUAGGCCGACCGCGGUCUGGCUGGGGCUUCCCCACUAACGAAAGCCCAGGGCUUCCAUUACCUCUUCCAUAUAUAUAUAUAUAACACACACUAGCCAGUUGGUCGUGCUCUACUACGAUUUUUAUAUAUCAUAUAAAUAGGUAUUAAAAUAUAACUAUUUUUUAUUUAUAAACACUAAGACACGUGUGGCUUUUGGUUAGCCUCACAUUUUCGGGGUUGGGUGUGUGGGUUCAAGUGCUCGCUCUACACUUUUUUGCGCGGUAUGGUAGCUGCGUGGGUGGGGUCUGGUGUUGAGCUAGCACCAGAUGUCCACAUUAGGUUCUUAAUAGAGUACUAUAGAUAAAUAUGUAUUGAUAUAUUUAUUCAAAUAUAAUUGUGUGGGUUUGAGUGCUCGUUUUGCACUAUUUUUGUUAUAUAUAUAGUUUAUCUAUUAAGAGACCUGGGCUUUAUAUAACUGUGGAGAGUCCCGACCAUCAACACUGCAAAUCCAUUUAAGCCCACGUUCGAUCACUUUUUAUGCAAGCGAACUGAUUUAGCGUAAACGGAAAACCACUUUAGCGUAAACAGAGUAAAAGUCGCGAGCCCUCGUUCCAGAAAAAGCGGUUUUAGGCCCAUUUAUCACGUGGUCAACCAUAUCUUCCUUAGUCAACACAUGUUUACACUACUCCAUUCUCCUGUUUAUACACAAUAGCGAUUUAGCGUAACUACUUCAUCCGACCCAAGUUACAGAAAUACAGGAUUAGGCCCACUACCCCACUUCCCACGCGGUCAAACAUUUCUAUACCCUAACCCCCGCGCGGUCAACCUUCCUGGCCGACUCGCCGCGAUUCUUCAGGCGUCGCCAGGGCGAUUCGUCUUCAUCCUCUCCCGACAGCGCGAUUCACCGUCCUCCGCCGCCGCACGCCCUCAACUUUAAUCGUCGCCGCUGUUGACAGUAUCGUCGAGCCGCUGCUGCUGUCAAUCCUCUGCGCCUCGCGUCACAUUGGUACACGUCCGCGGACGGUCUGUCGUCCGGAUUCCAAGGUGCUCGAGUUCCUCUAUUAAAUUUAUGCCUUACAAUGCAACUUCCUAAUAUCCUUCCUCCCCUCCGGCAGUGCGAAUCGCCUUUGUUUGUCCCCGCGCGAACUCAACCCUAAUCGGCGCCGCCGUUGACAGUGUCGUCGAGCCGACCGCCGCUGUCAAUCCUUCGCCAUCGCGUCACAUCAACGGUCGUCCUCUGAUUUCCUAGUUUUUUUCAGACAGGAGGUCAGAACGCCUACACUCAUAGUAGCUUUCAGUAGAGAAUUUAGUCAUGUAUAAAUGUUUAGGUUGCUGCUUAUUAACUACUACUGCUGCUGCAUAAAUAUAUAUUUUCCAGAGGAAAUACUGUUUUAGAUGAACAUUAUGUUGGUUUGCAUAUAUGUAUAUGACAGUCUAUAGUACUCUCAUAUAUAAGGUAGGGAUAGGGAGCUUCACCUUCCCUCCUUGAAAGCAAAUUGUGGCGCUUCCGAGUAUGUGGUAUUCCUAGCCUUGAACAUCAAAUUUGAUCAUAAGAAAAUCAGAAUAAUUGCCAAACUGUAAUGCCUUAUAUGAAUGCACAAUUUGUUUAUGCACUAUGGCAACCAAUCAAUCAUGGUUUGCUACACCCUACUCAGGUUGCAGUUAAUAUUACAAACAAAAAACAUUCUCUUUUUAGACAAAGGGAACUGAAACAUGAUUGCUGAAACCGAGACCAUAAUCACCAAUUUGAGACCAUAAAUGGUAGAAGAUUAUUUCUUCAUUUUGUUAUUUGCAAACCGAGACCAUAGUUACUUGAACGCAAUAAAAAUUAUAUCAACCCAUCAAUUACAAUAAUGAAACACUGAAAUGACCCCAAAAGCACAAGGAUCUUGAAAUAAAGAUCAUACUCAACUGACCUAUUUUUUCUUAUCAUACUCAACUUGAGUCACCAGCCCAAACAAUUUAGGCGGUUCUAGAUAUGUAGAGAGGUCAAACAACAGGCAUAUCUCUACAUUUUAGACGGUUCUAGAUAAAAAAGGGACAAGACUGCAUAAGUCUAGAACUUGUAGAGCUUGUUUAGUAACAUACAUCAAUUCCAGAAUGUGAUUCAGCCAGUUGGAUGUUUGCUUUUUUCAAGUAAAUUAUUAGAGUUUUAUUAUGUAAAAGUGUUCCAGAUGCACAGUAAGGGUCUAAUAUCCACGUAAACUAAUAUGUUAUGAACUGCAGAAUUUUGAACUUAUGGUUGCAUGUUUUUGUUUUAGUCAUGUAUAAAUGUUUAUGUUGUUGCUUAUUAACUACUACUACUACUGCAUAAAUAUAUAUUUUUAUGAGGAAAUACUGUUUUAGAUGAACAUUCUGUUGGUUUGCAUAUAUGUAUAUGGCAAUUUCUACAAUGCAAUGAUAUAAUUUUUUUGAUGUUUUGUUCACUUACCAUUUAUGUUGUUAGGGUCAUAUAACACAAUUGAUGAAUUAUAAUGUGUAUGACUGUGUUGAGUGUACAAUUGGUUCGUAUAAUCAUUGGUGUAUAUGUUGAUGUAACUCAAUAAAGCACAUAUGUUUUACAUUGUUCCUUUGCAGGCCGCUGCUUCAAUUAUGCGAAAGGUUGAUCGACCCCAACCAAUCUGAAGCGUUUAAUCAUUGAGUCAAGUCAAGAAUGUUUCAGUGUUGACAUUCCGCGCUCGACUGACAUUGGAGACCCUACAAAUACGCAGUGUGUUGGUGAUCCUUCGUAGCAUAGAAAGAGGGGUGUUGCUGCCGAUGCUAAAAAGAUUCCUAUGCCUAAUGUGGAUGAUGAUGACUUUGAGCCACCAAAAAACAAGUGCAAUAUCACAAUGGAUGCCCAAAUAAGACGCAAGUGAGUUUACAACAUUGCAGAAAUUUAUCGUUUCCAAUAUUUUAAUCAUGCAUCUAAUCACAAUACAUAGCUUAUGUGCUUAAAUAUAUAGGUUUCAACAUUACCUUAGCUCAUUAAUCCAAAACAGUCAUAGGCCAAGGAACUUUGUAUAAAUAAGAUCACAUAAAUUGUGAUAUUUAAUUAUUAACAUAUUCAUCCAUCUAUCUACGUUUUCAUUACAGAGACUCAACAUCAGAUGCAACCCAGGAGAUGUUCUCGCGUCCAUUCAGAUAUUGAAUGAAAGGCAACGUCAAGCUAUAGUCAGAAAAGGCUUCUCCAGUAUUCUUGACAUGACAAUUGAUGCAAUUGGAUGUCGAACACUUCUUUGUUGGCUCAUGAAGAAGCUAGACCCCAGAGACAUGACUCUUCAUAUUGGUCCAGACAAAGAACUCAAAAUCACCAAGCAGAUUGUCCAUCUGAUAUUGGGUCUUCCAAAUUCGGGUGGUGGAAAGCCACUUAAUAUUGUUGAAGCGAACGAAGCGGCAACACUUCGGUCCUCCUUGAAUAUUAGCAAGGAUGAAUUUGUUAUUUCAAAGCUACAGGACAGAUUGAGGCUAGGCCAGGAUGAUGAGCUUUCUAUCAGAUGUUUUUUUAUUCUCUUCAACCGGCUGCUAUUUCCAACAACUAGUUGGUCGAUAUCUUUCAAUGAGGUUCUACUUACAGAAGAAUUGGAGCGAUUCCCUCAAAUUGAUUGGUGCCAUCUAAUUUUUAGUGACCUAUGUGAAGCUGCCCAGAAAUGGCGCAAUAGGAGCACUAAUAAUGUGUCGGCGACGAUAUAUGGUUGUUCCAUCGUUGUUCUUGUAAGUUUCAUACUUAAUUUGGCAAAUCUUUUAUUAGAUUAAUCAAUUGCAAUCUGAAAAUACAUACAUAUAUUAUGUGUUUACGUUCAUUUGCAUAUGACUCUCAUGAUAUAUAUAUGUUAUGUAGUUGUAUUAUUUGGACCACUUGCACCAUGCCGCAGCUCCCAACAAUAGAAGUGGCACUCCGUGCAUAAAGUAUUUUAAUAAGAAUAUCAUAAGGGCGUUGUCAAUGGCUGAUAAGCGUAAGCCUCGCCAGGGAGGCGAACCAUUUGGUGUUUGCCCUGUGAGUAUUCAUUUAUUCUAUCAUAAUUUUAGCUUAAUGCACAUUUUUUCGAUACUAUAUUGUUGUUUGUAGUGUUUACAUUUUGCACAUUACAAGGCGUCAUCUAUGUUAGGUGUCAUCACAUCAUAUUUUUUCUGUUUUUUACAACAAUGUUAUUUAUGACUAUCUACAAAUUUAAUGAUUUUAGUAGUCAUAUCAUGAUCUCAAUUCAUGGCAUUUGUCAAUCCAUAUACAUAAUUCUUAAUUUUCAUUCAGUUUCAUCAGUUUGGGAGGAGCAGUGAGACUUGUUAUGUCUCAAAAUCGCCAUCUACUAGUCAGCUUGAGGUUAGAUCACAUAUCCACUAUGUUCUUUGUUUGUCUGUUUCUUUACCAUACUUAUUCUAUCAUUAUUAUAUUUUUUACUUUAGUCUACAAUGAGGCCAGAAACAGUUGAUGAAGACCCAAAUGAACAUGGCUGACUUCCCAAUAUAAACAUCCAACUGCCUCUUAUGCAAGACCUGAUGGCAACUAAGAUCCAGAUGCUUCCUGUACAUCAACGCCAGAAGUUCCAAGCUAAGUUAAUUGAUUAUGACUUAGUGAAAGGGAAAUAGGGUCAAACCUUUUCCUAAAUGAUUUUGAUGGUUGAAUUGCCCAACACAAAUAAUUGGACUAACUAGUUUGCUCUAGAAUAUAAGUUCUACAGGUGCCAAAGGUUCAACACAAACCAAUAAAAAGGUCCGAGUUAGGGUUCAAAAGAAAAGAGCAAAAGAAAUCGAAGAGGACCCUGGUCUGGCGCACCGGACUGUCCGGUGCACCAGGGAGGAUCGACCUCAAACUCUUCACCUUCGGGUUUCUUCAGGCGCACUCCGCUAUAAUUCACCGAACUGUCUGGUGUGCCACCGGACUGUCCGGUGCACCAAGCGGAGCAACAGCUAUCAGCGCAACGGUCGACUGCACAAUGCCCUGGCAGAGCUACAGUUUGCGGCAGAAGUCAGAGCAGGCGCCAGAGGCGCACCGGACAGUGAACAGUGCCUGUCCGGUGCACCAAGAUGUCAGAGCUCCAACAGUUGAAACCGUCAGAACCCUAACGGUUGGGUGACGUGGCUGGCGCACCGGACAGUGUCCGGUGGCGCACCAGACUGUCCGGUGCGCCCAUCGACAGCAGCCCAACCCCAACGGUUUGUUUGGUGGUUGGGGCUAUAAAUACCCCCAACCACCACCAUUCAAGGCAUCCAAGUUUUCAACCAUUGCAUUCAAUACAAGAGCUCUAGACUUCACUCCAAGACACAAACAAGAGAUCAAAUCCCCUCCCAAGUCCAAAAUCACUCCCAACACUUAGUGACUAGUGAGAGAGAUAUUUUCGUGUGCAUUUGAGUUCUUGUCGCUUUGAUCGCUUUUCUUCUUCCCCAUUCUUAUUCUCAACACCUUUGUAAUCAAAGCAAGAGACACCAAGUUGUGGUGGUCCUUGUGGGGUCUAAGUGACCCAUUUGAUUUAGGAGAAAAGCUCACUCGGUCUAGGUGACCGUUUGAGAGAGGGAAAGGGUUGAAAGAGACCCGGUCUUUGUGACCACCUCAACGGGGAGUAGGUUUGCAAGAACCGAACCUCGGUAAAACAAAUCACCAUGUCAUCCGCUCUAUUUCUUUGGUUGAUUUAUUUUCGCCCUCUCUUUCGGACUCGGUUAUACUUCUAAUGCUAACCCGGCUUGUAGUUGUGCUUAAAGUUUAUAAAUUUCAGAUUUGCCUAUUCACUCCCCCUCUAGGCUACUUUCAAUUGGUAUCAGAGCUCGAUACUUCAUUAGAGUCUAACCACUCGAAGUGAUGUCGGGAGGAUCCGCCAAGAGGGAGAUGGAAACGAACACAAGCCGCGAGAAAGCUCCAUCGAAGGAGUCCGGCGCCAAAGGAAGGGAGGAAUCACCUCCCCGCGUCAAGUCGCAUCGGAGUGGCGACAAGAAGAAGAAGAUGAAGAAAGUGGUCUACUAAGAGACCGACUCUUCGUCGCCAUCCACCUCCAGCUCCGACGCACCGUUCGUCACUUCUAAGCGCCAUGAGCGCAAGAAGUUUAGUAAGAUCCCCUUACGCUACCCUCGCAUUUCUAAACGUACUCCAUUACUUUCCGUCCCAUUAGGCAAACCACCAGUUUUUGACGGUGAAGAUUAUUGUAUGUGGAGUGAUAAAAUGAGGCAUUACCUAACCUCACUCCACUCUAGCAUUUGGGACAUUAUUGAGUUUGGAGCGCAGGUACCAUCCGUAGGGGAUGAAGGAUAUGAUUCAGACGAAGUUGCCAAAAUCUGGCACUUCAACUCCCAACCCACUACUAUACUCCUCGCCUCUCUAAGUCGAGAGGAGUAUAAUAAGGUGCAAGGGUUGAAGAGUGCCAAAGAAAUUUGGGACGUGCUCAAGACCGCGCACGAAGGGGAUGAGGUGACAAAGAUCACCAAGCGGGAGACGAUCGAGGGGGAGCUCGAUCGGUUCAUCCUCAACCAAGGAGAGGAGCCACAAGCCAUGUACAACCGUCUCAAGACCUUGGUGAAUCAAGUGCGCAACCUCGGGAGCACAAAAUGGGAUGACCAUGAAAUGGUCAAGGUUAUUCUAAGAUCACUCGUUUUUUUAACCCUACACAAGUUCAAUUAAUUCGUGGUGAUCCUAGAUACAAGCUAAUGUCUCCCGAGGAGGUUAUAUAAGAAAGUUUGUGAGCUUUGAAUUGAUGAUCAGAGGCUCCAAACAAAUCAUCGAGCGAGGCGCCACCUCCACACCCGAGGUGCAACCCGUUGCAUUCAAAGUGACGGAGGAGAAGAAAGAAGAGUCUACGUCAAGUAGACUCCCCAUCGAUGCCUCUAAGCUCGACAACGAGGAAAUGACGCUCAUCAUCAAGAGCUUCCGCCAAAUCCUCAAGCAAAGGAGGGGGAAGGAUUACAAGCCCCGCUCUAAGAAAGUUUGCUACAAGUGUGGUAAGCCCGAUCAUUUUAUUGCUAAAUGUCCAUUAUCAAGUGAUAGUGACAGGGGCGACGACAAGAAGGGAAGGAUGAAAGAAAAGAAGAAGUACUACAAGAAGAAGGGCGGCGAUGCCCAUGUGUGUCGGGAAUGGGACUCUGAUGAGAGCUCCACCGACUCCUCCUCCGACGAGGACACCGUCAACAUCAUCGUCACCAAAGGCCUCCUCUUCCCAAACGUCGCCACAAGUGCCUCAUGGCAAAGGACGACAAAAAGAAGAAGGCAAAAUCUAGAGCCUCCACUAAAUAUGCAACAUCUAGUGAUGAGGAUAGCUCUAGUGAUGAUGAAGAAAAUUUGCUUGCUCUUUUUGCCAACCUAAACAUGCAACAAAAAGAAAAAUUAAAUGAAUUGAUAGGUGCUAUUCAUGAGAAGGAUCAACUCUUGGGUAGCCAAGAGGACUUCCUUAUUAAGGAAAAUAAAAAGCAUGUUAAGGUAAAAAAUGCUUAUGCUUAGGAAGUAGAAAAAUGUCAAAAAUUAACUAGUGAGCUUAGCAUUUGCCAUUGUUGGGGGCCUUCGUCUUCUGAAGGUCCUCAAAAACAUGAUUUAACAAUGUUUCUGGAGUUUAAUACAUGAACAGGUACCUUCGGACUCGGAACAGAACUACAGCGUGAAGAAGCACAAAGAAUACGAAGGUUGGCACGAAGCCGAAGCUAUGCGCAAGGGAGCUUCGGCAUGAUAGCAGAAAAGGGAACCGACUUAAAAGGAAAAAGGCUAUUUAGACCUCGAUGGAUCACUAUAGAGUCAUUAGCAAAUGAAAAGGGCAUGGGUGUAAUUUUACAUGGGCUGCGUCCCGUGCCUAUAAAUAGAUGAACAGUGCUCCUGUACUAUUCACGCUGACUCGGCAUUUGCUUUUGCAUCACGCCUGUACCUUUGUUGUCUAUCAAGUCAAAGGUAUCAAAUGUAACUCAAUAUUGUUUUUAUUCUCUCAUGAUAAUAUAAUGGAGAUGAAUUGAUACUACUAUAUGAUUGUCUAUAUUAUCUUUUAUAUUUUGCGCGCUUCCUUUUAUUACCUUCAUAUCUUCGAUAUACGAAGGUAUGUAUUUUUAACCUUCAUCUAAAGAUCAUUAUGUCCCAAGGGAAAUAAUAUUUCGGAGGAUGAAGGGAUUUAAUAUUUAACAUUCUAUGUUGCCUCGUUCUUGAUUCAUAGCAUUUGAGAACAAGUCCCCAACAUUGGCGCCCACCUCCGGUGAAUCCUUUUCGACCACCUUCAGCAAGCUUGACCUUCGUCAUGCCAUCGAAGAAAGUUUCAGCGCCAGGGGCUGCCGCUUUGCAGCCGCUGGACCCGAACCAGGAGACCCUUUCUCUUCGACAGGCCCGAAGCCAGAAGAGGAAGGCCACUAGUCCAACACCCCAGGAGGACGAGUUGGACCAAGAAAUCAGAAACAUGGAGAUGCUUCAUCAACAAGUACAAAGGAAGAAGGAGAAGAUGGCUCGACUAGCCGACCUUCAAAGGCAGAUUGACGAAGCCACUGAAGAAGUACGCCAUCUUGCUCAAGAUGAACAAGAACAAAGGCCCCAACACAGGGAGCUUCAUCAAGAAGGCAUGUUCGAUGAUGGAUGGUAUGAUGAUUUUAAUCAUGGUACCUUUACUUUUGACGAUGCUUCUCCCUUGGCAGCAGAACUGCAAGCUAUCCCAUGGCCCCCAUCGUAUAAGCCACUUCAGCUUCCGAUGUAUGAUGGGCAUUCAGACCCGAAGCAGUUUUUGAUGAGUUAUGAAGCAACUAUAUCCUCAUACGGAGGUAAUGCAGCUGUCAUGGCCAAGUCCUUCAUCAUGGCAGUCAAGAAUGUAGCUCAAACGUGAUAUUCUUCUCUUCGGCCAGGGACCAUCACUUCAUGGCAGAAGCUUAAGGACAUGAAGUCAUAGCUCAGGCUCUGUUUCAAUGCACGCAAGACCAUGAGGAGUAUCUCUAGGCAUAAGUUUGAAGGUUCUUGCGUCUAAGAGCACAAGCGCCUACAGUGCCCAAUGAGAUCGUCAUUGAGGGCAUGAUCAAGGGGCUUCGUCGAGGACCUACGGCCCAGUAUUUCGCUAGAAAGCCUCCACAGACUUUGGAGAAGCUGCUUCAAAAGAUGGAUGAAUACAUCUGUGCUGACAAUGACUUUCGCCAAAGAAGGGAGGAAGCCUACAGGUUCUCUGAGACGACCAGGGGCUUCAGAGGAAGAAUCCACCCAAGGCAUGUCAGGUCAAUCCACUCCACCCAGAGUGACGAUAGAGGAAGUGAACAGCAGAGGCCGCAAUAUUCCUCGCAAGCUUCGGGGCAACAACAAAAUUCUUUCCGGCCACCAGCUCCAAGAGGCAGAGGCGCCAGGGGCUUCGGAGGAAGGUUUGGGGAUCAGCCUAGGAAAAUUUAUUGCCUAUUCUGUGGUGAGGACAAGGGCCAUACUACAAGGAUGUGCCAUGUCACCAUUCAGAAACAGAAGGAAAUAGCAGAAGCCACAGCUCAAUAGAACCAAGCGAAGCAGGUCAUGCACACUGCUUCGUAUCACUCGCCCUACAUACCAGAGUAUGUGGGUAACCAUCCUGCAACUUCUGUGGCUUCGGUUAGCCAGCCACAGGCAUCCUGGCAACAACCUCCACCUCCACCACCACUACAACUUGCAUAUUCACGAGGCCAGCAGCCAGAAGGGAGCCAUCAGCAGCGAGAUUUCAGGGAGGAGUCCGAAGCUCGCACAGUCAAAAGUACUGUGCCAGAAUCGAAGCAUAUCUAUUGAGAGAUAUCCUACUCCUGAAGCAAUCUUUACAUUCAUCGUCACUUUCUUUUUUACUAAGGAACAAUUCUCUCGUUAAUUUCAAUUUCCUGUAAUAACUUCGUUCUUGCAAUAGUGAAAUAUAUCUUCUCCACAAACUCACGAAGUUUGAAAAGUCGUUCUAAAGGAACGCAGCGUAAGUUGCCGAAGCUACGAAAAGUCGUUCUAAGGAACGCAACGUAAGUUGCCGAAGCUACAAAAAGUCAUUCUAAGGAACGCAGCGUAAGUUUGCCUAAGCUACAAAAAGUCGUUCCUAAGAGAGCGCAGUGUAAGUUUUCUGCUCAAAAGUCGUUCCAAAGGGAAUGCAGAGCCAAAUACCGCCGAAAUAUAAGGCGAAGCGCGAAAAGUCAACGUGAAUACCGCCGAAAUAGAAGGCGAAGAAGUUCAAAAGGCGUUCCUAAGGGAAUGCAGAACUUACAGCGAAAAGUCAGCGCUGAUACACCGAAAAAUAAGCGGUGAAGCCGAAAAAUAAACGGCAAAGAGAUUGUGUAUUCCACUAUGGGAAUGUGUGUCUUCGGCACAAAUAUCAUUUUGCAUAGCAUAACAUCAUCACAUCAUUUCGCAUAACAUAACAUCAUACAUCAUAUUGCAUCAAUGGCACAAGAAGGGGAUACAAUGUUAACCUUCGGAGAAUGCUUCGAAGAAGUGAAAUUGUGCUAAGGCACAAAAUAAGUUUUGAAGAAAUACAGCUUCAUCAGCUCUGAUACGGAGGAAAAAAUCUAUUGUUGAUGAAGCAUUAAUGUUUUGGCGACACUUGGAGGAUUUUUUACGAAGCAUUCUGUUGUGGAGGAAAAAAUCUAUUGUUGACGAAGCAUUAAUAUUUUUGCCAUGAUUGGAGGAUUUUUUAUGAAGCAUAAAAGCCCUUCUUUACGAAGCAUGAAAAGAAGGGAAGGUGUUUUUUCGCCGAAGGCUCAAAAACGGUAUGUACAUAAAAGUUCCAUGCAUCGCAAAGAAAUGAAUUACAAAGCCAUUUAUAUAUUACAUUCAAAACCCAUGAGCACCAAAUAUUACAAGCAUAGUCCACCAAAUGUUACAUUCACAUUCUACAAAUGUUUUUACAAUAGUUGUUCUUCUUCUUUCAAAACUCUAUCUGCAACUUUGGUCAGCAGGUGGGUGACGACUUCAACCAUAAUGGUUUCGGCCAUGCUAAUAAUUUCUAUUGAUUCCUUUGCCUCUGGGUCGGCCAGUGACUCGAAGGGCUCUGGGGGAGAAGAUAGUUCAGCUGCGGUAGAAAACGUAAAUCAGUUCGAAUUCAUAAAAAUAAACAAUAGAGUUAAAAGCUAUAAAGCAAUACCUAUCCGUCUUUCGAGUUCCGCAACUUUUUCAGCUGCUUUCGCUGCUUCUCUAGCGUCGUGAGUAUCUUUUUCGCUCUUCUUUAUUAUUUCGUGGGCCAUCCCUCGGCCGCCAUUUUCCCAGAUGUCAGUGAAGAAUUUUCCACCAAUUAAGCUUGCUUCGGCCGAGAGGUCUUUCGUACCGUCAACAGAGAAAGCAGCUUCGGCUUGGGCCAGAAUUUUCACAUGUUCGCACCCUGCUUUCUCCAAAAUACUUGCACCAGAGAAGGCACAGACGUCCCCUCGGUCGCUCAAAAUUUCUUCAAAAGCUUCGGCUUCGUUGCUGAUCCACUCAAUUGGGCCUUCGGGGUCGCCCCGUACAAAGUUAUCUUCACUUGAAUAUGCGUCAACAUUGGCGAAGCUGGUUUUUAUCUUUUUCACACAUUCUACAGAUUUUUCAAAACAUCUUUCUUUGGAUAUGCGAAGUUCUUCGAUGUUUCUCUCUAAAUAAUUUGUCCAUUGUUCGCUAAUUUCUCGUUUGGCUUCUGCGACUGCGCACUUCUCUUUAGUUUCGGCUAAUUGCUUCCGAAGGUCUUCAAUCUCAAUUUUUUGGGUUUCAGAUUGGGUUUUGAAGUUAGCUUCAUCUCCCUUUACUUUGUCCACCAAUGUAAGUAGAAUUUUGUCUUUUUCCAAAGCUUCGUUCCUCAGCUUAAUAACCUCUGUUCGAAGGUUGUUGAGAGCAAUAGUGCAACUCUCGUCUUCGGCAUUCUUUUGCGCCCUUAAGACGUUGCUGAGUAUUAAGCCCUACACCAAAGAAUGAAUGAAUCAAUAUAAGAGCCAAAGGCUAAUUCAAAAUUCAUAAAAUUCCAAAUUCGUACCUUCAGACUAUUGUAUGCGAGGCUAUCUACAAGAUCGUCCUUCGUCAUGGCGCAAAGGCCAGCUUCAAGCUUCGGAAACCCCAUACUUCUGGCCAUCUCCCGGCAGACAGAUAAUUCUUUGUUGUCUGGGAGGCAAUAUAAGAAGUCAUCUUCGUAUGUGCCAUUGAACACUAAGGCCCCUUUCGGGUACCUCAGUUCUCGGGCAUAGUGUUUAGCUUCAAAAAUAUCUUCUUUAGAUAAUCUUUUUCCCGAAGCGUGUCGUAUAAUAUAAUCAAGAGCUUCGAGAGUCCCUUCGGGAGUGGGAGUGGCAACUUUUUCAUGCGCAAUUUGUUCUACAACUUCCGUUUCCGCUGCCUUUCCUCUGGUUUCCAAGGAUUUUUCCUUGGUAGGCUCUGAAGGCCCAGCUUCGGCGUCGGCCUGGCUCUUUGUAGCUUCAGCUUUGGUCAGCUUUGUCUCGGUUUCAAUCUGCGUUUUCGAAGCCUUGGCAGUUUUCCCUGGAGUAGAGCUUGAAGCUUUUAUUGUCUCCAGCACAUCUAGUACACAGGACAUCCUUUUUCUCUUGGGAGUCGCUGUAAAACCUUUUCUUCAUCUUCAACCACAAAUUUGCUUAAGGGUAACCGAAGCCCAGCUUUCAAGAAGCUUCGGUAGAUCACAACUUCAUUUUCUUCGGUAACAGGAACAGUCUUAUCUCCGAUGUUAGCCCUCACAAUAGACAUAUCCCGAAAAUACCUUCCUCUCAUAUUAUCGAGAUGACUCUGUUUAAUAGUUGAUUUUCCGAAGACUGAAUGGCUUGGCCGCCAGGGUCGAUCUUCGGAGUCUUCGCCCCCACUUUCUGCAUCAUAGCUGUCGCUGUCAUCAGUAUCUUCAGAUAAGCCUUCUAGAAUUUCUUUCGUAAUUUUCUCUGUAUUGGUUUUUGCAAUUGACUCAAUGAAUCCAGCAGUCUUCUCCUUAAGGAGCUUCUCCUCCUCACUCAGCUUCGUCUCAGCAACAACUUUUUAUCUUGAGACAUCUUCUCUUCGGAAACGGUGAAAAUGUGUUCUUAAAACCGAAGCUUUCAAAAUCUAAGAAACUAAGCAAAUGUUGGCAAACAAGAGCUAAAAAAUUAAGCAAAGCAAAGCAGGCGUACCAAAUGUGCUCGGGGUGAGUUCUUAUUUAUACGCCCAACGCGCUCCGAGUUGGAGGGUCCCGUUUGUCAUUGACUGUUGCUAUUCUAGCAAAGGGAAGGUGUUUUUCGGACCUUCGGCUUAAGGCCUUCGUCCAUAUCUCAAUCUGAAUUCGUUAUUCUAACAAAUUAACCUUGUGAGGGGCUACUGUUGGGGGCCUUCGUCUUCUGAAGGUCCUCAAAAACAUGAUUUAACAAUGUUUCUGGAGUAUAAUACAUGAAUAGGUACCUUCGGACUCGGAACAGAACUACAGCGUGAAGAAGCACAAAGAAUACGAAGGUUGGCACGAAGCCGAAGCUAUGCGCAAGGGAGCUUCGGCAUGAUAGCAGAAAAUGGAACCGACUUAAAAGGGAAAAGGCUAUUUAGACCCCCGAUGGAUCACUAUAGAGUCAUUAGCAAAUGAAAAAAGCAUGGGUGUAAUUUUACAUGGGCUACGUCCCGUGCCUAUAAAUAGAUGAACAGUGCUCCCGUACUGUUCACGCUGAUUCGACAUUUGCUUUUGCAUCACGCCUGUACCUUUGCUGUCUAUCAAGUCAAAGGUAUCAAAUGUAACUCAAUAUUGUUUUUAUUCUCGCAUGAUAAUAUAAUGGAGAUGAAUUGAUACUACUAUAUGAUUGUCUAUAUUAUCUUUUAUAUUUUGCGCGCUUCCUUUUAUUACCUUCAUAUCUUCGAUAUACGAAGGUAUGUAUUUUAUAACCUUCGUCUAAAGAUCAUUAUGUCCCAAGGGAAAUAAUGUUUCGAAGGACGAAGGGCUUUAAUAUUUAACAUUCUAUGUUGCCUUGUUCUUGAUUCAUAGCAUUUGAGAACAAGUCCCCAACAGCCAUGACACUAUCUCUAACCUUAGAAUUGAAAAUGCCAAAUUAAUUGCUAAGAUGGAGAAAUCAAAUGUUUGUAAUAAUUCUCUUGUCAACCUUAAAAAUGAUAAUGCUAGUUUGAUUGCUAAGAUUGACAAGUUGAAUGAAUCACUUUCUAGCCUUAAGAUUGAGAAUGAUAAAUUAAUGUCUAAGGCUAAAGAUUUAAAUGUUUGCAAUGUUUCUAUUUCCAAUUUUAGAAAUGAGAAUGCCAUGUUACAUGCUAAGAUUGAUGAAUUAAAUGUUUGCAAACCCUCUACAUCCACCGUUGAUCAUGUUUCUAUUUGCAUGAGAUGUAGAAAUAUUAAUGUUGAUGCUAUCCAUGAUCACAUAGCACAACUAACUAGUAAAAUUAAUGAGCAUGAGAUAGAAAAUGAAAAUUUUAAAUUUGCUAGAAGUAUGCUCUAUAGUGGGAGACGCCCUGGCAUUAAGGAUGGCAUUGGCUUCCAAAAGGGAGACAAUGUCAAGCUUAAUGCCUCUAAGAGAUUGUCCAAUUUUGUUAAGGGCAAGGCUCCCAUGGCUCAGGAUAACGAGGGCUAUAUUUUAUAUCCUGCUGGUUAUCCCGAGCACAAAAUCGGGAGAAUUCAUUAUAGGAAGUCUCAUUCUGGUUCUCAUCAUGCUUUUAUGUAUAAGAAUGAGGCAUCUAGUUCUAGGCAAUCCACUCAUGUUAAAUUGCCUAAAAAGAAAACUCCUACUGCAUCAAAUGAUCAUAAAUUUUCAUUUAAGACUUUUGAUGACUCUUAUGUUUUAACUAACAAAUCGGGCAAAGUAGUUGCCAAAUAUGCUGGGGGCAAACACAAGGGCUCCAAGACUUGUGUUUGGCAAGGUGCUUGUUUCUAAUGUCAAAGGACCCAAGACCGUUUGGGUACCUAAAAACAAGGCCUAAACUUGUUUUGUAGGUUUAUGCAUCCGGGGGCUCAAGUUGGAUCAUUGAUAGCGGGUGCACAAACCACAUGACUGGGGAGAAAAGGAUGUUCUCCUCCUAUGAGAAAAACAAUGAUCCCUAAAGAGCUAUCACAUUCGGGGAUGGAAAUCGAGGUUUGGUCAAAGCACUUGGUAAAAUUGCUAUAUCACCUGACCAUUCUAUUUCCAAUGUUUUUCUUGUAGAUUCUUUAGAUUACAAUUUGCUUUCUGUCUCUCAAUUAUGCAAAAUGGAUUACAACUGUAUUUUUACGAAUAUAGGUGUUACUGUCUUUAGAAGAAGUGAUGAUUCAAUAGCAUUUAAGGGAGUAUUAGAGGGUCAGCUAUACUUAGUUGAUUUUAAUAGAGCUGAACUCGAUAUUUGCUUAAUUGCUAAGACUAAUAUGGAUUGGCUGUGGCAUCGCCGACUAGCCCAUGUUGGGAUGAAAAAUCUUCACAAGCUUCUAAAGGGAGAACACAUUUUAGGACUAACAAAUAUUCAUUUUGAGAAAGACAGGGUUUGUAGCGCAUGCCAAGCAGGAAAGCAAGUUGGUGCCCACCAUCCACACAAGAACAUCAUGACGACCGACAGGCCGCUUGAGCUACUCCACAUGGAUCUAUUCGGCCCGAUAGCUUACAUAAGCAUCGGUGGGAGUAAGUAUUGUCUUGUAAUUAUGGAUGAUUAUUCUCGCUUCACUUGGGUAUUAUUUUUGCAGGAAUAAUCUCAAACCCAAGAGACUUUAAAGGGAUUCUUGAGAUGAGCUCAAAAUGAGUUCGGAUUAAGGAUCAAUAAAAUAAGAAGCGACAACGGGACAGAGUUCAAGAACUCACAAAUAGAAGGCUUUCUUGAGGACGAGGGGAUCAAGCAUGAGUUCCCUUCUCCCUACACACCUCAACAAAAUGGUGUAGUGGAGAGGAAGAAUAGAACUCUAUUGGACAUGGCGAGGACCAUGCUUGAUAAGUACAAGACUUUGGACCGGUUUUGGGCGGAAGCAGUCAACACCGUUUGAUACGCCAUCAAUCGACUCUACCUUCACCGAAUCCUCAAGAAGACAUCAUAUGAACUUCGAACCGGUAAAAAGCCCAAUGUUUCAUAUUUUAGAGUCUUUGGUAGAAAAUGCUUCAUUCUUGUUAAAAGAGGUAGAAAAUCUAAAUUUGCUCCUAAGGCUAUAGAAUGCUUUUUACUUGGUUAUGACUCAAACACAAGGGCAUAUAGAGUCUUUAACAAGUCCACUAGGCUAGUUAAAGUUUCUUGUGACAUUGUGUUUGAUGAGACUAAUGGCUCCCAAGUGGAGCAAGUUGAUCUUGAUGAAUUAGAUGAUGAAGAGGCUCAAUGCGUCGCUCUAAGGAACAUGUCCAUUGGGGAUGUGUGUUCUAAGGAAUCCGAAGAGCCCACUCAUGCACAAGAUCAACCGUCAUCUUCCAAUCAAGCAUCUCCACCAACCCAAGAUGAGGAUCAAGCUCAAGAUGAUGAAAAUGAAGAUCAAGAGAAUGAGCCACCUCAAGAGGAGGACAAUGAUCAAGGGAGAGAUGACAAUGAUCAAGACAAGAAAGAUGAUCAAGAAGUACAGGGUCAAAAACCGCCACACCCAAGAGUCCACCAAGCGAUACAACGAGAUCACCCCGUGAAAUCCAUCCUCGGCGAUAUUCAUAAGGGGGUAACCACUCGAUCUCGUGCCGCUCACUUUUGUGAACAUUACUCUUUUGUGUCUUCUACUGAGCCAUAUAGGGUGGAAGAUGCAUUAAGAGAUUCAGAUUGGGUGUUGGCAAUGCAAGAGGAACUCAACAACUUCACGAGAAAUGAGGUAUGACAUUUGGUUCCACGUCCUAAUCAAAAUGUUGUAGGAACCAAGUGGGUAUUCCGCAACAAGCAAGAUGAGCAUGGUGUGGUGACAAGGAACAAAGCCCGACUUGUGGCCAUGGGAUAUUCACAAGUCGAAGGUUUGGAUUUCGGUGAAACCUAUGCACCCGUAGCUAGGCUUGAGUCAAUUCGUAUAUUACUUGCCUAUGCUACUUACCAUGGCUUCAAGCUUUAUCAAAUGGACGUGAAAAGUGCCUUCCUCAAUGGACCAAUCAAGGAAGAGGUCUAUGUUGAGCAACCUCCCGGCUUUGAAGAUAGUGAGUACCCUAAUCAUGUUUACAAACUCUCUAAGGCGCUUUAUGGGCUCAAGCAAGCCCCAAGAGCAUGAUAUGAGUGCCUAAGAGAUUUCCUUAUCACUAAUGGCUUCAAAGUCGGCAAAGCCGAUCCUACACUUUUUACUAAAACUAUUGCAAAUGAUUUGUUUGUAUGCCAAAUUUAUGUUGAUGAUAUCAUAUUUGGGUCUACUAACAAAUCUACUUGUGAAGGGUUUAGUAGGAUUAUGAUUCAAAAAUUCGAGAUGUCGAUGAUGAGGGAGUUGAAGUAUUUCCUAGGAUUUCAAGUGAAGCAACUCCAAGAGGGCACCUUCAUCAGCCAAACCAAGUACACUCAAGAUAUACUUACCAAGUUUGGAAUGAAGGAUGUUGUCGGAGAGGAAAUCUCCGGCCGGGUGGCGGAAUGCACCCGCCCUAAAUCCUUAGAUGAGAAGGGGCCUAUGCAUUUUUCCUGUUAGGUGGAAACGGGAAGAACACACAAGGGUUUAAAGUGGUUCGGGCCGUCGGAGCGUAAUACCCUACUCCACUGUGUGUUGUAUUGAACUUGAGAGCUUGUGUGAACUUGUGAGUGUCUGAGUGAGUCUGUGUCUGAGCCUUCUUGAACCUAUGUUGUAACGGUGGAUGCCUCCCCUUUUAUAGUUAAGGGGGACACGUACAAGGGUACUGAGCCCCGACAUGUGGGCCCAGGGACAUAACGGAUGUAAUACUUGGAGCAACUAAUGUUCGUUGCUGGUGCAAUCUUCUUGCGCCCUGACAUCCGUGAUCUGCGUAGUAUUGGCGUGCAGGAGAAGCUUUCCUGGCAACGUAUAAGUGCUUAUGGACACAGUAUUAUGCAAAAUUCUGAAAUCAUUUUUGAUUUACUAUGCAAAAUUCCGAAAUCAUUUUUCAGCAUAGUUACAUUCUACUUCUAUAUUCUGUUUAACUUUUUCUUAUGCUGUUAGUAAAUGUAUUUGCUUUGAGAAUGAUAUAAGAAGAAUAUAUUCAAUUACCAAUCUAUGUGACAACCGAGGGAGAUAAUGGAAUUUUAGCUAUGCUGGUGUCAGUUGAAGCUAUUUGAGGUGAAGUUGUAAUAGAGAAGCGGAUUUGCCAUGUGACACUCUCCUCUCCAACUCCAUCAAGCUUGGCAUCUCUCUUUCAUCCCUGGCAGAUUAGGGUGAGGGAAUUUUUGGGUUGAGGAUUCAGACCUUUGAGGGAAGGAAGGUCAGCUCGGUGGUGGAGGUGGUUGCUGGGUGUAAUGAUAAGGUGGUAGGGAUGCUGUGGUGGAGGAUUGGUAGGGUUGGUGCGGGGGUAAUUCACUCGACAGGUUAGCGCAGCUGUGUGGAACGGCAGCGGUUCUGGCUGCAGGAAAUGGGAGGAGGACAAGACGGAGGCUGCCAAUGGAGAUAGGGGGAGGUGAGUAGGCAGAGCCCUGGGGUCCUCCUUGGGGCGUGGACGCGUGGUUGUAGGAAGAAUAUGAUGGUUGGAUGAAAAGGGCAAAAGGUAAAAGAAAGGAGAGCCCCUGGAUGGAAUAUUCUAAUAAGAUCCAAUGUCCCAAAAUUUGAGUAUGGGUAGACAGGUGGUAGAGAUCAACACAUAGAUAUCCACUAGGUGCACCCUAGAAAAGCUUGUCACCAAGGUCAUCAUGUGAAUUCUUCACAUUGGUGCUUUGUUCACUAGUAUGAGUUUUUUUUUUGCUUUAAAAAAUCCUUUUUUAUAUAUUUCUCUUUGCGUUAUUGACUUACCGUAUGUCUGCCAGUUUUGGUGCAUUGCAAGAUACUGUUUUUUUUUCUUAUCAAAUGUUCAUUUGUUCUUCAUACAAUUAUUCUUGGUUCAGGUGUGAAGGGUUCUCUACUUAUCCAAGGACAUAUGACCUUAUACAUUCUAAUGGCAUCUUCAGCUUGUACCAAAACAAGUAAGCAUGUGGCAUCUGUAAAUUUGCAGUGGGACAAGUUUGUGAAUAAAAUAAAACUUCCUAACUAAUAUCUGUGUUCUUGAACAGAUGUCAGUUUGAAGAUAUACUCCUGGAAAUGGACAGAAUCUUACGGCCGGAGGGUGCAGUCAUAAUUCGUGACAAGGUUGAUGUUCUUGUAAAAGUGGAGAAAAUAGCCAAUGCCAUGAGGUGGAAGACAAGAUUGGCUGAUCAUGAGGGUGGCCCUCUUGUACCUGAGAAGAUACUCUUCGCGGUCAAGCAAUACUGGACCGUUGCAAAAACAAGCAGCUAACAUUAUUCGUAUUUUAUUUUUUUCUCCAGUCACAGGUAACUUGGUCCCUGGAUGUGUUUAUUGGGGGGAAAAUCUGCCGGUUUGAAAAUCAUCAUCCCAUGUUUGUUACUAAAAAUAGAAAACGAGCUUACAAUCACCCUGGAGGAUGGUAAGUUAUGCGGGACCUAGUUGUGAACUUGUGAUUUGGUUAUUCCACUGUUGCAGAGAUGCAGAAGACAUGCCAAAAGGAUCAAUUGGCCUUGCACUAGUGACUCAUAUAGUCAUAUCUGAUCGGACAGAUGCAGCUGCUUAUAAUUGGAACCCUGCAGCAGUCCAGGAAGUUAUGAACUAGCAGUGGACUUACAGUUUUGUAUAGGAUACUCAUUUACCUCUACACGCACCUCUUUUUUGUUGUUGUAUCUC
RNAcentral lists this long non-coding RNA (115227 nucleotides) under Zea mays. Its description in RNAcentral is "long non-coding RNA (ZMAY_LNC001485)". The stretch from base 1543 to 1739 matches the Rfam family "U2 spliceosomal RNA". Lineage: Eukaryota; Viridiplantae; Streptophyta; Magnoliopsida; Poales; Poaceae. The record is from RNAcentral.